RNAcentral lists this long non-coding RNA (90649 nucleotides) under Gossypium barbadense (sea-island cotton). RNAcentral describes it as "long non-coding RNA (GBAR_LNC008860)". The stretch from base 26732 to 26847 matches the Rfam family "Bacterial small subunit ribosomal RNA", at positions 755 to 869 of the family's 1533-position model. Lineage: Eukaryota; Viridiplantae; Streptophyta; Magnoliopsida; Malvales; Malvaceae. The record is from RNAcentral.
AAAAAAAUACUCACUUGUAAGUCAUAUAACUAAAAAAGUGGUGUUGUAAUGAAUUUAAAUUUAACAAAAUGAUUUUAAUGAUUAAACUUGAAUUUUGAAAUCUGAAAAGUAGAACUAAAUUUCUAAAAAAAAGUACAAGGACUAAAUUAUAAAUUUACAAAGGAUAGGGACUCCUAGCCUAUUUUAACCUAAUAAUUAAUCUAAUUAUAUGAUGAUAUUUAAAAUAAAAAAUGAUAACUAUUUAAUUUAUCAAAAUAUAUUUUAAAUAUUAUAUAAUUAUAUUUAAAUUUAUAAUUAACAAUAAAUCCUUUGUGUUAAAUUAUAAAUUAAAAUAAAUUUUAAAAAUGAAUAUAAAAUAAAUUCUAAAGCAAUUAUUAUAUAUGCAUAAUAAAUAUUCAAAGUUACAAAAUUUAAUUUUAAUUAUUACAUAAAAUAUAUAAUGAUCCAAUAAAUUAACUUAAUAUAUGAAAUCAAAUUUACUUACCAAAUUUGUUAAACUUUGGGUUAAUGAAAAAUUAAAAUUUGCAUAUAUUUAUUGUACCCAUAAUUCAUAUGAAAAAUAUCAUGAAACCCUCUUAAAAUAAUAUUUCUUGUUAAUUUGAGAUAUUUUGAUGAAUAUUAAAUUAUUUGAAUUAUGAAACUGAUCAAAUAGCACGACUUUUGUAUUCAUUUUUAGUAGCUUCUAAAACUUUUAUAACAAGACAAAAUGGGGUAUAAAAGGGUACAUGGACUAAAUUUGGACAAUUUGUUAUCAUAUUUUAACAUUUUAUGAUUUUUGUUAGAAUUUUUUUAUUAAUUACUGAUAAUUAUUAUGAUUUUUUAAUAAUUUUUUAAUAAUUUUUGAUAAUUUUAUAUUUUUAAAUAAUUUGUUGCAACUUCUUAAUAAUUUUAGCAUUUUUUUUAUAAUAUCUUGAAGGACAUCUUCAAUGAACUAACAAAUAGAUGUCUAUAUUCUAAUAUAUUCAAAUAAACUAACAAAUAGAUGUCUAUAUUCUAAUUUAUUUUGCCAAUCGCAUGUGUCUAUUAACAGUUAAAUCGAUUAAUGACGGUUUUCAUUAUCAGAAGGGCGUAAUUUUUUUUAAUCAUUAAAGGCUUAAUUGACUUGAAUCUUUUAUGAAUUUAAUUGAUUUUUCUAAAAAAAAUUAAAAAUUCUUUAACUCUUAAGACUAAAUAUAAUAAAUAUAUUUCAAUAUUUAAAAUUUAAUAAUAAAAAAGUUCAAAGGUGAAUUUAGUAAUAUAAUAGAUAAUAAAGAUUAUUUUUGUUAAUUUAAAAAUUUUACCGAAAUCCAAAUUUGUGCCUUAUAUAAAUUCUAGAUAAUAAUUCAAAUAAAUAAAAUUUAUAUAUGUAUCAUAUAACCAUAAAUAUUACCUACAAAUAAACAAAAAAUAUUACAUAAAAGUCCAUAUACAUAUCAUAUAAUAAUAUUAAUUAUGUUUAUAAAAUUAUUAUAUCUUAUAUUUUUUAGUUAUGUUAUAUACAAUUUUCUAUUACAAUAAUAUAUAUAAUUUUUUAUCUAUAAGAAGUGAAUUUGUAGGUGUUAUCAUAAUGUUAAAGUAAAAGUAGUUAUUAGGUUUGAAAUAUAAUUUAUAAAAUAUCAAAAUUAUUUGAAUCUAUUUAAGCUCACUUGCCCAACUUGAACUGAAUCUGAAAAAAUCAAAGGUUAAAAAAAUCUAAAUUUGAAAAGGCUUGAAUUUAAAAAAACUUGAGCUUGAAAAGAAUCUAACCCUGAUAAAAAUUUGUGCCUAAAAACAAUUGAGUCCGAGCUAAUCGAAACUCGAAAUAAUUUGAAUCUGAAAGACAACCUAGUCCAAAUCUAUAUGAGCUCAAAUAUAAUAUUUCACUAGUUAAAAAUCCUAAUUAAUUAUUCAUUUUAGUGGCUUUUAAAAAUAAAAUAAAAUAUUAAUUAUACUUUUAUUUUUAUUAAUAAAAUUUAUUUUAUGUAUUAUCUAUGGAAAUUUUAAAUUUCGAAUGGCACAUAGCACUUUAGAACAAGUGAAUGUAUAACUUUAUUUAGUACCACUAAAAACCAUCCCAUGGUGGCAGUCAUCGUACAAAAGAGUUUGACUUUUUAUUUUGGGUAAAAUUUUAAAAAAAGUCCCUCAAAGAUAUUGCUUUGUUUAAAUAAGUAUUUAUAUAUUUUCUAUACUUAAUAAAUCCUUAUUAUUUUCAAGUAAAAGGUUAAUUUAUCUUAAGAUCAGUUUGGAGUUUGUUUGAGUGCAAAUUAAAUGUUAGGACUUCUUCAAGUAUUAAGUUAAAGAUUAAAGGUUUACUAAAAUAAAAAAAUAAAUAAUUGGUGUCUUAUAUAAAAAUUAUGAAUAUUUAUUUCAAUAAAAUAGUUCCUCUUAUUUUCAAUUUUAAGAUAAAUGUUGGAAAAAAGACAAGAUCGCAUAUCUACACUACCAUAUAUAUAUAAGAGGAAGACAUUCCUCAUUUUAAUUUUUGAUUAUACAAUAAUUAUCAAUUUUAUUAUUUAAUUUCGAAAUCGAGAGAAAUUAGAAACAUCUUUUUAUGUUUUAAAUUUUUUAUUUAAAUAUUUUAUUUUAAAUAAAAUAUUUAAAAAAUUAUAAACAUUAGAUUACAGCUAGCCAUACUAAAUUAUUUUGGUUUCUCCUAGUAACAACUAAAAUAAAGAUUUUGAGUGAGUAAUAAAUGUUAAAAAUGAACCAUCGAGUGGUGGCAAAGAGAUGAGUCAAAGAUGGGCGGUUCUUCAGUUUCCACAGUGUUUUUAUUACGCGACAGACACAUGGACUUUCACAAGUUUUUUGGGAAAAUUCCUUGUUUUAUGAGUAUACGUAAGAAAACACGUUGGGAAGUAUUGAAGAAAUGUAUAACAAAAACUAACAGACUUCUUUUGAAUAUAUAUAUAUAUAUAUAGCAAGAACUAACAAAAUUUUUUGACAACAUACAUCCUGUUUCUGUUUUCUUUUGUUGUUUCAGUUUUCAAAGUUGUAGUGUUUUUCCUCAAUUUAAAUUCUCGUUUUUUUCUUGGUUAAAACUAAGUUCUUUUUGCUUUGAUUUGAGCUCCUAAAACGUGAAGUUUUUGAUAAGUUUUGGAGGGUGUUAGCGUAUUUUGGUAAUGCAGGGUGCUGAUAUUUAUAGAGCUAGUGGUAGUUUACGGAGGAGUCCUUCGGCAUGGAUAAACAAUGACCUGGAGGUAUUUUCAAGGUCUUCUCGAGAAGAGGAUGAUGAAGAAGCUUUAAAGUGGGCAGCACUUGAGAAACUACCUACUGUUUCUCGUCUCAGGAAAGGUAUAUUGACUAGUUCUGAAGGUGGUGCCAGUGAAAUCAAUAUUCAUGACCUUGGGUGGGUAGAACGGAAGGCUUUGCUUGAGCGGUUGGUUAAAGUAGCAGAGGAAGAUAAUGAGAAGUUCUUGUUGAAGCUCAAGAACCGUGUAGCUAGGUAUACAACUUUUUCUUUUUAAUGUUUGGUUACUAGGAAAAUGCAAUGGAAAGAAUUAAAGAUCCAGUCUCAUGUAACGAUAACGGUAUGAAAUGAGUCCUUUUUUUUCAGGGUUGGCAUUGAUUUUCCCACAGUUGAAGUCCGGUUUGAACAUCUAAAUAUUGAAGCUGAAGCUUUUGUUGGGACCAAUGCUUUGCCAACAAUUCUUAAUUUCAUUACUAGUUUAUUUGAGGUAGCAACCUGGAAACAUACUCUCUACUUUUUACCAUUUAAGAGUUUUGUUUUCUUAGGAUCAUUUCUCAAGUUUCACUUUGUAUUGUAAAUUACAGGGUUUCUUGAUUGAUAUGGGUAUUCUUUCUAGUAGAAAGAAAAAGCUGACCAUCCUCAAUGAUGUCAGUGGCAUCAUUAAGCCGAGCAGGUAACAAUGGUGAUAUUAAUUUUUAUUUUUAUUAUGAAAUUAAAAGUUGUGGCGAUUCUAGAUUUACUCUGUCAUUGUUCUCAUGUACUUAUUACAGGCUGACAUUGCUUUUGGGUCCUCCAAGUUCUGGGAAGACCACUCUUUUGUUAGCUUUGGCUGGAAAACUUGAUCCUGCUCUCAAGGUGCUUGAGAAAUUUACCUUUUUCUUUUAAUCGCUUUCCUAUCUUGGCUUCUUGCCUUUUGCGUUAACUUCUUUGUCAUUGUUUUGAUAUCUAAUUUGAUAGUGGAAUUCUUUCGCAGUGUUCGGGGAAAGUGACAUAUAAUGGGCAUGGCUUGGAUGAGUUUGUGCCACAGAGAACAGCUGCCUAUAUCAGUCAACAUGAUCUUCACAAUGGAGAAAUGACUGUGAGGGAAACUUUGGCCUUUUCUGCAAGAUGCCAAGGGGUUGGAGACCGCUAUGGUAAGUUUGAUUGAUUUCCAGCCCUUUUGAUCUUUUUCCCACUAUUGGAACAAUAUGAAUGCUGUUUUUUUAAAACUUUAAAUCUUGAAAAUUUGUUGUUUUGGGGGUUUACAGAGCUGUUAGCGGAGUUGUCAAGAAGAGAGAAACAAGCAAACAUUAAACCUGAUCCUGAUAUGGAUGUUUACAUGAAGGUAAGAACUAAAAUGCCAUUGUACUAUAAACUAUGGAUUGACAUUUUCAUUCAUGACAACAGGAAAGAGUUGAUUGAUAAUCAGAUUUGGGAUUUAAAUUAAGAUUGAAUCUGUAUGACAAGGAUUUCCAUAUAUUUGAGAGAACCAUGUAUUCUUCAUCAUUUACUUGUCUUUCCUAAUAUUUCAGGCAGUAGCAACAGAGGGUCAGGAAGCAAAUUUAAUCACAGAUUAUGUUCUAAAGGCAAGAGUUAUAAAAAUUUGAAGUAUAUUGAAAGACUUGCAAGAAGCACUGUUAUAAAUGAAAAUUUCAUUACUUAUUGAGUACUUUGCUAUAAAUUUUAUAGGUUUUAGGACUAGAAGUAUGUGCAGACAUUAUGGUAGGAGAUGAAAUGUUAAGGGGUAUCUCUGGAGGACAGAGGAAGCGUGUCACGACUGGUAAGUCAUGAUAUCAAUUAAUCCAUUCAUUCGAUAUGUAAAUUUCCCUAAACUUUUUAUCAUGAAAUUUGAAUCUGUUAAACCAUUUAGGUGAAAUGCUGGUUGGACCAGCAAAGGUACUGUUUAUGGAUGAGAUAUCUACUGGCCUGGACAGCUCCACAACUUUCCAAAUUGUGAACUCCCUCAAGCAAACUGUUCACAUCCUUAAUGGAACUGCAAUCAUCUCUCUUCUCCAACCAGCUCCAGAGACUUAUAAUCUUUUUGAUGACAUCAUUCUCCUUUCUGAUGGCCAGAUAGUAUAUCAGGGUCCUCGUGAACAUGUGUUGAGCUUCUUUGAAUCUAUGGGCUUCAAGUGUCCGGAGAGAAAAGGAGUGGCUGACUUCUUGCAAGAAGUAAGUUUUGAUGGAGGUUUUGAUCCUUUUUUUCCAUUGGGACCAAGUUGCUCUUCUAUCGCAUUUACCUUGACUUUGUUCAUUUGCAGGUUACAUCAAGGAAAGAUCAACAACAGUAUUGGGUACAUAAAGAUCAACCUUAUAGGUUUGUCACAGCCAACGAAUUCUCUGAGGCAUUCCAAUCAUUUCAUGUGGGAAAGAAACUUAGAGAUGAACUUGGUGUUCCAUAUGAAAAGACAAAGAGCCACCCAGCUGCUUUGACAACCAAAAAAUAUGGUGUUGGAAGGAAAGAGUUGCUCGAAGCUUGCAUCUCAAGGGAAUAUCUGCUGAUGAAGAGAAACUCUUUCGUGUACAUUUUCAAGUUUAUACAAGUAUGUACUAAUGAAACUCGAUUCUUGUACUACAAUUAUCAAGGUUGAAACAACGACUUUUAACUUUAUUUUCUUUGUGCUACCAGCUAUCAAUAAUGGCAUUCAUUACUAUGACGCUCUUCCUGAGGACUGAGAUGAGAAAUGAUUCAAUUGAAGGGGGAGGAAUCUAUAUGGGGGCCUUGUUUUUUGGCUUGAUCGCAAUCAUGUUUAAUGGGAUGUCUGAGAUUUCUAUGACCAUUGCUAAGCUUCCUGUCUUUUUCAAGCAGAGAGACCUCCUAUUCUUUCCUUCAUGGGCAUAUGCUUUACCAACAUGUAUACUCAAGAUCCCCAUCUCAUUUUUAGAAGUUUCCUUAUGGGUGUUUCUUACCUACUAUGUCAUUGGAUUUGAUCCGAAUGUUGAAAGGUAAAGAAAAUGAAUUGACAAUAAAAAUAUCGAGGAGAACUUGACUAGUACCAUUUAUAGUAUAGUUGUUUGUUUAUUAGCUCUGAUCUAAAUUUAUGUGAAAGUGAUUUGUCUGGCACAGGUUGUUUAGGCAAUACCUCAUCCUUGUUCUGGUGACCCAAAUGUCUUCAGGAUUGUUCCGAUUUAUUGCUGCAGCUGGUAGAAACAUGGUUGUCGCUAACACUUUCGGAGCUUUUGCUUUGCUCAUACUUUUUGCAUUAGGUGGCUUUGUCCAAUCACGAGGUACAUAUGAGAAGUCCUAAAAAUAGCUCAAAAGAUUGAACUUUUGAUGGAAAAUGGAAUUUGUAAUUGAUUUUCUUUGUUCAAUGUCACAAUGUCACAGAGGAUAUAAAGAAAUGGUGGAUAUGGGGCUACUGGAUUUCCCCUAUGAUGUAUGGACAAAAUGCAUUGAUGGUUAAUGAAUUCCUUGGAAACCAAUGGAGAAGAGUAAUGUUUUGAAUUUGUAAUGUCUACUGAUUUCUGAAUUUCAUCUCCUAAUAAUCUAUUGAUAUUUUAUGUUUUCUUUCAUAUUGAAGACUCUUCCGGGCUCAAAUGAACCACUUGGAAUUUCAAUUUUAAAGUCUAGGGGUUUCUUCCAAGAUCCACGGUGGUAUUGGUUUGGAGUAGGGGGAUUGCUUGGAUUCAUAGUAUUGUUCAACUUCUUUUAUACUAUGGCGCUUGCCUAUUUAAAGCGUGAGUAUAGCUUUAUUGGCAGCUACUUAUAGUCUUAAGAACUUAUAUUUCUUUUAAAUUAAGUGUUAUUUUCUUACUCGUUUUUGCAAAUAAAUAUGCAGCUUUUGAGAAGAUUCAGGCUCUAAUAUCAGAAGAACUAGAAGAAAAAGAGAAAGCCGAAAGUAGCUCAGGUGGUUUAACUAGUUCAAGUAUUAGAGCUCAUUUAGUUUUUACAUUCUUGUGUUUGUGUACAAGUUGAUGUGUUUGUUCUAAAUAUAAUUGAAAUGCAGAGGUUCAAGAUGACACUAAAACAAGCAUCUCAUCCAAGUCAUCGUCUAUGGAUGAAGUAACCACUGGGAACAAGAAAAAAGGAAUGGUUCUCCCAUUUGAACCCCAUUCCAUCACAUUUGAUGACAUUAUCUAUUCAGUUGAUAUGCCGCAGGUAACAUAAACUUCCAAUGUAUGAAUAUCAUAUGUUUGUUCUUUUUAUGUCCUAAUAAAAGAGUGUAUUUGAUUGGAUUGAAACUAUACAGGAAAUAAAAGAACAAGGUGUCAAUGAAGAUAAAUUGGUGCUAUUAAAGGGUGUUAGUGGUUCUUUUAGACCAGGAGUUCUCACAGCUCUCAUGGGUGUUAGUGGUGCUGGCAAAACCACUCUGAUGGAUGUGCUUGCUGGCAGAAAAACUAGUGGUUAUAUCGAGGGGAACAUCACUGUUUCAGGUUUUCCAAAGAAGCAAGAAACAUUUGCUCGAGUAUCUGGAUAUUGCGAGCAAAAUGACAUUCACUCUCCUCAUGUCACUGUGUAUGAAUCCUUGCUCUAUUCUGCUUGGCUUCGACUACCGAAAAAGGUCAAUGCUGAAACCAGAAAGGUUGGCAUUCAUUGCAUCCUAAGCCUUUUCAAGUCUCUUACUCUACUUUGUUACAAGUUAGAGGUUUUUACUGAGGCAAUAACACAUUAAUGAUCCUAAGAGCAGAGGCAAACGAAAUAACGCAUUUUCCUAAUGAUUACUUUGGCUUGAAUUAUAUUGAUGUUUUAUUUCACCUUGUGUUAUUAGAUGUUUAUAGAUGAAGUCAUGGAUCUUGUGGAACUGAAUCCAUUAAAGCAAGCACAAGUCGGUUUACCUGGUGUAAAUGGUUUAUCAACCGAGCAGAGGAAAAGGCUUACUAUAGCUGUUGAGCUUGUGGCUAACCCCUCUAUCAUCUUCAUGGAUGAGCCAACUUCAGGGCUUGAUGCAAGAGCAGCUGCAAUUGUUAUGAGGACAGUUAGGAACACAGUGGACACUGGAAGAACAGUUGUCUGCACCAUUCAUCAACCAAGUAUCGACAUAUUUGAAGCAUUUGAUGAGGUGAGAAGUGAGAACUAUGAAAUAUUAGUUUGAAAAUAAGUUGGUUCUUUGCUUAAUUGUAUUACUGAGAAAACAUGCCAUUGCAGCUAUUCCUUAUGAAGCGGGGAGGACAAGAGAUAUAUGUGGGGCCAUUAGGACACCAUUCCAAACAUCUUAUUGAUUAUUUUGAGGUGAGAUAAAAUGAAAUACCAAAAAUUACAAAGUUUGUUAACGUAGUCAUUUCCCUGUUCAUAUUUACUAUAUCUAUAACUUGAUAUAUGUUCACCUACUUCAGGGAAUUCAAGGAGUUAGCAAAAUCAAAGAUAGCUACAAUCCAGCAACAUGGAUGUUGGAAGUUAGCACAACAGCACAGGAAUUAGCUUUAGGUGUUGAUUUUGCUGAUACCUACAAAAAGUCAGAGUUAUACAAGUAAUAAUCAACACUGCAAGAAUCUGUUUACUUUUAACUCAACAUAAGAUUAUAUGAGCUUGAAUUUAAAACUGAUGAAUGUCAAUUGUUUAGGAGAAACAAAACUCUUAUUAAAGAUUUAAGCAAACCGGCUCCUGGUUCAAAGGAACUCUAUUUUCCAACUCAGUUCUCUCAGCCAUUCUUGACUCAGUGUGCUGCUUGCUUAUGGAAGCAACGGUGGUCAUAUUGGCGCAACCCCGCUUAUACUGCUGUGAGAUUACUUUUUACUACUGUCAUAGCAUUGAUGUUUGGGACACUAUUCUGGGACCUCGGCACUAAAACGUAAGCUAUAACAAGCAAGUACAAAUGCUCAGCUUCAUCGUUGGACUUUUAUCAUAUUCAUAUAUCUAUUGUCAUAUUGUAAAUUUACAGGAGAAAAAGGCAAGAUCUGGCCAAUGCAAUGGGUUCAAUGUAUGCUGCUGUUCUUUUCCUUGGUAUCCAAAAUGCUGCAUCCGUGCAGCCCGUGGUGGCUGUUGAAAGGACAGUCUUUUAUAGAGAAAAAGCUGCUGGAAUGUAUUCUGCCAUGCCAUAUGCAAUUGCUCAGGUAAGUCUUUUUCCUUUUUUAGUUGAAGAGUUCUCACUCUGGAAAGAAAAUUGUUUAAAAAUAGGUGCAUUAGAAUUGACUUUCACAUCUUGCAAUUGCAGGUUUUAAUCGAGAUACCUUAUAUUUUUGUUCAAGCUGUUGUGUAUGGCCUUAUAGUGUAUGUGAUGAUUGGGUUCGAAUGGACUGCUGCCAAGUUCUUGUGGUAUCUCUUCUUCAUGUACUUCACCUUAUUGUACUUCACCUUCUAUGGCAUGAUGGCAGUGGCUGUCACUCCAAAUCACCACAUUGCAGGCAUAGUUUCCUCAGCAUUCUAUGGAAUAUGGAAUGUCUUCUCUGGAUUCGUCAUCCCACGCCCGGUAAGUGUUGUUUUCUCAAGUUCUUAAUAUAUUCACUCAUUUUCCGGACAACUAACUUUUUCCCCACUCCUUAAUUUAUAGAGAAUUCCUAUAUGGUGGAGAUGGUACUACUAUAUUUGCCCAGUAUCUUGGACCUUGUAUGGGUUGGUUGUUUCACAAUUUGGAGAUAUUCAGGAUGUCCUUGAGAAUGGUCAGACGGUCGAACAAUACUUGAGAAAUUAUUUGGGCUUCAAACAUGAAUUCAUUGGAAUUGUAGCAGUUAUAAUUAUUGCUUUCACAAUACUCUUUGGUGCAAUCUUCACUGUCUCCAUAAGGUUGUUUAAUUUCCAAAUACGCUAGAGUUUUCUUUCAAUCUUUCUAGUGUUUAGCAGAUCCAUCUUUAUAAUGCUAAGAUAUUAGAAAAGAAGCAUGUCUACACAUUUUUUUCAUUACAAGCUACAAUUUCUUACUUCCAUUGUGACAUAUGUAUACCAUUAAUCCAUGAUUAAAAGUUCUUUUGUUUUUAUUUAACAAAUCCAAUGCAGUCUUAUUCUUUUUUUUUUUUUCAUUUCUGUAUUUGUAAAUGAUAAAAGAAGCAACUUCAUGGCUGAAGAUUCUUUUUAUUGCUAUGAGAACUCGUCUUGUCCAAUUAUGAUCAAAUCCAAAUUUAUCGGUAAACCUUUGAUUAAGGUUUCAAAAAAGAAAAAAAAAAUUCGAAUCCAAAAAGUUUAAUAAUUUGAAUUUGACUCCAAUUCUGAGAUCAGUUGAUUUUUAUAAUAAUUUAUACUUAAAUAAUUAUAUUGAUGAAAAUUUUUAAAUGAAUUUAAAAGAAAAUUUUGUACUUGUUAAUUAUUUGACCAAAUAUUCAUCAUAAUGUUCACUUUUCAAUCUGAUAAUUGUGUAUUUAUUAAUUGGUAUUAUUUAUAAAAUUAUGCUACACCCAAAAUAAAUUAUUUAACAAAUAUAUUUAUAUAUAAAAAAUGAGGCUUUAUUUUAAAUGAAAAAGUAGAAAUAUUAAAAAAUAAUAUCAACAUUUUAUAAGAAUAUUAUGUUUUAAAUAUAAUAAUUUGGGUUGAACCCCAAACAAUUUAUUUUCCAUCACAAUUAUCAAAAAAUAAAAAAUAAAAUAACAGGUCAAAAAUUAAAAUUAUAUCUUUUUUAAUGGACUUAUUAUUGAUGGAGUUGGAUAGAAAAUGAGAUGAUUAUAAAAAGCUUAAUAGAAAAAUAAUAAUAUAAAAUAAAAAGCAAUCUCAACCGACAAUUAACAUCAGCUGUAGAACAGGUUCAAGAGAUCUUGCAUUCAAAGACUUGGUCUACACCAAUAUGCCCCCCCUCAAGAUGCUUAGUAUGCGGCAAUGUCUAGCUUGAAUAGAUGGCGAUCAAAUGCUGGUUUCUCAAGUAGCUUGGUGAAUGUAUCUAUUAACUGAUCAGCUUGUUGGGGAUCAACACGUAUAAACAACAAAAUAGAAAAUGUGGAGAAGAUCGAACACAAAUUUUACAUAAAAAACUCUUCUGAAGAGGAUAAAAAUCAUGGGUAAAGGAAGUUUCGACUUUUCACUAAAUGAAUAAACAAACAAUAGUAUAAUAUAGAAAAAAUAAACUUAAAUGUACUAAACGUACAAAUCCAGACCCCGAAAACAAAACUAUAACUCUUAUAAAGUUCUCCAAAAAGGAGUAUAAAAUUCCCUCAAUAUUUAUUACAAAAAACUCUUGUCAAAACUUAUCUGUGACUACAUCUUGUUGCCUCCCCCUUCCCCCCCCCCCCCAAAAAAAGCUCUACAGUACUAGUAAUGGCCUUUUUAAUUGGCAUCACAAAGUAAGGAUACAAGACCCCUUCAAAUAGACUAAGAUUAGAGGUCUAAUCAUUCUAAAAUAUCCUUAGAGUAAUUAGAGUUUAACUGAGAAAAAUAGCAGAGUUUAACUGGGAGAAGAAACUUGAUUUAUGUGGGGGAACAUGUUGCAACGUCCCCAUUCAUGUUAUCACAACAUCGGGAAACUUCUCGUCGUGACAUCAUCGUCUAUUCGGCUGAAUAUACAAAGUACACCCCACAAGUAGCAUACAAAAGACCAAAUUGCAACUGAAGUGAAACUCCACAACAAUAUGUUUCAUUCGGUGCCAAGUUCCAUACCUUUUACAACAAGUGACCCAACUCACCAAAUUAGCAACUUCACUUUGUUAUCAAAGAUCUGGAUCUCUCUUUUAAGUUUUCCUAUUACAAACAUAGCUUGAAAACCAAGUAAAUUUCCUCGUUUUAGCAUUCAAUGCACUGUCGAUUAUAAGUUCCUUAAUGAAUGUAUAAGUGCUAAAACUCUCUAUAGAAAACUUAUACAAAUCUCAAAUAUUUAAACUACUUUCAACUUACUAACAUACUAUAUUAAUUACAAUCAAUCUUCAUUGGAAAGUAGGAAGAUAAUCAACACGGAGAAUAUCUUCAAUAAGUCUAGGAUAAGUCUUCAAAUCUUCUAGAUAUGUUACCAAGUUACCCGAUUCGAUCUAAUCCAAUCUCUUAAAGCAGUGAAGUCAAUUUUCUUGAUCCAAUCCAACGCAAUCUUUAAGAUAUAUUUCUAUAAACAGUUUGGACAUCAUAGAUGAGCUUGCACACACUGAAAAUAUUAGCAAAGAUCACAACUCAGGUUUUGUUUACAAAAAUUGUCAAUUUGUAAAUAUGGCAAGUUAUGAGGCUAAGCAGUGCUAGAUGUACUGGGCACUAGACUUGUUCAUUGGUCGAGUUACCCACCAAGCCUGAAAUUUGGGAGGGUUUGGGCAAAAUUAUUAGGCUAAAAAAAAUGAGCUUGAACAAAAAAAUUAGACCCAUUAAAAAUAUAAGCUAGGCUCGGGCUUGAACAUUCAAGGCUUGAGCUCGACCUGACCCGGCUUGUUUUAAGUUUAUAAUACUUUAUAUUAUAUUAUUUUUAUAUAUUAUGUAAUUUAGAACACAUUAAAAAGAUAAAUCUAUACUAAAUAUAUAAUACUAUUCUAAUGUAAAGAUUAAAAUAAUGUUAAGAUGACUGUAUAAAAAAUUUCAAAGAAAUAAAAAAUGUAGAAAAUUAUUAAACAUUAAUAUAAUAUAAUAUAAUAUAAAUAUUUUUUAAAAAUAAAAAUAAUAUGAGAGGGUCUAAAAUAGGCUUGGGUUAGCUUUUUGCAAAUAUGGGCGAGUUUGGACAAGUACAAAGUAUGUUAAUAUCAUAUUUAGGCCUGGCUCAACCUGAUUCAUUAUCACCUCUAAUGGGCACCAUGGUAGUAAAUUUUGCAUCGGUUCUGGUCAUAUUGACUGGUGCACAUUGUUCUAGUGCUAAAAGAGAACAAGCAACACUCCUUUCUGCACUGGUGAAAAUUUCGGUUGGUAUUGAUCGGCUGGAACAUGGUGUAUCGGUCAAUGCAUAAAUAAUAUUAAAAAAUAUAAAAUUCUUAACUAUUUAUUAUUAUGCUAAAAACGUAAUUGGAAGGAAUUGACUAAUAAAAAAAGAUUACACAGGAAAAAAAAUUAACGUUAUAUACUUUUACAUUUAAAAUAUAAAAAUAAAAAUAUAAUAAAAUAACCCAAUCACCUGGUUAUCAAAGGAAAAAAAAUCAUCACUCAUCAUUCAUUUCAUUUAUUGAAAAAAUCCUCUUACCCAUUGACUUUUUUUUUCUUGUUAAUUUUGAAUUUAUUGAAUGAUAAUUUUUAUUUGUAGAGUAUUGAUGAAUAUUUUAUAUUAUUGAUGGAUAUUUCAUAUUAAAAAUUUAGUUAAUAUCACUUAUUUAAUAUUUGUAAAUAUUUUUUAAAAUGUCAAGAGAUUUGAAAUGAUACAUUGAAAUAAAACGAUCUCGAUACUUCUAAUUCUAAUAAAAAAUGGUGCGUCCAUCAAUGCGAUACUAUCUUACUAAGUACUGCUCGUGACACUCGUCUCAUAACUGCCUUAACAUAAAUUAUUAACUAUGACAUUCAUUAUUUAUUACAAUAGUAUUAAUAUGUCAAUGCAAUCUUUUUAAUUAUUUGUUAAUAUAUUGAUCAUUUAUUAAUCUUAUUAAUCUAAAUCUUGUAAUUUAUUUAUAUUACUUAAAUGUAUGACAAAAUUAGUAUCACAAGUAAAUUCGACCUCACUUAAACAUUCAAUAAGGGUCCGUUUGUUUACAUGUAAAAGGUUUUACGAAAAAUAUUUUCUGCAUUUUCCUAUGUUUGUUUCACAAAAAAUAGUUUGGUCAAUGAAAAAUGACUUAUAGGUCAAGGUAAAAUAAGCUUUUUUUCCUGUCAAAAGACUUACCAUUCGAAAAGCGUAAGUCAUUUUCCGGAAAAGAGUUCAUCUAUAGAUAAUUUUAUUUUUUUUAUAAAAAUUAACUUAAAUCAAGCUUAAAAUUAUUAUAUUGAUAAUAAAUUUUAUUUUUAUUUUUAAAAUAUUUAAAAUAUUAUAUUUUUUAAUAUUAUUAAACAAACAUAUUUAAUUAUUUAUAUUUAGUCAUAUAAUAAAUUAUUAAUAUAAUAAAUAUAAUUUAUUAUUUUAAUAAAUUAUUUAAUAUUUAAAUUUUAUUUUAAUAAUAAAUUUUAAAAAUAAUAAUUUUAAAUAAUAUUAUUCACAUAUUAUUGAAAAUAUUCAAUAUUAAUAUUUUAAUAAUAAAUAUUUAUUACAAUUAUAAAUAUAUUAAUAAUAAAUGUUUUGUAGUAUAAAGUUUAAAAUAUGUCAUAUGUCUAUGUACACUUCACAAAUUUGUAAUUUAGUCUUUGUACUUUUAUUUUCAAGAAUUUAGUCCCUGUACUUUUCAAAUUUGAAAAUCAAGUCCAAUUGUUGACAUCAUUAAUUUUUUUGGUCAAUUUUUGUUGAUGCCACAUUUUUAAAUAAAAAAUACUCACUUAGUAGUCAUGCAAUUAAAAAAUGAUGUUGUAAUGAAUCUGAAUUUAACAUAAUAUUUUUAAUAAAUGCAAAAACAAUGUAAAAUAUAAAAUUAUAGAUAAAAGUAAAUUCAAUUAAACAAUGAAAAAAAAGAAAAUCUCAAAUAUAUGUUUAACAACUUUUAUGAAAUAUCUUUAAGAAAUCUACCAAACAAUAGAAAAUAGUUUACACAAAUUCAUCUAAACAUCAGAAAAUAUUAGCUUUUUCAGAAAAGUAAAUCAUUUUGCAGAAAUUAAUUUCAGUGAAACAAACGGAGCCUAAAUAUUAUUAUGGAGAAAUUUUUUGUAUAUAAAAUUUAUAAAAUAAGAUUUAAAAGAAGAAGAAUAUGUUUUGUAGUUGUGCAACAUGUACUAUUGGGUUGGUUUCGCCAGAUCAUUAUGUAUGGUGAAAGAUGAGUCAUAGACAAGAUUGAUGAAAUGGAGAGAAAUUUAAUUAGUUUGUUUCAACAAACUUUAUUCUUUGUACAACGAUUAAAAUUAUUAAAAACAAAACACAUGAUUAACAUCCUUUUAAUUAUAUUUACGCCUAAAAUGAUAAAUUGAACCUGCUCCUCGCUAAAUUUCAAAUUUUGAUUAAUAAAACAAGAUUGAGUUUAAUUAAUUAGAAUGAAUACAAAUUAAUGAAGAUAUUUUUUAUUCACUUGAGUUUGGAAAACACAUUAUAUCGUUUAAAACAAUCAAUAUUAUCAUCUUCUAAUAAUUUUGAUAAUGACCUUUUUUAUAUUGACAUGUUGCCUUAUUUGAAAACAAAUAAAAAAUAUUUAAUGAAUAUGCAUAACUUUGCGAUUAAAUACAUACAAACUUAAUAGCUCCAAAUAAAUAACAAAUAUCAUUAAACUCGACUAUAUUUUAAAAAAAGAAAAGAAAAGAAAAGAAAGUAAUUGUUUUUACUUUAUGGUGUGUUUAUUAGUAUUGCAAUGAAGAGAAGAAGUUGUAUGAAACUGUAAUUCUACGUCAUCUUUAUCCUUUUUGAAUAGGAGAAUGACAAAUCAGAUUUUUCUUUUUAUUGAAAAAGGAUAAAAAUGACAUGGAAUAAUAGUUUUAUGGAAAUAGAGGGAUGGUAUGAGAGUAUAAUUUGGUUGAGACCUAACAAAAAAAACCAUUAAAAUAUUGAGAUACAAGGGCUAUGCCUAUGAAGAUACAUGCAUUAACAUGAAAUCACACUUUAAUAUUAAAGCAUUAAAAUAUCUUCAAAAAAACAUCAAGUAGCCAAGUCACAACAUAAAAAACAAAAGAGUGAGACGGUAAAUGCUUGUAGAGGAGUUAAAUUUGAAAACUUGGACUGUUACAUUUUUACACGGCUCAAAGGUUCCCUUUGCAUCGUUGCGUUUUAAAGUCUAGAGACGAAGAUGCUAAGUUCUCCUCUUUGGUACAAAAAAAAUGCCCUCACCCCUUUUAACUGUUCCUUGCUUAUUCUUGUAAAAGAACCUCUCCUUAACUUCCCAGGGAGUUCAUCUUUUAAACUAGAAAGAUUUCCCCCAUUUCCAUCUUUUCAACCACAUCUACAUGUAAUAUUAUAUUAUCUACGUUAUAAGUUAUAGAUAUAACCAGUUAACCAUACACAUAUAUAUAUAUAUUAUUUAAUUUAAAAGUUAUAAAAUUAACUUUUUCAUUUUAUAUAGAGUUAAAAAUAUCACAUGGCACUAAACAGAUAUAAGUUGAGAGUUAAAUUUGUUAUUAUAUUGAUUUUUUUAAUGUCAUGUAAUAAUUUUAAUAAGAGUGAUAAAAAUGACCAAAUUAUGUAAUGUGGGUGCUUAAAUUGCAAAUUUUUUUUUUAUUUUUGGUGUCUAAAAUAAAAGUUUUUUGAUAAUUAAGUGACUAUAUGUAUAAUUUAACCUUAAAAAAUGCAUAUAAUAAAAUAAUAGUUUAGGUAAAAAAAUGGGGAAAAAAAAAACAUUACCUACCGGUACUUAGUACAUUCAAGGAUUUGCUAGAAUUUUAUUAAUUUGUUUGUUUUUUUAUUAACACCUAUGGUCCUUUAUAAGAAUCAUGAAACUUGAAGAAAUCUUAAUCUUAUCUGGGUUUGAAGGCAUUAAUUAUGGGUUCCGAAUCAACGCCCACUCUUCCAAUUCUAGAUUUCUCCAAUGCAGAAUUGAAGCCUGGAACAGAUUCUUGGUUGGUAGCAUGCAAAAAGGUUACACAUGCACUUGAACAGUAUGGUUGUUUUAUAAUAGAAUACGAUAAAUUUCCAUUACAACUUCACAAUCAAGUGUUUUCCCUCUUGGAAGAACUGUUCCUUCUCCCAACAGAAACGAAAAUGAAGAACCGAUACGAAAAGCCCUUGAAUGGCUAUGUCGGACAAAUCCCCAAGCUACCUCUCCAUGAAAGCUUGGGCAUCGAUAACGCUACUUCUAUAGAGGGAACUCGGUUCUUCACCAAUUUAAUGUGGCCCCAAGGAAAUGAUCGUUUCUGGUAUUCAUCAAAAAAUUUUCUCUCUCUCAAGUAUGUUUUGAUUUGUUACUAAUUGGGUUUUCUCUUUAUUGCAUUGCUACUUAGUGAAUAUAUUUCCAAGUAUGCAAAGGUAGUAGCGGGGUUGGAUCAAAUGGUGACCAGAAUGAUAUUUGAGAGUUAUGGUGUGGAGAGAUACCAUGAUGCUUAUACUGAUACAACAACCUACCUUCUACGGCUGCUGAAGAAUCGAGCUCCACAGCAAAGUGAGCCUACUCUAGGGUUUAUUACUCAUACUGACAAGAGUUUUACGACGAUACUUCAUCAAAACCAAGUCAAUGCUUUAGAGGUUGAAACAAGGGAUGGGAAUCGGAUUAAUGUUGACUUCUCAUCUCCUUCCUCCUUUGUGGUCAUUGCGGGCGAUGCACUCAUGGUGAGUCUGCGUAACAUAUUAUAUGCUACUUGUAAUCUUACUCUUCCUACUGAUUAUCAUUGUUCUUUUUGGUGUGUUAAUUAAUUUAGGCAUGGAGUAACGACCGGGUACUUUCUCCAAGACACCAAGUAGUAAUGAGCGGGAACAUAGACAGAUAUUCACUGGGGCUAUUUGCCUUCAACAAUGGAACAAUUCAAGUGCCUGAAGAGCUUGUUGACGACCUACAUCCCCUCAAAUAUAAUACCUUCGACCAUUUGGGGCUCCUUCGCUUCUAUCGCACAGACGAGGGAUACAACUCCAAAUGUCCUAUUAAAGCCUAUUGUGGUGUUUGAUUUUCUUUAUAUAUAUAUAGAUAUAGUUGAUGUAAUAAUAGAACUUUGUCGUGUGAAAUCUCUAAUGUCUAGUUCGUAAAUUCCUAGGUGUGGCUCUGGUUCCGCAUAUGUCCUCAAACUUGUAUGAAUGCUGCAAUGGCUUUGUAAACUUUUAUAUUGCAAUAACAAAGGACUUCAAAAAAUUGGUAGACUUCACUUUUACUGCCGUUAUGGAUUAUCAUUAUUUUCUCUUUUCUUUUAUUCUGCUUCUCAACUAGGUAACAAAUAAUAAAGAAUUUAUCAGCAAAAUUUUGAUAUGUUGGAAAAAAAAUAAAUUUGAAAGAUUUUGAUUUAACAUGAACAUAUAAAACCUACAUGCAUGUGAUACACAAACUAGUUGAAAAUUGAAGAAGAAUUUCAUACUUAUCACCAAAUAAACAUAUGGUCCUUCAAUUAUAUUUCUUUUCUCGUAUUAGUAUUUCAACCAUCAUUUUAUUUUAUUAAAAAAUUAUCGAUCGAUGUUAUGACAACUUUUUCAUUUUAGGAAUAACUUAGACAGAAAUAAUAAUUUAAAUAUGAAAGUGGGAUAAACAAGUUUAAAUGCUAAAGUAAUAAAAAAAUAAGAAUUAAAUUAUAAAUUAAACCACUUUAAAAUAAUCAUAAGUAGUAUUUAUGUGUAAUUUAUUUACCACACAAGUUGUAAUAUAUUUGAAAUAAAGGUUUCUAAAGGCGACCCAAAAGAAUAAAAGGUAUACAGUGCCACUGACAAAUAUGCCGAGACGAAACAUAAAUUAGAGACUUAAAACAAAGGCACAGUAAUGUCUAAUUACUGGUAAAAUCAUGCUGUGAAUCACAUUUUCCUGUUUUUUUUUUUUUAGGGGUGAUCAUCAGAUUUUGUCUUUUAUGUUAAAAAAAAAGUGUUACACUUAUACUCGAAUGUGUCUCUUAAGAAACUCAAUAUGUGUCCUCCAAUAAAACUGACACCUCAAUAAAUCAUGCAUAUUCAACUCGCUAAACAUUGAACCUUAAUUAAGUAAAUCUCAUAUGUAUCGCAUAUUUUUGCUAAGCAUAUAUGAGGUUGACAUAAAAAAAUUUAGAGUCAUUAUCAAUAAUUUUUAAACUCAUAUCAAAUAUUAUCUCCGAUCAUAAAACACGCUAUGUCUUUUUCUUCUUCCUAACUCUUCCUCUAAAAACAUUUUAUCCCAAUGACUCUCUACCUAAUCACCAUUAAUACUAAAAAAAAAAAAAAAAAAAGAUGGAGAAAAGCGAAAUUAAUAUGUAAUAAUGUUGUUUGGUUUUCCAUCAAUUCAUAUGAUAUUGUUUAAUUCUUUUUCAUUGUACUUUUUAAAAACGUGGUACUAAUAAUUAUUUACAAAUUAUGUUUAAUGAAAUAAUUGAUCAGCUUCAAUAUUAAAUUUACAAGUAUAUGUUCAUGCAAAAUAUUGCCGCAUUGCUUGCUAUAUAGCGACUUGCUACUACAAUAACAAUAAUUUUUUUUAUAGAAUAAUUAAUGUAACACAACAGUGUUAUAAUUAUGUCGGCAAUUUUAACUUUUGUUUAUUUUUUUAAUAUAUUUCAAGACAAGAUUAAUUACUAAAAUAGUUAUUUUUGUUUGUCUCAAGAUUAAUUAUUAAAAUAGUUAUUUUUGUUUGUCUCAAGUUAUAUUUUUGUCAUUUAUGUUUGAAAUGUUACGUUUUAGUCACUUACGUUAUCGUAUUAUAACAUUUUAGUCAUUGAACAUUAAUUGUCGUCACGUUAAAUUAUCAUUUCAAGCAAAUAUUUUAAGUUAAAUUAUACAAUUGAUCCCUAUAUUUUUUUCGUUUUGAGAAAUUUAAUUUUUUCUUUUAUGUUCUUUGAACUUUCCUCUCUUUUUUUAUUACUAUUUUUCAUUCUCUUUUCCCUCUCACUCUGUUUGUCUCCCUUUUCAAUUUCUUUUAAUUUAGUUUUUCUAUAUGACCGUUCUCUAUACUUUUAUUUUUUUGAGCAAUUUAAAUUUUUAUUUUUAUUUUUUUUUCCUUUUCUCCUUCCUGUCUAUUUUUCUCUCUUCUCAUAUUCUUCACUUCAGAAACAUAAUAUUUACCCACCAAAUAAACCAAGUUCUUGUUUCUUUCACAUGAUUCUUAAAUUGGAUUUCACUGAUCAAAACUGAAUAUCAAUAAUUCUUAAUCAAAUUUAAUUUGAAUACAACCUAAUUUUGAGACUAAAAUUGGAUCUAACUAAUCAAUAUAAAAAAAAUCAUAUCUUUAAUCAAAUCUAAACAUAAAUUGAAUUAUUUAUAUUCAAAAUUAAUUUUUUUUUCGUUUCCAAACUUUUAUAGAAUUAUGUAGAUCAUUUCUUUUUUCUUUUUAAAAAUGUUCUGACUAAUAAAAUUAAGCAAACGAUAAAAUUAAUUUAAACCUUCUUGGAUAUUCCCAAGCAAACUUGAUUGGAAGCCAAGCAUGGAUGAACCGGAUAGAGAAAGAGAGCAUGGAACUAAACUGGUCUGGGUAAAGUUGAGGGUAAGUUUCGCAUGGUGGUCGUUUUAGUCAUUGAGAGUGUAGAGCUCGUUUGAAGAAUCUGUGAAACAACGUAGUUCCAAGAGGGCGAGAAUGUUGUAGGUAAGAUAGAUAAGGUGGUCGUGGGGUUGGUAAGGAGGUUAAGAGAAUGGGAUCAAGAAACUUUGUUGAGGGUAGAUUGCCAUAAGUUACAGCUGGCGAGGUCUUCAAGUGAGGCUAGCUUGUGGACUAGGUCAUUGAGAUAUCCAAAUUGGUUCAUUAAAGAGAUGAUGGACGAUAAGUGUUUAUAAUUGUGGGGCGAGAAUAUACGAAACAAGUUUUAUUUUGGCUUAAGCUCUCACCUUUUUCUUUCUUCAUAAAAAUAAAAAAGUUCUAACAAAUGGAAAAUAUAGGAAAACUAUGUUAAAAGAGAUGGAGAAGGGAGGGGAAUAUAGGGAAAAGCUUAAGAGAAUGGAAAAUAAAGAAAAAAAAAGAAAGUUAAAAGAACAUAAAAGAAAAAAAAUUAAAUUUCUCAAAACGAAAAAAUAUGGGAUUUACUCUAAAAUUUUUGUUUGAAAUGAUGAUUUAACGUGACAUAUCAGCUUACCAUUACAUCAUUAAUGACAAUUAAUAGCCCAGUGAUUAAGAUGUUACAACACGUUAACGUAAGUGAUUAAAACGUAAGAUUUUAAACAGAAGUGACUAAAAUGUAAGUUAAGGUAAAUAAAAGUGACUAUUUUAGUAGUUUAUCCAUUUCAAGAUUUAUUGACACUAAAUGAAGUGAUUUGAUUUGUAGUAGGGGAGUAGAUUACAGAGUCCUUAAUUAGUGAGAUAUAUAUAUAUAUAUAUAUAUAUAUUUAUUCACAGAUAAAAAAAUGGUUGAUUUAUUAUGAGAUUAUUGAUUUUAAGGGGAUUAUUAUGCAUCUUUAUCCUUUUAAUAUGUGAAAGAUUACCUUGUUGAGUUUAACCACUCAAAUUAAGUUUAUAAAAAAUAUAGAUUUUAGACUUUGAUAAAGGUUUCACACUUAGAGCAUCAAAUCUAUUCACCAACAAGUUUUUUUUUGUUUUUUUGUUAAGAUGUAUGUGUAGGAUUGUCUCUUUCAGUGAAAAGAAUAUUGGACUAAUAUAAGUAAUCUUUUUAUAUAGAGAGUUAGUAUUUGGUAAAUUGGUAAUAUAUAUUUUUUAAUUUCAUAUGAAAUUAUAAAAAUUUGUCAUGUGUCUUUUUUUUUAAAUAUAUUACUAUACACUAUAAAAUACUUGUCAACCCCUAACUUUAUUUGUGAAAUCUAAAGAUUUCAUUUUGGCUCCUGAACCAUACUUAAUUUCUCAUUUUAACAUUUAAAUUUUUUUUUUCGUUUUGGUAAUUGAACUAUCAUACUGUUAUAUGUUUUAAUUAAAAAAAACUAAUUAUGCUAAAAAAUAUUAGUUAGCCGUGGCAUUUUUUUAACUCUACAACAAAUUUAAAAAAAAUGAUUGAUAUAUUUUAAAUUAAACCUAAGUUAAAUAUAAAUUAAUGUUGAAAAAAAAAGUUAUAAAGUUGUCAAAAUAAUAUUAGCAAAAAAGCACAAGUUAUACAUAUAUAUAUAUAUAUAUAUGUAUAUAUUACUUAAACUAUACAAUGUUGUUAUGUACAAUAUCCAUAAAUCCUUCUUAGCUGAUCGUAAAAAUUGAUCCUAACGGAGAUGGCAUCAUUAUUUUUUAACUUGAUUGAUUGGUGAUUAAAUUAAUAGUUAGGCCUGCAUUUUGUGCCUAGAGGUGUGCAUGGCCGGGCGGCCCGACUCGGCCCGAAGGCCCACCCGAAAAAUGGGAGGAUUUGGGUAAAAAUAUAGGCCCAAAAAAAUGGGCUUAGACAAAAAAUGAGGCCCGUUUAGAAAAUGGGCCGGGCCUCGGGUAAGAUUUUUUUGGCCCGGGCCCUACCCGGCCCGAUUUUAAUAUUAAAUUAUUUUUUUUAAAAAUUUAUUUUUAAUUUAAAGUAACUUUAGUAUUUUAUUUUACUCUUUUUGUUGUUUUUAAUGUUAUUUUAAUAUUGUAAAACUUUUGUUAUUAAUAUAAUUUAGUUCUUAAUUUAAUUUUAAUUUAUUUCAAUUUUUCAAUUUUAAUAUAAUUACUUUUUAUUUUAUUUUUAAUUUAUGUAUUAUUUUAAGAAUUAUUUUAGUCUUAUUUUUUAUUUGUUUUUUGUUUUAAUAUUUGUUUUUAUAUUUUAAAUGUAUUUGAUUUAUUAUAUUUUAAAGUUUUUUAUUUAAUAAAAAAAAGCAAUUUUUUUUAAUAUGGCCGGGCCGGGCCCGGCUGGGCUCGAGCCUACCAUUUUUUUCCCGGGCAAGGCUUGGACAAAUUUCUAGACCCAUAUUUCGGCCCGGACCUUGUAAAUGGACCAAAUUUUUUAUGGGCCUAGCCCGACCUGGCCCAUGCACGCCUCUAUUUGUGCCCCAGUUGAACCCAUUCUUCUUUGGUCCCCCAAAGGCUCUAUCAGGCUUAAGAAUAUAUAGUAUAAUUUGGAAUAGUUGUCUGAGAAAAAUAAUAAUUUAUAGUACAUAGAUAUUAUUUAUCUAUUCAUCUCUUAUUGAGUAAACUUUCCAGGACAGGACAUUGUUCGAAGAUGGAAUCUUUUCUCUCCCGAUUCUUAAACCUAAAAUAAUAUUUCAUUGAGAUAAUAUUCUUUUUUCAGAUUUGAUUUUAUUGUUGGAUGGAAAUUGAUCAUCAUCUUUCAUUUGUCCCCUAAGUAUACAAACAUCAGCUCAGCUCUAUAAAUGGUUCAUUCUUACAAGACAGUUCUUCAAACCUAAUAGUACUACAUACACAAAAAAUUGUGUUUAGAUCAGAAAUGGGGUCCCAAACUCCUCUAAAGCUCCCAGUCAUUGAUUUCAGUAAGCCAGACCUAAAAGCAGGCAGCAAUGAGUGGGAUUUGGUGAAAGGGCAAGUCCAGCAAGCACUUCAAGAGUACGGUUGCUUCGAGGCUUUGUUCGACAAGAUCCCUCUCCACCUUCGAGAGGCAAUAUUCGGAUCCUUGCAAGAGCUUUUCGAUCUCCCUUUACAAGCCAAAAUUCGGAAUGUUUCCAAUAAGCCUUAUCAUGGUUACGUCGGCCAAUACCCUCAAGUCCCAUUAUAUGAAAGCAUGGGCGUUGAUGAUGCAAACAUUACUGAAAAAGUUGAAGCCCUGACUACUACCUUAUGGCCUCAAGGGAAUUCAAGUUUCAGGUUCUUUCCAAUAAUUUUAAACCAAACUCGGCUUAACUUUUGCUUUUAAUUUGUCACCUAAUGUUUCCUCUUUCUUGACAGCAACACUAUACAAUCUUUCUCAGAACAAUUAUCGGAGUUAGAUCAAAUUGUUAGAAGAAUGAUAUUGGAGAGUUUUGAUCUUGAAAAAUAUAUGGAUGAACACAUGGGUUCAACCAACUACCUGCUCAGGGUAAUGAAAUAUAAAGGGCCAAAAACCACUGAAACAAAGCUUGGAUUAAACAGUCACACCGACAAAAACAUUGUGACAAUAUUGUACCAAAAUGAGGUUGAGGGAUUGGAGGUUCUGAGCAAACAAGGAGAAUGGAUCAAUGUGAAACCCUCCAAACACUCUUUCACUGUUAUGAUCGGGGAAUCUCUCUAUGUAAGUCUCUUCUAGUUUUAACUAAUUUGGAUCAUCGACAAAAGAUAAUAAAUUUAAUUAAGUUCAUAUCAAAAUUUGUGCCAUGAAUGUUGCAGGCAUGGUUAAAUGGUCGACUGCACGCUCCUUAUCAUCGUGUCAUGAUGACCGGGGACAAGGCAAGGUACUCAGCCGGACUGUUUUCGGUCCCGAAAGCAGGUUACAUAAUAAAGGCACCAGAUGAGCUAGUGGAUGAAGCACACCCUUUGCUCUUUAAGCCCUUCGAUCACGUUGACUUCUUGCGGUUCUACUACACGGAGGCUGGUCAAAAAGCUGAAUCUGCUCUUAAAGUUUUUUGUGGUGUCUAGUAUUUGAUUUCUCUUUACAAUAGUUUCUUACUUGUUUAAUAUCGAUGAUCAAACCCUUGUUAAAUAAACAAAUUGUGGGAUGAAAUAAGGGUUAAUUUAGCUUGUUCCUUUUUUUAAAUUGAGCUUCCGUUAAAAACUAUAAUGUGUAAAAUCCAAAUAAACAAACAAUUAUGAAUUGAAAGCAUCAUAAAUAUAUAAAAGUUGAAAAUCAAAUAUAGUUGGAAAAAAGGUGUUUCUAAGAACAGAAGCAUCACAAUCAAAUUAGUGUCUGAGAUGGUGGGGACUCUUUCAAGCCCCAAUCGGAAAACAACAAAUAAACAUAAUAUAAAAAGGUGCGUAACUUACUCAAUGAGAUAUAUCUGCUCUUUUCAACAGUUACAUAAAGUGAACUUGUAAUGACCCGAUAGUCACAGGUAAUCGAAAAGUAUAUUUUCGGGUCUCUGUUUUCGUAAAACGGAUUCGUAAAUAUUUAUUUAAAAUAAUUACGAAGUUAGUUGGUUAGUUAAUUAGGUUAUGGUUAGGUGAAUUAGCCUGAAUUAAGAGUAAUUGGGUAAAAGGAUUAAAUUGAAAAAAAAGGUAAAAGUUUAAUUAUAAAUUAGAGAAAAAAUGAAAGGACUAAAUAAGAAAUUAAACCUUAAUUAACAAGUGUAUGGUGAUUGUGUGUACAUGUGUAAAAAUAAAAUACAUAUAUAUAAUAAUAUAUGAAAUAUUUAAUAUUUAAGUAUAUUAUAUUAUAUUAUAUUAAUAAUAAUUAGAGAAUAACUAAAUAAAAUAAAAGAAAGAAAAAGAAUUGAAAGAACAUAGCAAAAACGAAACGGAGAAGGAAAGAAAGAAAAAAGGAAAGAAAAGGAGAAAGAAUGAGAAUUAGGGUUUCAAGGUUUUAAGCUCAAUUGAUUAGUUAACUUAGUUUUUCUUUUUUUCUUUUUGUAAUUUUUAUGUUUUUAGAAUUUUGGCAUUAAAUCCUAUACAACCUAUGUUGAAAUUUUAGAAAUUAUUAAAAUUUUAGAUGUUGUCCAUGUUGAAUAUUUUAAGUAAUAAGGACUAAAUUGAUAGAAUUUUAAGUUAGAAAUGAAAAAGGGAUUGAAUUGUAGAAUAAAUUAUAAGUUUUGAGUAAUAGGGACUAAAUUGUGAAAAUUUUAAAAUUUAGGGAUUUAAGUGAAAUUAGAGAGUUAAAUCUAGUCUAAAGUGAAAUUUGUAUGAAAAUAAAGAAUUAAAUGUAAAGAAAUAAAGUUAGUCUCAGUUUAGGGACUAAAUUAGAAUUUAGGCAAAUAUUGAGUAAAAAUUGAAAUAUUAAAUAUGAGAUUGAAUUGUGUUGUAUUGGUGAAUUUUUUAAUUGUUUUAAUUUCGUAGCUAAAUUCGUACCGAAACCCUCGACUAAAAUGGGAAAAGAUAAAGUCGACGAGGAAUAGCUCAAAAUUUUCGGUUUGUAUUUCUAUAAUCCGAAUUUAGUUGUUAAUUGUUAUAAUUUUUAUUUAAUGUAUAUCGUAAGUGUUGGGGUGAGAAUUAUUAUGUUUUGCAAUUGAAAUUGAUUGAUUUAGUAUGUGAUGAAUUUAUUGAAGUUAUAUUGAUUGAAUUGUUUUAUAUAUAUAUAUUGAAUAUAUUGAUUAUUUGAAUUGAAAUGAAUAUUGGUUGUAUUUGAAAAGUGAAUUAUAAAUUGAAUGGAUUGAUUUUUGAAUUGAAAUGAUUGCAUGUGUAAUUAUGUGAUUAUAUGAAAAAUUGAUAUUGGAUAUAGAUUGUUGUUGAAUUGUGAAAUUUAAACCCUAUUAACUGUAUCGGGCUGAGUCAGAUAUAGAUGGCAUGCCAAAGGAUUGGAAGAGUUCAGGAAUUUUUUCGACUUCAAGUCGAUGAGACAUUGGAUGUCAAAUUAUUACUUCAGAUUAAUUUGAUGAGGCACUGGGUGCCAAUUUACUUCGGUUUAGCCGAUGAGACACUGGGUGUCAACUUAUUGCUUCGAAUUAUCCGAUGAGGUACUGGGUACCAAGCUGGUUUGUUUUGGUUGGAUCCGUGUAUCCGUUCAAGCCCAAGUCUUGUUAAUAGGCGUAAAUGAAUAAUAAAGUCUUACAAUUGAUAUUGAAAUGAAAUGAUAUGAGUAAUGGAAGUGAUAUAAUGAAUUGAAAAUAGAAUGUGAAAUAUGUUGACAAUACAUGGAAUAUAUGAGUUAUAUACUUAUGAAUUAAGUAUGGUAUGAAAUGAUGUAUUCAUGAAUUGAGUAUUGCAUGACUGAUGCCAUUGUACGAAUAAAUAUGGUUGAUAUGUGAAUAAUCAUUUAUAUAACAAUUGUGUGAAUUAGGAUUUUGUUUAAUAAAUGAAAAAUGAUAGUUGUGAUGCUAGACAUUAAUAUGUCCUUAUAAUUAUAUAUAUUAUUUUUAAAUAUUCGGAUUAUAGAAAUACUAUUGAGUUUUUACUCAGUGUACGGUUUUGUUUUCCUUGCGCAAAUUAGGUACAGUGAUUUUGAAGAGCUGUAAUUGAGGUUGUAAGCAUUCAUCUUAUCACAUCUCCAAGUGCCAAGAGGGUAUGUUUCAAAAUUUUAAAUAGAAUGACAUGUACUUAGGAAGACCAAGUAUGUUCUAAGUAGUAGGGACUAAAAUAUAAUUUAUAAAAAAUUGUUUUUUUAAUAUUCAAAUAUAUUAGUGAUUAGCCAAAAUCACUUUGGCACCAAAUGUAAUAUUCCUAUAUCAGGUUCUUUGGGUCAAAUCGGGUUAGGGGUGUUACAGAACUUACUCAAUCACACCCUAUGAUAAUUUACCUCACACUUGUACUUUGAAAACUUGAUACUCUCAAUAGUAAAUUCAUCCCUUAAGAAUUCGGCAAGUAAAACCACAAUACAAAUGACGAAAGCUCUUUACUGGGCUGACACUGAGAGACGAAAGCUAGGGGAGCAAAUGGGAUUAGAUACCCUAGUAGUCCUAACCGUAAACGAUGGAUACUAGGCGUUGUGCGUAUCAACCUAUGCAGUGCUGUAGCUAACAUGUUAAGUAUCCCACUUGGGGAGUACGUUUGCAAGAAUGAAACUCAAAGGAAUUUAUGCGGGCUCGCACAAGUGAUGAAACAUGUGGUUUAAUUCGAUGCAAAGCAAAGAACUUUACCAAGGCUUGACAUACCGUGAAUCCUCUUGAAAGAGAAGGGUGCCUUCAUGGACACAGACACAGGUGGUGCAUGGCUAUCGUCAGCUCAUGUCGUAAGGUGUUGGUUUUUACUAUCAAUAUACACUCAUAAAAUAAGGUUCCUCACUUAAAAUAGAUUAAGUACUGAAUUCUCUUUGUACAAUUUCCUAUACAAAUCUCUCAAUUAUAUAGAAUUUAUUCAGACUUGCUCAUAUAAGAAGAUCUAUCACAAUUCCUAUAAAACAACCACUACAUAAACCAAAUACAAUAUGAUAAUAAUGAACAAGAUAAACAAGGAUGCUUGGCAGUUAAGUCAUUAGUGAUUCAAUCCAAUCUAACUUCCUUGAUUCAAGGGACUAGAUAAAUGUAAUCUUAUUCAAUCCAAUCACCAAUAAGGUUCCCCAAGUAAUAUGAUCUUUCAUAAUAGGCUAGAAAUCAUUCGUACAAUCAACAUAGCCAAAUAAUCAGUUCAAUAAAUUGCCAACAACUUAAAUAUAAAAAUUGUCUCCAUACAAAUUUGGUGGACAAGGGAGUGGGGACUCCCUCUAAUAUCAAGUUACUAGUUUCAUAUUUUUCAACAAAUUAAUAUCAUUAUUUCAAUAAUAAUCUCAAGCGAUAAAAUAUUAAUAAUCUAACCUCCAGCCAUGGCACUUGAUUGGUGUAGAAUUCGCAUGCUUAAAAUACUUUCAGUAAAUCAUAACCAUCAUAGAGAUGGAAUUGGUUGAAUGAUUGUCUCUAUUAAAUACCUCUAAUUUUUUUUUUUCUAAAAGUUAACAUAAAAUUUUCAGAAAGAACAAAAGAGAUAGAGAAGAGUGGUUAUUAUCAAACUUUCUCUCACCUCAUUUAACCUUCCACAAAAAUAUGGUAUCAUAAAUUAACUCAAUAGCAAUUUUAUUAGAAAAAUAUUUAAAAAUUAAUAUUUAAGUAUUUAAUAAAUAUUAUUAAGUAAAAGUAAUGAACUAAAUUUUAAAUGUACGGAGUGUAUAGGAACUUAGAGCAUAUUUUAACUCAAAAUUUUACUUUAUAAUUUGGUACAAAUAAAUAAUCAACCCAACAUGAAGUGUAGACCAAAUAUCAUAUGUCUUUGUUUUUUAUAUACGUGCUAAAAGAUGAGUAAUAGACAAGAUUGAUGAAGGUUUAUGAAUGGAGAGGAAGUUAAAAAGUUUCUUUCAACAAACAUUAUUCUCUAAUUAAAUGUCCUAUCAAUUAUCUAAUUUGUCUGGUUUUGUUCACAUGAUUGAAGAUACAUUAUCACUAUUAUCUAAUGAAAACAUGAUUAAGAUUAUUUUAAAAAACACAUGAUUAGGACUCAAUUAUAUCAUUUUAACGAUCCUGAUUGUAAUUAUUUUAGUAAUAAUAUAAUAAAUUACGAAACGAAACAUUUCAGCUCUUCUUUCUUGCAUUAUUUGCAGCCCUAAAAUGAUAUAUUGAACGUGGUCCUCUAAUAAUAUUUUUUUAACGUGGCCCACUAGUUGAAAUGGUGCUCUAUUGGGCUAGAAUUUAUAUAUACAAACAAAUAAUAAUAGAUAUCAAAAGUUGAUUAAUAAUUUAUUCAUUAUUUAUACUUUAAACCGCAAAUUUGAGUCAAUUAUGUCUUUAAGACAUUUUUUUAAGUUUCUUAUAAGGGUAUGGAUGGAGAUGCAUAGUUGUAGGUAUAAGUCCUAUGGUUUUUGUAAUGGGCCAAAUCUGCCCGGGCCCAUGUAAAAACAAAACAAACAAAAACACAAAAAAUAUAUAAAGCCCAAUACAUGACCCAAAAAACCAAACUUAAUAUCCUAGCCCAAUAAGCCCAAUCCCGAAUAGCCCAAAAAGCCCCAAAACUUCAACACUUUCGGGAACCCUAGGUCACCCUCUUGCGCCGCAACAGCCUCGCAACGACCGUAUCACCUCCGUACCCUAGCCUAGACCCGUACCCGAGCGCCAACGCACAGCCCCGUGCUCCGUACCUGCAAAAGAAAACAAACGAAAGCAGCAACAAGCCAAUACAAAAGCAGAGGACAAAAAUUGUUGUUUUCUUUAGUUAUUCGGCUAUAAAGCCUUUGAUUUUCGAUUGUAAAAGGGGACUCCUUUUUUAAAAACGGAAUAUACGCACAAAAAAAAACUCAUUCGCAUAUUGAAUAGAAAGAGAUAGCAAAGAAAAGGUGAUUUGAAACGCAUUAUAUUUUUGUUCUUCAAAUCUCCUUCGUCUUUUUUUCUUUUCGUUUUGUUUUUUCUAGUAUAAUGAAAUAAAGUAGCUAUUUUACCUCGUGAAAGUAUCAUGGAUUCCGUCUGCUUCGUCGAUAUCGGAGUGUAGAAGCUAUUCCACGGUCGAAAUUGUCGCCCCUUUGAAGCUCGAAUCUGUUCGUCACCACUGAUAGGAGCAGAUCGGCGCUUAGAGGGAUAGUUUUAGGGGCGAAUGUGGAGGAAAUAAAAAGAGAUCUAGGGUUUGCUAAAUGAGAAGAAAGGGGGGCUAGGGUGAUUCGGCCAAAUUUGGCUUAUUUUUAGCCUUUUUAAAAGAGUAAAAACGACGCCGUUCAAAGGGGGAAGGGUUCGCGCGUCAACCCGCUCCAGGACCCGUACCCACGCCCUUAUACUUCAAAUGGGUUAUUUACGAUAAAAGUCCUUCCCUUUUGCAUGGUUAUUCGAUUACAUGCAAUUUGCUUUAUUUCUUUUUUUGAAUUUAGUUCGGCAAUUUUGGCGUGUUUGCGCUUUGGUCCGUGCCUCUGUGCUGCGUUUUAGAGCUGGGUUUAUUCUCAGUUCUGGUCCCUGUAUGCUGGCGCGCUUCGCGCAUUGGUCCUUCGUGGAAUGUUUUAUUCGCAAAUCAGCCGUUUUUUUGUUUUAAUUUUAUUUGAACUAAUUUACCCAUACACUCAUGUAUUUUAAUAUGCUUUGUAUGUUUCGUAUAAAUGUUUUAUGUGUGCUAUUUUAUGUAUACAUAUAUACACGUAUAUAGUUUGUACUAAAGCUUUGUUAUAAAUGUAUAUAUAUACUAUUUUCAAUUUCAUAUUAUUUUCCUACACAUAGUUUUCUUCAUAUACAUAUGUAAGUAUGCCUUCAAAAUUAUUAUAUAAUUUAUAAUAAAAUUAACUUCAGCUUGCAUGUAUUUCUACACUUUUACAAGUAAUUAUUUUUAAAAGUUAUACGUAUAUACUUAUAAUUGGUAGAAUCAUUAUUUUUUUUAAGAUUAUAUCAUAUUACACAUUAUUAUUAUUUGUAAUAUAUUUUAAACCUUUCAUAUCACAAAUCCUCGUUUUUCAAAACCAUGUUAUUUAAUGUUUUGGUAUGAUAUCCGAUUAAAACAUUCAUUUUAUAAUAUGCAUUAAGUACAUAUCCCUAGUUCUUUUUACGAAUAGAUUUAAAAUGCAUCAAUUCGUUAAUUUGCAUGUCGUAUGAAUUAUUGGUUCAUUAGAUCGUCUUUGUUCCGACAUCGUUUUAUACCACUUUGACUUUUAAAUUCUAUUUGUUCUACAUGUAUUUUGUGGGUUGUUCUAUACUGUAGCAUAUACAUUAUUAUUGCAUGGUAUUCAUCUUAUUGAUAUGUCAAUUGUCAUUCAUAUGUGAUUGAAAUUAGGUCAUAAUUUCUAGCUAAUUAUAUUUAAUUGCUCAUUUUCUUGGUUGAUCGAUAUUCUCAUUCAUCAAGUAUGGUAUCUUAUAUGCGCCUAUUAUCCCAUCUCAUCGUUUUCAUUUGGUUUUUCAAAAUGUGGUUUUAUAAAAUCUAAUUUCUACGAUUAGUUUCAUCUCAUUUCAAAUCGAAUUAAUACGUUUUAAAGCUAGUUUUAUAAGCAUUCAUUCAAAAAUUCUUCAAAAACGAAGACGAGAUUCGUUGUUUGGCAAUUCGCGGAAUCGUGCCCUAACGUGUUGGGUUGCAAUUUCGCGUUUGCUCAAAAUAACCGAAUAUCACUUCAAAAUUUCAUUCAUGUCUUUUAAAAUUCUUCAAAACGAAGACGAGAUUCGAUAUUUAGUAAUUCGCGGAAUCGUGCCCUAACGUGUUGGGUUACAAUUUUGCGUUUGCUCAAAAUAAUCGAGUAUCCCUUCAAGAUUUCAUUCACAUCUUCCAAAAAUUAUUUAAAACGAAGGAAAUAUUCGACAUUUGACAAUUCGAGAAUCAUGCCCUAUCGUGCUGGGUUGUGAUUUCUUGUUUGCUCAAAACGAUCGAACAUUCAUUUAUAUUCUCACUCAUGUUUAUAAAAAAUACUUAAAAAACGAAGACGAUGUUUAAUGUUUGGCCAUUUGAGAAUCGUGCCCUACCGUGCUGGGUUGCGCUUUUUCGUUGGUCCGAAACAAUUGAAGAUCCCUUUGGAAUUUCACUCACAUUUUCUAAAAUCUUUCAAAAUAAAGGCGAUGUUCGAUUUUGGCGAUUUGAGAAUCGAGCCCUAUCGUGCUGGGCUACGUUUUUUCAUUUGUCCAAAAUAGUCGAAUAUCUCCUCGGAAUUUCACUCAUAUUUUUUUUAAGGUGAGGCAAUGGUCAAUGUUUGGAAAUUCGAGGAAUCGUGCCCUACUGUGCUGAGUUUCAGUUUUUCGUUGGAUUAAAUAGUUGAGCAUCCUUUUGUGAUUUUCAAAUUAUAAAAUUUCAGACUUCGAAACAAAAAGAUUUUUGACAAUCAACUCAGGUUAUUCAACUUUUAUUAAAAAGAGCCACAUUUCAAAAAACAUUUUUUAGACAUAAGGAUAGUAUUUAAUUGAUUUGGUACCAAUUUUGGGCGUAGUGAAGGUGCUAAUCCUUGCUCAUGCGUAACCGACCCCCGAGCCCGUUUUCUAAAAUUUUCGUAGACCAGAGUCAUUGUUUUAAUAAAUCGCAAAUGUUCUAUUAAAAUAACCAAAUUCUUAGGUGAUCCGAUCACACCCAAAACAAAAAGAUCGGUGGCGACUCCAUGCAUUUGUUUUUCAAAAGACGAUUUCCCCUUUUUUUAAAUUUAAAAAUUUUAAAUCGAGGGAUGGUUUUGAUAGUUUUAAUCUUAAAUUUAGGAUUAAAUUCGUUUAUGUUUUAUUAUUAAUAAUUUUACUAGUCUUUUCUUUCUUGUUUUGUAUUUUUAUCAUUUAUUUUAUUAUAUUUAUAUUUAUUCUUUAAUUAUUAUAUAUAAAAAAAAAGAGAGGAAAAAUUAUAAAAAAAACCCUUUGUUAUAUCCAAUUCCUCUUUUUUUUUUUCAGUUUUGCUAGGCUUUUAUUAACAAAAAAAUCCAAUACAACAGGGCAAUUACAGCCGAGCAAAAAAUAAGGCAGGUAUAGUGACACCAAACUUCGCAAGUGGAUCAGCUAACCCAUUUGAUUUCCUCAAUAUAUGAUGAAAAGACGCGUUCUUAAUAGAUCAAAUCAGCCCAUCGAUCUCAUUAAAAGUCUUUCAUAGUCUCCAUGGACGAGACUCCACAUUGCGUACCCACGAAACUGUAACAAGAGAAUCUCAUUCAACCACCAAAGACACCUAUUCUCAAGAUAUAUUAUAUAAUAUUGCCUGUUGAUAUAUCAUAUAAUAUAUUAUGCAUAUGCAUAUGCAUAUGUGAUAUUAUUAUUAUUAUUAUUAUUAUUAUUUUGAUAAUUGGAAGUAGGGUGAGAUUGCUAAAUAUUGAAUCCAAACUCACAUACCAUAACACAAAUGUUUUUAUCAUUAGGUAAAUCAGUUGUUAGCAUAUGACAUAUUAUUAUUAGUUUCAAACUAUAUGUUAUAUCUUUAAUAUAUUAUAGUUUUUAUACAUGCGUCUGUUUAUAUAAUUUUAAUUUUGUACAUAUGCAUAUGUUGUAUUAUUACUUGUUUCAAAUUAUAUGUCAUAUUAUUUAUAUAUUUGAUUAUUUAUAUUGCAAUUUUUAUAUAAAUAUAAGUUUUAAAAUAUAAUUUUUACAUACAUACGUAUGUGACAGACUUGCUAAUAUUAUAUAGUAUAUAUUAUAAAUUUGCCUGUUGAUAUAUUAUAUAAUAUAUUCUAUAAAUAUAUUUGCAUGUAUGUGUGUGCGUUUGGAGCUUGGGAGAUAGAUAGAUCUAUAUAUAAAUUUAUAUUACAUGUAUGGGGUAUAUAAAUAUAAUAUAGGUGAAAUUACCUUGAAGGUCUUUAUAUUAGAAGAUGGAUUAUUUUUUGUCACAUCUAUUAAAAAAGAAGAAGAUAAAUUUGUAUGUUAGAAAAAAGAAUGUAAAUUGAUCUUUCUAUUAAAAAUUUCAUAUUGCUAAGAGAUGAUUUGAUUUUUUUCAAAGUUUUUUAUGUAAGUGGCAUGGACUUAAAGGAUGAGUAGGAUUAGAUAAAAGUACCAUGGAGGUCUUUGUACUAGGAGCUAGAUUGCAAUUUACAAUUUUCUCUUCUGCUCAAAAUGAUUAGCAAAUUAGUCAUUGUACAUUAAAUCAAAAAGUAAUUUGAUAUUUCUGUUAAAGAUUUCAUCUAUUUCUACUUUUAGGUGAUGACGUGACUGACAGAGCAACCAAAUAGUGACACAUGGUGUGCCAUGUGUGCCUCAUUCUGAUCUGGCAUAUUUUGCCAUCUCAAAAAAUAUUUAAAAAUUAAAAAAUCUGAGAAAUAAAUAUUCUUUAAAUAAUUAUUUUAAAAAUUACAUCCAAUAUGAAUCUAGACAAAUGGUCACCCAUAUUUAAAUGAACCUAGGUAAAUGGUUGUCCAGGUUCAUCUUAUGUGUGGUUUUUGAAAUAAUUAUAAAAAUUAUAGAAAAUUAUUUUAAAAUAAUAAAAUUUAUAAGAAACUAUAAUUUUUUUAAAAUUAUUAAAAAUGUCUAGAAUGAAUUUGGACAAAUUGUUGUCCAGGUUCAAAUAAGACUAGACAACCAUGUGUCUAAGUUAAUUAUGAAGUUGUUUUUUUAAAUAAUUAUACAAAAUUAUGUAUAGAAAAUUAUUUAAAAUUCAUUAAGAAUUAUAAUAAAUUAAUAAAAUAGGACUCAUCAACUUGAUUAACUAAAAAUAUCAACUAGAUUACGAAUAUGUGGGGGUUUAUAUUUGAAUUCUUUAAACAUGCUGUAACACCCCAAUACCCGACCCGACCACUGGGUUCAAGUUAUAAGGUGUCACAUUCAUUACCAGAGCAACUACAAUCGAUAACAUCUAAUUCAAUGUCAAUAUACAUUUAAAUACAAUUCAUGCUAACUAAACAAUGCAUUAUCAAUUAUAGGCCUUAUAAAAGCCUACGAAAGCUCUUUUAUUAACCUAAGGUCGAAAUGGAUCAAAUUGUAAAUGUUACAAAAUUUUGAAUUGAUGUUGCGACUUUAGGGUUUUCCUCGUCGCGACGUGACUCUCUGACUAGUGUUCGUCAUGACCUCGAGGCUACGUUGUCACAAUGUGAGCCCUAAACUAAUUCUUGUCACGACGUUCGAGGUACGUCGUCGCAACUUGAUACUUGCAAUUCAAGAACUCCAAUUUGGUACCUAAAUGAACCUUACCAAAACAUCAUCAACCAUAUAUAUACUAAUCUCAAGACUUCAAUUUCAGCCAUUCCCCAUUAAAACAAGCCUAAAAUACCACGUUCAACAUUAACACAUCUUUUAUAAACAUGUACACUAAUCAAUUCACAUAAUUAACACAUAUGCAUUUACAAUAACCAUUUGUGACAUUAAACAAAAUGUCGCUAGGUACAUGCCUUAAGACCAAAAUGAAAUACACUUUACAAACUUUGUUGAGCCAGAAAUGGUAGUCUAGAUGCUGACUUCAAGUCCCGAGGCUUCGAGGAAUACCUAAACCUACACACAAAGAAAACAAAUCGUACACUGAGCAAUAGGGCUCAAUGGUACUUUUAUGAUUCAAAAUAGCAUAAUAGCACCAUAAAUAAGAUAUAAACAUAUGUCAAGACAAUGUAUGAGAUUAUGCACUCAAAAUCCAAGCCAUUGUGUUGCAAAAUAUCAAUCAUUCUUACCAAUUUACCAUUUAUUAAAACAUACAUAUAUUCAUACUUAAUUAACUUAUCCAAAAUCACCAUGAGCAUGACCAAUUCCAUAUAAUUUUCCAAUUAUCAAUAUUUAACCCUAUACCCACUCAAUAGCAUUCAUGAGUCAAAUGCUCACUUUUAGUUGCCUUUGCUAGCAUGAUGUUUCAUACCAUAUUUGAUCUAAUAUCAUUUACCUGAUCAACUAUCUUUCAAUCCCUUUUCCUAGAAUCGUUUGACUCAUUCAUGCUCGUUUUCGACCUCUAGGGCUUGUUUUCAAACAUUUUAUACAAUAGCUCAUAUGCUCUUUCUAUCACCAUUCACAUAAAGUAUAAGUGAGGCCUUAUCAUUAAUUAUACCAUUUCACAAAGUCAUUUGUUAAUCUUACCAUUCAUAACCCUAUUAACACAACUUGGAAUUGAACGGAUACACCAAUCAUCCAUCCAACACACCAAAUGGGCACCGAAGUACAUCAUCGGAUAAACCAAAAAAAGGUAAAGUGGCAUGUAAAGUUUAUGCUGGCACACAUAGCGUAUACUAGCACACGAAGUGCAUACUGGAGCACGAAGCGCAUCCUGGAACCUGAGGUUCAUCUUGGAGCAUAAGCCCAUAAUCUCGUACACAAUCAAAACCUAUGACAUGCCAACUAUAUCUAACUCAGCCUGACUAGUUAAUAAGGUACCAAAGUGCAAUAAUAAUAUACCAUGUACAUAUAGCAUUUCACAUUCAUUUGUAUAUCCAUAGCCAAUUUUGUCAUCAAACAUUUAUAAUUCAUAUCAUGUUAUAUGUAUGUAACCUAUCUCAUUUCAAUUUUCGUUUUACCUAUCACAAUUCAAAUAUUUCAAGCCAUUUUCUAUUUUAUUCAUUUUAGUCUUUUAAUACGAUAAUUUAUAUCACAACUAAUCAAAAUCAUUCACAACCUCAUCAUUUACUUGCCUUAACAUAUAUUGAUGGUCACUAAACUAACUAUAAAUAAGACUAAGGCAAACGCACCUAUCGAACAAUAGCAUAGUUAUGGUGAGUAGGGAAUAUCGUAUUCUCUAGGACUAAAAGUACUAGUAAUUACCGUUUUUCUAUUAUUUCGCCAACAAAUUGGAGCGAUUGUUUUUAAUCUAAAAUUAGUAAAAUAAUCUAACUAAGAACGCAGCAGAGAAUGAAAUAGGAAAAUAAUCGAAGAUAACCAAUGAGAUAGACAAUACCUAGGAAAGAAUCCACCUAGACUUCACCUAUUAUUCUGAAUCUGAAUUAAAAAAUUUAUUCAUUUGUGUCUUGAUCCUUAGAAAUCCCUAAAUUAUGUUAAUAUCUCUUUGGAGAGUAAGAACAACUGACUCUAGGUUGAUUAAUUGAAAUCUCUUUCUAAUUAAACCCCUAUGUCACAUUAACUCGAUCUAUAAAUUCCCCUAUUAGAUUUGACUCUAAACCGGUAGAUUUAUGUCAUCCUAUUUCUAGGAUUGCAUGCAACUCCACUCAAUUAUGCUAGAUUUACUCUUAAACAAGGACUUUUACUCCAAUAAAAUAAGCACAUUAAACAUGAAUUAAUAUCCCAAAAAUAUUAAAACACGAAAUAAGCAUACAUAAUUGAGAACAAGAAUCAAGUAUUUAUCACGUAAAAAUAGAAAUUAAAUAAUAAGAUUCAUCAUAGGUUUCAUCCCCCCUAGGUAUCUACGGAAUUUAGUUCAUAAUCCUAAAUUGAAACUUCUCAAAGUUAGGAUAACCACAAGACAUAAAGAAACUCAAUAAAACUCCGAAAGAAAUUAAAUGGAGAUCUUUGAUCUUGAGGGAGAUCCACUUCUAAGUUGAUUCUGAUGGCAUUCUUCGAGUGUUUUCUUCUAUCUUCUUUGAUUGUCCCCUUAGAUCUUCUUCUAAUUGGUAUUUAUAGGCUUUAGAAUGCUCAAAAAGCCUAAAAAUUGGGUUUUUUCGCGUAUCUAAGAAGCAGGGUGUGAUAUCGACAUGGGCUGGCACAUAGGCGUGUAGCCAGCCCGUUUGGCUCACACGAGUGUGUGGCUAGUCCGUGUGGAAAUGCCCAGGCCGUGUGGAUCCUGAAAACAACUCUUUUGUCUGAUUUUGGCUUAUGUUUUGCUCCUUUCACUUCCGUAUGCUCACCUAAGUAUAGAAACAUGAAUUUAAAGGAUUAGGAGCAUCAAAUUCACUAAUUUACAUAAUAAAUCAUCCAAGAACGCAUUAAGAAUGGGAUUAAAAUAUGUUACUUUUACAGAUUAUCAUAUAUUCAUCAAAUUAACACAUAUAAUCAAGAAUUCAAUCUAUUCUAAAUCAUAGAAGUACAAAUUGAGGUUUCGCACGUCACUCGUCAACGAUUUUCACUUUUUCUUUCCCUCACGGCUGUUUGGUGUUGUCAUUAGCUAAAAAUCAUAAAACAUAUCAAAUUAUAAAUUUCCAGCAAACUCAUAAUCAAAUACCAAAUUUCACAUGUUUUGCAAAUUAUUCAAUUUAGUCCCUAAAAUGAGGACAAGCAUAACUUUUAAUUUAAAGCCUCGGAUUAGAAUCUGUUUUCAUCAAAACUCAUUAAGGACUCUUUAUUUUACAUUCCUACAAAAAAUUCAUGAAAAUUUUUUAUUUUAUUCAAUUUGGUCCCUAAUGUAAGAAAUUUACAAUUAAGCUUUACAAUUUAGUCCUUUUCAUAUACUAAGAUUAAUUUCUAAUAAUUUCACACCAAUUUCAUUCAACUUUCAACAAUGGAAACUUUUAAAACUUUAACAGUAAAACAAAUUAUUACAUGGACUAGCUAAAUCAAGCUCCCAUGACAUCAAAUCUAUAAAAGUUAAUGAAAAAUGGCUAGGGACUUGGAAUUAGAGAUUGAAAGCUUCAAACUAUAAAAAAUGGUGUUUUUCUCUUAGGUUUCUUCUUUUUUCGAUUGGAGAAGAUGAAUCUAUCUUCUCUCCUUCCACUAAGCUUCCUUUUAUACAUGGUUUAAUAGUUAAUUAAGCUUUAUUUACUUAAUUAAUCAUGUUUUCUUAACUAUUAAACUUUUAUUUUCUUAAUUUAAUUAAUACAUGCAUGAUCGUCUACUAGAAUAUAAUUUAAAAGGUUUAUUAACCAUUUUGGCCAUUUGGAUUAUUGCAAUUUAAGUCAUUGAGCCUUAUUAUAAUUAAAAAUCUAUAGUUAUUGGACUUUUACGAAUUAGUCCCUGAGCUUUAAUUUCUCACAAUUUCGACUAAAUCUCUUAACCAAAUUUCAAUUCAUCAAUAUACUAAUUUUUUAAAUAUCCCUAUUAAAUAUUUAAGGACUUGAUUUACGAAAAUGGAGUCCUAAAAUUGCAUUUUUCGACAGCACUAAAAAUUGAGUCGUUACACAUAUACGUUUGUAUAUAUAAUUUUUAUAAUUUUUAAAAAUUUUAAAAGUUAUUUAAAUUUUCUUAUAAUUCAUAAUAAUUUUUAAAUAUUUUUAUAAUUAUUUAAGAAUCCACUCUAGAAUGAACCUAGACAAAAUGUUGUCCAAGUUCAUUCGAGCUUGGACAAACAUUUGUCUAGGAUCAUUCUAGACAUUAUUUUUAUUAAUUUUAAAUUUUAAAAAAUUAGGAUUUUUUUAAAAAUUUUAAAAUAUUGUCACGUCGGCAUGAGGUACAUGAGACAUGCCACGUGUUAGUGCUUGGUUUCUCCAUUAGCAACAUCAGCAUUUAACUGUAGAAAUGGAUGAAAUUUUUAACAAAAUGACCACUCUGCUCUUUGAUCUAAAGUAUAAUGACUAAUUUUCCCAUUUUUUGAGUAGAGGGGAUAAAAUGCAACCCGACUCCUAAUAUAAGGGCUUCCCUAGUACUUUUACCUAAUAUUAUUCAUCAUUUUAUUCGAAGCCACUUAUAUAUAAGAGAAAAAGCCAAAUCAUCACUCAUUACACCAAAAAUAUUUUUUCUUGACAUUUAAAAAACGUUACAAAAACAACACAAAAAGUCAUGAAAAGGUAGUUUUAGAGUUUCGUGACAUUUUAGGUGAAAUAUUGGAAAGCGUAACGCAUGAAAAGUAACAAAAAAUUUGUGACGCUUUAAAAAUGUAAAAGAAAUGCACUUUUGUGACAAUUUUAAACGUCACAAAAAGUUAAAAUGUCACAAAAAAAUGUUAUAUUUUCUUUCUCUUAUAAGUGUCAUGUUGACCAACCAAAAUGUCAUGAAAAGCUUAUCUAUUUGCUGAUGUUAAAAACGUCACGAAAAGUUAGACAAAAAAAGGUCACAAAAUAUCUAACUAUUUGUAAUGUUUAAAAAUGUCAUGAAAAUUUAAACAAAGAGGACACAAAAUAAGUAUUUUUAGUUACUUUUAUUUCUAAUCUAAAGUAACAAUAUAAUUAUAAAAACAUCACAAAAAGUAUAAACUCAUAAUAUAAAAUAAAUCAUCACCAAAAGUCAUAAUAUAAAUAUUAAAAGUCACCAAAAGUCAUAAUGUAAAUAAAGUAACAAAUUGUAUACAAUAUGAAGUACUAAGCUCCUGAACCUUAGAUUGGAGGUCAUGAACUAUCCACCACAAAACUAAUAGAAGGAGUAUCUUAAUCGGGGGUCUCUGAAGGCAAAGACAUAUCAACACCUUGGGAAGAUGAAGUACUACCCCUUGGUUCAAAAGAUGUUAUAGUGUUAACUAUCUUUCCCAUCCUUUUUUAUAUCGAACAUGAGAGCUUGACUUUAGAAGGAUGGCUUUGAAAGGCAUCACUAUUGUCAUAGUCCAUAGUAGAGAAGGAAGUGGGUGAUAGGAAAAAAUGGUGGGGUAUGGCUUUUAUUCUUCAUUGUUUUCUCUGCAGGAAACAUGAUAAUUAAACAUAGAAUAGACAUGAGUACCAGCCAAUUAUGAAAUUUCCAAUGAAAUGAGGUUUUAGCAAGAUGGAUUUACUACAAUACUUGCACCCAAUAAUAUAUAAUUUUGAAAUUCCCUCAAAAAAUAAAACGAAACAGAAAUAUAUAGAAGAAAUAAUAAUAAUAAAAUAGAUUUAUAAAUUUUCUUACAACAAAUCAAGAAAAUACAACUUCAAAUGGGGAUAACAAAUGAGGCAACAUGAAUAAUAUAACUCAUAGAGAACAAAGACAAAUUUUAUGACCUAAAGGCUUUCAAUAAAAAAUGACAACUUGUUCUUGGUAAGGUAAUUCUUUAGGAUGGCACAAGUUAUUUUUCAAAUUAUAUUUAUGCAAAAUUCAAUCUCAACAAAAUAAAAUAAACUUGAAAUAAAAAUCCCUUCAACACACAUAUAUACAUAUAAAUAAACCAUGCUUUUCAUAUGACGUUUAUCAUAGUCAAGAUAACCGCCAUUAAAUUCAACACUAAUAUUAAAAUUAAUUAAACCAACACGAACAUACUCCCAAAAUACAAUUUUUUGCCAUAAUCAAUUUCUAUCCAAUUAAUAUAUAUUAUAUCCAAUGUUUGGGUUUGAUUUGUUGGUUGUUGUCAUGUGAUGUGUUCUAGUUGGGUGGUUAAAUACUUAGUGUCUCUGCUUGUGGUUCCAUGCUUGUGUAAGGAAUAAUUUUUUUUUUAGCAAGCUUGUAAAAGAUUUUAGAUUUUUAUUAUACUUCUAAAAAUCUGGUUAGUUAAAAUUGGGAUAAGAUUUAAAGGAAUAAUUUAUUGUUUUAUUUUAUUUUAUUUUAUUUUCCUUCCCAGCCUAGUGUCACGUUUGACUUCUUUUAUUUUUAUUAUUAUUUCAUUUUAUUUUAUUUUGUUUUGAAUUUCCAAGUAAUCUGCUCCUUUUUUUUUCCCACGUUUGUUUCCUCCUUUCCCGUUUUCACGCCUCCAUCUACCCUGCUGUGCAAUCGUUCUAUUUAGUUCCUUUCUAUUCUUUCUUUUGAUUCUUGUUCUUUUGUUUUGUUUCUAUUUUUAUUUUGGCUGUCAUAUUUUUGUUAUAUUUUAUUCUUUCCUCAUGAUUUCGAGCUCGGGUGUUGGGUAAGAGAUCAGUUCGUCUAUUGUACGUUUGGUAUUUUAUUUUAAUUAUGGGUUGUUAUGUUCAAUAGAACAAGGGGUUGUUCACUAGGUUUUGUUUGCAAUUGCAUCGUUGUGCCUUUAGGAGAUGAUCAAGGGGUGUUUGGUGUUCCUCCAGAGACUUAGGAUUUGUGUAGUGUUGCUCGUUUAAUGGUAAGUGUACAGAUAAGUUUGUGUAGUGUCGUUUAAGCUCGGUUGUGGUUAAUUCUUGGUCAGAUUUCAUGAAUCAUUACUAAAAUUGGUGGUGUUUAUUUGACAUGUUUAGGUUUUGGAAUAUUCGAUUUUGAGCAUGCAUUAGAUUUUUGACCUAGGUGUGUAACGAAAAACACGAAAAUAGCGAUCAACAAAAGCCGAAAAACUGCACAGUCGGUGCCACACGGUCGUGUGCCAAGCCAUGUGGUAGGCCGUGUGUGACACACAGUCGUGUGACGGACCGUGUGAUGGAUCGUGUGUGACACACUGUCUAAGCCGUUUGGGUGUGUGGGCUACACAGACGUGUGGGCCCAAAAUUCUAAAUUUUUUCCUAAGACUGUAAAUAUUGUGUUGAUCGAUCGUAAGCCUUUCAUAGGGUCGGUAUGUUAUAAAUUAAGCCAUAAAACUCAAAAUCUGAUCAUAUGUUAGCGUAAAAUUAGAUAUAAAUAUGCAUGUUUGAUAUGAUAUAAGAUAGGUAAUAUGCUAUGAAUGACCUGAGAAAUGUUGUGUAUGAUCUGAUAUCCGAUAAACAUAAUUUGAGUUUGAUAUUGAGCGCGUAUGAAAAAUACAUGUAUGACAUCUGAUAUUUUUGUAUGUGCAUUUAGGUUGGGAUGGUAUAUAUGAAGUGUGAGCAAUAUAAUAACUUGUCGUAUUUGGUGUCUCAACCACACAUAUUUCUAUAAAUCUGGCAGCUAAGCUGCAAAUAUUCUAAAAAAUGUCAUAUUGACACUAAGCGGUGUGUAGGGUUGGAUGGGUAUUUAAUACCUUAUAUGGUGCGUAGAGAUGAUCAGAGAUGAUGUGUAGCGGAUGAGGGUAGGAUUGAAAAUAUGCAUCUGAUUCUAUUUUUGUAUGUGAUAUAUGUUUUAUGUCUGUUCUAUUAUGAGAUAUGCCCGAGAUUUAAUCUAUGAUACUGAUUUAAUGAGUUACACACUGAGUUUUGAAAACUCACUUUCUGUUUGUCUGUCUCUUUCAAGUAACCCUUAAACUUAGACGAAUCAGUAUGUUAGGAGCUUGGUUAUAAUAAUUUGGUAUAUUUGAUUUUUCUUAAAUUUGAAAAUAAGGUGUUUCAUAUAUUUUGGACUACUUGGACACCUAGGACUGUUUUAGGUUUGGACUUUAUUAUUAUUUUGUCUAAAAUUGUUUAACCGUUUUUAUUGAUGAUGCUCAAUUUUCCUACGAAGCAAUGGAUUUUCAAAAUAACAAAUGGUGUUUUUUUCAAAAUCUAACACAUUAAAGAUUUUCGCUCCAAAGUUAUACGUUUUAGAAAAUGUAAACAAACAAAGUUUCACAAAACGGGAAAUAAAGAUGUGUUUUCAAAUAAACCGAAUUUUUGCAUAACAAAAGUUAACGAUGCUUUUCAAAUCAACGAAUUUCCAGGUUUUAAAACAAGUCUACAAUAACAUCUCUAAAUUUGGCCAUAACAUUUAGCCCGAGUUUAAGGUGUUACAAGGUGUCUUAAAUAGAAGAUGUUAAUAAGUUUGCAAGAGCCUAAGUUGUGAAGAGGGUAGCCCAAAUGCACUUCAAUUGAAGAUCAAGCCCAUUUAAAGCUCAUUUAGAUCACUUGAAGACUUAAUUACUUUAUUUUUAUUGGCUUAAUCUGUCAAUGGCUCAAUUAAGACGUUUAUUUUUAAGCCCAAUUUAAUUUGUUUUCUUGUAAAAUUUGGUCCAUAUACAACUAUCAUAAAGCUAACCAAAUUCAUUUAGUAUUUUAUUUCUUCCUUUUAAGUUUCUUAUGAAGUAAGAGUUACCUUUCUUAGUUGCCCACAUAUUAGUCUACAUUUUAGGGAUUUGUUUUUAUUUCUUAGCCAUCAUAAUUUUAUAGGUUAGUUUUUAGGGAUUUGUUUCUCUCUUUUUUUAGCUCGCUUUUCGUAUAAAAAAGGGUAACCACCCACCAUAGGGAGCACCUAACUUUGAUUUGAAUAAAAGUACUCUUUGAGUUCUUCUCCUUUGCAAGAAAUAUUUUCUUAUUUGUUUUAGAAGAGUUUUCAACUCAAUCUUAUUUUGAGAUUGUUGGUGAGAGUUAUUCACCCCUCGGUUUGCCAAGUUAUCUAGCUUGGAGGGUCAGUUAAAGUCAUUAGUGGAGUUUAUUGAAGCUUGUUUUUCGAGGGGUUCCAUUAUAUAUCUUUCUUCCCUAUCUCGCCAUCAUCAUUUUUAUCAUUCUUCCAUCUUUCUUUAUUUAUUCUUAGUUUUCUUUUUUUGAAGAACAAUAUUUGACUUUUCUCCUUCAAAAAUUCAUAAAAAAAAUAGCUAAAUCUAUCUCCACUUAUUUCAAUCUCCUUCUUUUCAAAUCAAUUAUAUUUUCAUUCUUACUAAUCAUUUGUUUGUUUAAUUUUCAGAUUCAAAUUCUAAACAUUUUCAGCAACUUGGAAAUUGAUCUAUCCACUGCCCUUUAUCAUUCGGUAUCAAAUUUUGGAAUGCUUUUUGUAUCCUUGGUGUGCUAAGAUUGAAUUCAUGUCAGUUGUUACUUGGAUGCCUCCCAAAGAUGUUGUUACUUUAUAUAUACUAAAGCGAUAAUUUUUUUUUAAUUUAUAAAUUUACUUUGUAAUAUUAUUUGUUUUGGUAUUUUUCAUGGUCGUUUUACGAUCCAUGUUCGAAGUUCAUGGCUGCCUCUUCAACAAUGUCACCUCCAAAGUUCGAAUUAGUAUCACCCCUUAGGAAUACAAUGUGCCUUACCAUUGCAUCCAAUACUUAUGGGUCAGAGUUAAUUUUUUUAAUUUAUAAAUUAUUUUUUAUAUAAUAAUCAUCAUUAUAUUUUAGAUUAUUCAAGAGAUAAUAUAUACAAACUUUAAAUAUCUUUUUAAAUUAAAAAGAUUUCUAUUUCAUUAAAAAUUAAUUAAUAAAUUGUAAAAGUUACUUAAGUUUUUUAAAACAAAAUUAAAAUAUAUAAAUUUGAAAAUAAAAUUACAAAAGAGAAAUGAGUUUUUAAAAGGUUUUUAGGUUUAUUUUAUUCUCAUAUUUUAAAUUUUUAAAUUUUUUUUACAUAAAAAAAUUACAUAAAUUUUGAAAAGUUUAUGUAACCUUUCAAAUUUUAUUUAUUUAAAAAUUUUAUAUGAAAAUAUAAUAAUUUAACAUAAAAGUUGUUAAUGUGUCGUUAAAAUAAGUUGUCCACAUUAGCUUUGGUCUCAGGCUUUGUAAUAUAUAUAUGUUAUAAGGGGAGGGAUUCAUUUACGCUGAUGUAAAACUAAAGUUAUUUUAUAUUUUUUUGUGUAUUUUUAUACAAUUAAUUUUUAACGAUCCAACUAUUAAAUUUAUUUAUAUAAUUGUACUUGUUGUACAUGUAAAGUCUCGAGCGAAUCCGAUAUCUCUAUUAUAUUGAUUUAAAAUAUUGUAUAUGUUAAUAUUUAUUGAACAGUUGACUUUUUUUUUACCUAAAACAAAUAGUUAAAAAUUAUCGGUAUAUGUCAAAUUCAACAUACAUAACCUAUUUGGAUGAAAUAUGAUAGUUAAAUUACUAAAAUAUUAAUUGUAUAAAAAAAAUGAAAGACAAUAAAACAACCCCAAAAAUGUUCAAACUAAUUUCAAAAAAGCUUAGAAAAUGUUAACGAGUUUCAAAUUUCAUAUAUAUUUUUAAAAAUUUAUCCUUUUAUCUUACAGCAACUAUGAUAUAAAUUGAAAAUAGGUUAAUUAUGAAAAUCAUAGUUAAAAAAAUAGCUUAGAGUACAGGAGAAACAUGAAAUUUUUUUAUUUAUCUGAUUUUUUAUAUUUUAAAAUUUAUGGUUUAUCUUAUUAAAAUAUGAAAAUAGGUUAAUUAAAUAUGAGAAUCCUAUUUUGUUUUUUGGCAUAGGAGGAAAGUGCCAUAUUAAGGUAUUGUAUUAAAGUAUAAAUAAAAAAAUGGCAUGUAUCAUUAAAUACGGGAUGCUAUGUGUUAUUUAAAUAAUUGGUCCACAUCAAAAAUAAAUUUAAAACCUUAUAAAAUGGGGCAAAACACAUAAUUUAUUGUCAAGGAAUUAAAAUUUAAAAAUGCGGAUAAGGACAAACACAACGCAGCCGCGGUGUAUAAAGGUUGGGUCAGCUCAAAAACUGUUCACACAACAUCCAUCCUUCCCUACAUUCAGGAUGUUAUCAGUCAACUCCUGCGCGCCUUGUGAAUAUAUUGAUUGCGUAUAUAAUAAAAUAAUAAAUAUUAUUAAAAUUAUGGAAAUGAUGACGGAGACAUCAAAGGAAUUCUUGAAUGUUAAAUGACAAACUGUUCAUCAUUCAUAGGCCGGAAAGGAUAAAGGCAUAGCUGAACGCUGGAGCUGUGUAUAAAUUCUGCUCAAUCGCUGCUUCACAUCUCACCAUUCACAACACAAAAUUAAUUCACAAAUGGAUUCCCAAUCUCCUUUGAAGCUUCCAGUCAUUGAUUUCACUAAGCCGGAGCUAAAACCGGGCACCCCUGAGUGGGAUUUGGCCAAAGGCCAAGUCCAACAAGCCCUUCAACACUACGGUUGCUUUGAGGCUUUGUUCGACAAGAUCCCUCUGGAGACUAGGGAAGCAGUAUUUGGAGCCAUGGAAGAGUUAUUUGAUCUCCCCUUACAAAUCAAAAGUCGCAAUGUUUCCGAAAUACCUUAUCAUGGGUAUAUUGGCCAACAUCCUAAAAUACCAUUGUUUGAGAGCAUUGGCUUUGAUGAUGCAGAUGUUAUCGAAAAAGCCGAAGCCCAGACUCGUACAUUUUGGCCUCAAGGAAACCCAAGUUUCAGGUUCAUAAAGUCAUUGCACUUAAAAUAAUUUCCCAGUAAUUUCUCCUCAAUCUCUUUAUGAAUUUUGGUAUAUAUAUGUUUGUCUGUAUUGAUCAGCAAAACUAUACAAUCCUUCACAAAGCAAUUAACAGAGUUAGAUCAAAUGAUAAGAAGAAUGAUCUUAGAGAGUUUCCAAGUAGAGAAAUAUGUGGAUGAGCACAUGGACUCCACAGGCUACCUUCUCAAGGUAAUGAAAUAUGAAGGGCCAAAAACCAGUGGAACGCAGGUUGGACAGGUGCUCGCACAGAUCAGGACGUAGUGACCAUUCUGUACCAAAAUGAGGUUAACGGAUUGGAGGUACAGAGCAGCAGCGGAGAAUGGAUCGGUGUCAAACCAUCCAAAGACUCUUUCAUUGUCACCAUUGGGGAAUCUCUCCAUGUAAUUAUCAUUCCAUGUUUUUUUUUUUUGUCAUAAUUGAUGAAUUAAAUGAAUUAGUUGGGUUGGUUUGUUAAUGGUGCAGGCAUGGUUAAAUGGGCGAUUGAAGGCUACUUAUCAUCGAGUGAUGAUGAGCGGAGACAAGCCAAGGUAUUCGCUUGGAUUGUUUACAGUCCCAAAAGCAGGUUACAUGAUAAAGGCACCAGAAGAGCUAGUGGAUGAAGCACACCCCUUGCUCUACAACCCCUUUGAUUACGCUCAAUUCUUGGGCUUCUACUUUUCCAACGAGGGUCGAUAUCAAUCUGGUCUUAAAGCUUAUUGUGGUGUCCAACACUAGGAUAGUCAUGUAAUAAUCAAAAUAAUAAGUUUUAGGAUAUCUUUAUCGGUGUGUUUCUACAUCGGUGCUGCUACCUAGCAUUGACAAGCUUUAGCGGUACUCAAAAACUGAGGUCUCUAUUUUUUUUUUAAUGGAACCCUAUGGGCUUCUUGUGAUGGUUGCAAGUUAUUUUAUUUCUUCAAUAAUCAAUCAUAUCUUGCUUUAACGGUUAGGUGCUGAUUUUAUGGUAAUCUCACAUGCAUUCUCUAUACUAGAAUUGAAUCUGAAAAAAGAAUCCUUUAAAUUUUUUUUUUCGAAGUUAAUUAUAUUUUAAAAGAAAAACAAAUAAAAAAAUGUGUUGUAAAUUCAUUGAUAAAUGGAGAUCCGUAACUCCCUCAAAUUUAUCCUAUUGUAACCCCUAAAGAAUGAAUGUUCAUAAUCCCUUAAUGCUUUGUAACUUAUGGUAUUUGAAGCCAUAUAAAUUGAGGGCAUGUACAAGCUUAUUGUAUCCUAAGUGAAAGUCAAAUCACCAUUUCAUUGCUUUAUCUUUCUUUCUCUCUUAAUCUUUGUAUUCUUCUUUUAGUUUUAUAAUACACUAUCAGCACACAUCUCUACAAGUUCAUAAUGAAGUUAAUGUCAUUGCAACUAUAUAUAACUUGCCCGUAAAGCUCCCAUUGAACUAUAUAUGGUAUACAUAUUUUCAUCAUUGUUUUAAUUUGUUCAUCUUAUUUCUAUAAAAAGAGAAUUAUUCAAAGCAUACAAAUUAAUUUUAUAUACAUAUUUUAAUGAUAAUGUUAUGAAUAUUUUAUUAUUAAAUGGAUGUCCAUUAAGAUCAAUAUAAGUUUUGAUAUACUUUAAAUUCUAAUAGUCAUUAGAAGUAGAGUUCUAUUUCAUUUAUACUUCUUAUGUCUAUAAAUAUAGAUUUUGGAGAAUCAUUGUAGAUUAUUUCUGUAACACCCCUAACCCGUGUCCGUUGUCGGAUUAGGGUUACGAGUCAUUAACGAACAAAAAUACAUUUACGAACAACCACACUCAUAUAUAUAUAAGUCAUAUCCAUAUAUAUAAAUUAAAAAAUAUAUAAAUUCAAUUAAAUAAUAAUCAUGAUUUCAUUAAACAUAAUAUAAUGUACAAAUCAGAUUAAAAGCAACUCAAUAAUAUUCGAAUACCUAGAAGAAAUCAAACCAUUUAUAUCUUAUUUUACUCUAGCACAUCUUUAACACUUUAAAAUGUUUACAUAGUACUUUAUUCAAUAGCAAAAACAUACAAUAUUAUCAACUUUAUUGAAUGGUCUUAUAAAUAAGUCAUAUAGUUAACUGUAAUUUAAUAAUGAACCUCCAUCCAAAAUACAUCAAACAACUAUGUUUAUUCACUUAAACCAAAUCCGUAUAUUCAACAUCAAUUUUAUAUACUUACACCAUUUUUGUAUACGAAUAACAAUUUCUGCAUAUUAUUACAUAAUUUAACAAGAAAUUAUUCAUGCAACUUAAUACAUUAUAACAUGACUAAUCAUGUAAUUAGGGUUUUAGUUACAUAAUACGAAUUUGCCUUAGUUUCAAAGCCACAUUUAACAAAUAAAUUCAUACCACAUAAUUGAUUAAAACAAUCAUGGAACAUUUUUCCUAACUCAAUACCUAGCAUAGCCGAAUCACAAAUUGUAAAAUAUUCAAAACAUAAAUCUUGCAUACCAUGUUAUAAACAUAUCAAAACAUAUUUAUAUCAAGUUCAGAUAUAGCUAAACAACUUUAGAUGCCAAUUCACUUAUAACACAUUAACUAAUUACAACAAACUAAUGCACGUAUAUACUUUUACCUAUGCAUAUCAUAGCCAAACCAGCCACACAUUCAACCAAAUUCUUUAACCAUUCUAAAACAUAUAACACCAUUCAUCCAUAGCACAUCACACUAUAACCAAGAAUGAAUUCAAACACAACCAAGCAUAACCGAAUUUAACAUAUAAAUUAAGCCAUUUUUCAUGGCCUAUAUACAUAACCCAAGGUUCAUUAUUUCAAAAUGUAAUCUAGCCUAUACAUGCCAUAAUUCAAGUUCAACCUUUUAAGUACCGAAACAGUAGAUAGUGUGAUGAACUUUGCUGAUGAUCCCCGAGCUUGUAACGUGAAUCCAAAAUCUAUAAAACAAGGUAAACAUGUACACACAGAGUAAGCUAACUUAGCUUAGUAAGUCAUAAGCAAAUAAAUAGCACAAUGAUAUAAAUAUCUCAUUUUAAACUAAACUAAAUUGUAUUAAAGAUAAAUGCUUAACCUUAAAUUACUAAUACAUAAUUAAUACAUUUUCAUACACAUUCCAUAGCAAAAAUUAACCAAAUGACAUUCAACUUUCAAAGCUAUGAAGUCAUUAUUUAAUCAUUUAUACAUAUACUCAUGAAAAUAAGCUCGAAAAUCAUAAUAAAACAUUAUGAACAUGUACCUCUUAUUUGGCCAAAUAUGCAUGGUCAUAAUUACACACAUAUAUAUAUCAAAGGCCGAAUAUUCAUACUAAAUUCACAUGAAAUCCACAUUUGCAUUAUACAUAAUUUGUAACAUGUUUCAAGUCACAUACUUACCAUAUUUCAAGUAGACAACAAGCUAACCCAUACUUGUCCAUUUAGCUCAUUUUAUACAUUCGAUCACAACUUAGCUUUACCCGAUGAACCAUUCGGAAUUGGAUAGGACACUAGGAUAAUCACACAUAUCGUACAAUGCCAAUGUCCCAGACGUGGUCUUACAUGUAAUCACAUAUCGAUGCUACUAUCCCUAACAAGGUCUUACUCGCACACAUAUAUCGAGAUCACAUAUUGAUGCCAUGGUCUUACUCGCACACAUAUAUCAGAAUCCUAUGUCAUGACAUAUGUAUCCUAACUGUUCCUAAGGUUCAUACGGGGCUUUCGGACGUCGUAACUCGGUCGAAACGAAUUCGAAAAUAUAGUAACCAAGCUUUUUCAUGUUCGGCCAUAACAUAUAUAAUUUCAUAAAUUUCAUUUCAGCAUGUAUAUUUAGUAUUUAAUUAAGAUUAAGUACGUCUAUUUGCUUAUAAACUUACCUCGGACGACACAAAACGGAACAGGGCAGCUAGUCGACAACUUUCGUUUUCCCUCGAUCCAGAUCCGAUUUCUUUAGUUCCUGAUCUAAACAUAUUCAAACUAAGCUCAUUCAAACAUAUUUUCAUUCAUUUAAGUCCAAAAACACAUAAAUGGGAAAAUUAUCAUUUUACCCCUAACAUUUACACUUUUUACAAUUUAGUCCCUAUUACACUAAACACAAAAUAUGCAAAAUUUCCCUAUACCCAUGUUGGGCCGAAUUUUACCCAUGCUUAUACAAGUCCAUAUAUUUCAUUUAUUUCACAUUUUAUUCCCUCAAAUUAUUAUUUUUUCAAUUUAGUCCUAAUUACUCAAAAUCAUCAAAAACUCCAAUACAAAACAUGUUAAUCUAAAACAUAUCUUUCAUUUUUUUAUAAUCAAACAACAAAAAUCACAAACUCUCAUCAAGACAUAACUCAAAAUAUUCAUCAAAAUAAAAAAUUCAAGCACGGGUUUUGUAGUACUUGAAGCAACGAUCUCAAAAACGUAGAAAUUAUCAAAAACCGAACUGAACUCUUACCUUGAUUGAGCUUGAAUGAAGUCGAACCCUAGUUCUUUUUCUUUUUCCUUCUUAUUUAUGUUUUCUGUGGAUAAUAAUAUAAGAACAUGGCUUUAUUUAUUUUUAUGUUAUAAGAUAUAAAAUAACUUAACAUUUAUUUUACCUUUUUAACCUUAGUUAAAAACAUUAUACUUUCACUUAUAAAUGUCCAUUGUCGUCCACCCAUUUUAAUAAUGGCCUAGUUACUUCAUAAAGGCUUCCAUUUAAAAAUUCAAUAGCAUAUUGGCCCUUUAUACAUUAAACUACCAAAUUUUUAAUUUACGCAAUUUAGUCCAUUUUAUUUAAUCGGACACUCAAACAAUAAAAUUAAUUCACGAAAAUUUCACACAUGCUAAUUCACAUACAAUAAACACAAAAAAUAAUUUUAAAAUAUUUUUCUGACUCAGAUUCAUGGUCCCGAAACCACCGUUCCGAGUAGGGUCUAAAUCGGGUUGUUACAACUCUCCCCCCUUAAGGAUUUUCGUCCUCGAAAAUCUUACCGGUGAAUAGGUUCGGAUAACGUUCUCUCGUUGCAUCCUUUGGCUCCCACGUUGCUUUCUCAACUCCGUGUUUAUGCCACAGUACUUUAACUAACGGAAUUUUUUUUAUUUCGCAACUCUUUAAUCUCACGAGCCAAAAUACGAAUCGGUUCUUCCUCGUACGUCAUAUCGGGCUUAAUCUCAACCUCAGCUAGACUAAUCACAUGUGAGUGAUCAGAUCGAUAUCUACGAAGCAUCGAAACAUGAAAUAAAUUAUGGAUCUUUUCUAGUUUAGGUGGCAAUGACAGUCUAUAAGCAACUGACCCGAUACGCUCUAUAAUCACAUACGACCCAAUAAAUCUCAAACUCAAUUUGCCUUUACGACCGAAUGAGUAUUUUCUUCCAUGGUGAAAUCUUCAAGAAGACUUUAUCUCCGAUCUGAAACUUUAUAUCUUUACGUUUCAAGUCCGCAUAUGAUUUUUGACAAUCUGAAGCUGCUUUCAGACUUUCAUGGAUCACUUUUACUUUCUAUUCAGUUUCUCUGAUCAAAUCGACCCUGUGUAUCUUAUUUUCACUGAGCUCAGUCUAAUACAAUGGUGUAUGACAUUUACGAUCGUACAAAGCCUUGUAAGAUGUCAUUUUGAUACUCGAUUGAAAACUUUUAUUAUACACAAAUUCAAUCAGAGGUAGGUAUCGUUCCCACGUACCUUCAAACUCGAGAAUGUAACAUCUCAACAUAUCCUCAAGUAUCUGAAUGAUUCGUUCAGACUGACCAUCUGUUUGCGGAUGGAAAGUAGUGCUGAAAUGCAAUUUCUUACCUAAUGCAUCUUGCAGUUUCUUCCAAAACCACGAUGUAAACCUCGGAUCUCUAUCCGAAACAAUAGAUAUAGGUACCCCGUGUAAUCUCACAAUCUGAGAAACAUACAAUUCAGCUAGCUUAUGAAGUGAGUAGUCUAUACGUAUCGGAACAAAAUGAGCUGAUUUAGUCAAUCUAUCAACAAUAACCCAAAUUACAUCUUUCUUGCUUGGUGUUAACGGUAAACCGGAUACAAAAUCCAUAGUAACUCUGUCCCAUUUCUACUCCAGUAUCAUAAUCGGUUGAAGCAAUCCAGAAGGUACCUGAUGUUUAGCUUUUACUUGUUGACAGAUUAAGCAUUUUGAAACAAAGUCAGAAAUGUCUCGUUUCAUACCGUGCCACCAAUAAAGCUGCUUCAAAUUAUUAUACAUCUUCGUACUACAUGGGUGAACAGAUAACCGACUGCUGUGAGCUUCAUUCAAAAUCAUCUAAAUCAACUCUGAAUUCUUCGGGACACAUAUUCAGUUUUUGAAUCUCAAACAGUCAUCAGCAUCAACUCGAAACUCUAAAUCAGCAUUUGAAUAACAUUGAGCUCGUUUUGCUUUCAACUCAUUAUCAACCUUCUGGGCAUCACAAAUUUGUUGAACAAAUAAUGGUCUUGCUUUCAAUUCAGCUAUUAUUGAACCAUCAUCAGAUAGCCAUAUGCGCAUUCAUUACACGCAAAGCAAACAGUGAUUUUCAGCUUAAAGCAUCAGCAACAACAUUAGCCUUUUCCCGGGUGAUAGUCAAUUACAAGCUCGUAGUCUUUUAGCAAUUCUAACCAUCGGUGUUGUUUCAAAUUAAGAUCUUUUGAGUCAUCAAGUAUUUCAGGCUUUUAUGAUUAGAAUAAACAUGACAUUUCUCACCGAACAAAUAGUGGCGCCAAAUUUUCAAUGCAAACACGAUAGCUGCCAAUUCUAGGUUGUGUGUCGGAUAGUUCUUUUCAUAUGGUUUUAACUGUCUUGAGGCAUAAGCUAUAACUCUACCUUCCUGCAUCAAAACAUAGCCCAAACCAUUUAAAGAUGCAUCACUAUAGAUAACAAAUUCUUUACUCGAUUCUAGCUGAACUAGCACUAGAGCUUCGGUCAAAAGGGCUUUCAACUGAUCAAAGCUUUUCUAGCACUUUUCUGACCACUUAAACUUAACAUCUUUCUGUAAUAGCUUUGUUAUCGGGGCUGCAAUCAUAGAGAAGCCUUUCACGAACCGUCUAUAAUAACCAGCAAGUCCCAAAAAGCUUCAAACUUUAGAAACAUUCUUAGGAGGUUUCCAAUCGAGUAUAGCUGAAAUUUUACUCAGAUCAACCUGAAUACCCGAUCCUGAUACAACAUGGCCUAAAAAAUUGACUUCGCUUAACCAGAACUCACAUUUACUGAACUUUACAUACAACUGUUUAUCUCGCAAAGUCUGUAACACAAGUCUCAAAUCUUCGGCAUGUUUGGUUUCAUCACGAGAGUAGAUCAAAAUGUCAUCUAUGAACACAACCACAAACCAAUCCAAGUACUGUCUGAAGAUCUGAUUCAUCAAAUCCAUAAAAAUAGUAGGUGCAUUAGUAAGUCUAAAAGGCAUAACCAAAAACUCAUGUGUCUGUACCUCGUUCAAAAAGCAGUCUUUGGCACAUCAGAGUUUUUAACUCGCAAUUGAUAAUAGCCUGAUCUUAAAUCUAUCUUCAAAAAAUGUUGUAGCCUCUUUCAGUUGAUCAAACAGAUUAUCAAUCCGUGGCAACGGAUUCUUAUUCUUUAUAGUCACCUUAUUGAGCUGUCUAUAAUCAAUGCACAUUCUCAUAGUUCCAUAUUUCUUUUUCACAAACAGUACUGGUGUACCCCAAUGAGAGAAACUCAGCUGCGCGAAACCUCUAUCUGUCAACUCUUGCAACUGAGCUUUCAAUUCUUUUAAUUCUGUAGGUGUCAUUCUGUACGGAGCUAUGGAUAUCGGGGUCGUCCCAGGCAUUAACUCAAUACCAAACUCUACCUCCUGAAUUGGUGGCAAACUCAGUACUUCUUCAAGAAACACAUCCGGAUACUCGCACACAACAAGUACUGAUUCAAUGUUUCUUUCGGCCACUUUAUUGUCAAGCACAUAUGCAAAGUAAGCUUCACAGCCUUUUCUCACAUAUUUCUGAGCUAACAUAAAAGAAAUCACUGCUAGUAACCCAUUCAGAUCAUUAGAUUCAAUCUGAAUAAUCUCAUCAUUCUGGCACCGUAAAUCAAUAGUCUUUCUUUUACAGUUUACAACAGUAUCAUGCAAAGUUAACCAAUCCAUACCCAAAAUUAUGUCGAACUCAUCAAAUGGAAACAACAUCAAAUCAGCCGAAAACACAAAUCUUGAACUAUUAAAGGAGAAUUCUUACACACUUUGUCAACCAUAACACACCGACCUAAGGGGUUUGACACUCUAAUCACAAACUCAGUAGACUCAACUGGUAAAGUCUUACUGAAUACUAAUGCCUCACACACAUAAGAAUGAGUAGAACCAGGAUCAAUCAAUGCAAUUACAUUUGUAUCAUAAAGAGUGAAUGUACCAGUAAUGACAUCUGGGGAUGAAGCCUCCUCUCGUGAGCAAAUAGCAUAGGCUCUGGCAGGUGCACGAGCCUUAGAUCUGGCUGCUGCAUCUUUAUUCACUCUCUGACUGCCACUCGUAUUACCCGUAUUUCUGGGUGGCCUACAUCGAGCUACAGUAUUACCCGAUCUCGUAUUCUAUACUGGAUUUUCUUCAGCUAAUACUGGGCAAUCAUGAAUAUAAUGAUCCAUCGAUCCACAUUUAAAACAGGCCCGAUCAUGCAAUCUGCAACUACCAGGAUGUCGUUUGCCACAAUGUUUACACUCGAGUUGAUUUGAUCUGACAUUACCCACACUAGCUACUGAGGUAGCUCUUGAGCUCAGAGGUGGUCUACUCUGAUCUUGUCGAGAAUAACCCGAAGUGGAUUUUGAAUGGCUGAAAUCAUCUCUGAACUUCUUUGGUACCGAUUAGAAUGACUUACCAAAUGUUCUUUUACGUGCAUCUCUAGCUUCAAAGUCAUCUUUCCUUUUCUCUUUCCUGAGCUCUUCAGCUUUGCAGGCUUGCUCAACCAGUACUACGAACUCUUUUAUCUCAAGUAUGCUAACUAACAGUUUAAUGUCUUCGUUCAGCCCAUCUUCAAAUCUUUUAGACAUUAUGGCUUCGGUAGAAACACACUCUCGAUCAUACCAACUGAGUCUCACAAAUUUCCGCUCAUACUCUGUCACAGUCAUACGACCCUGUUUCAACUCCAGAAAUUUCUUACACUUCUGGUCGAUAAAUCUCUGGUUGAAAUAUUUCUUACAAAAUUCAGUCUGAAAGAACUCCCAGGUCACCUGCACUUUCAGAACCACUGAUACUAAGGUAUUCCACUAGUGAUAUGUUGUGUCUUGAAGCAAAGAUAUAGCACAUUUCAAAUAUUCAUCCGAAGUACAACAUAGCUCAUCAAACACACAGAUAGUAUUAUCAAGCCAGAACUCAGCCCGUUUAGCAUCAUCAUCAUCAGUAGCUUUAAACUCUUCAGCCCCGUAUUUUUUAAUUUUAUCAACAGGUGGCUUAUACAAUCUCAACGGAUCACUUACUUGACGUACAGCAAGAAUCGAAGAUGGAUUAGUCGGGGGUGGAGGUUGUUGUGCAGCCAAGUUAGUCCAGAUAUACUGAGUAAACCAGUCAUUCAUCAUUUGGUAAAAGGCUUGCCUAGACUCUCCUUCCUAGUUAGUCGACAUCGGUCGAGAAUCAACCGAAGAUGUUCCUUGCGCGGGAGCAGGCACUACACUCUCGACAUCAUCGGCUACAGCUCUGUCGGGAUCCAUUUACUAUAUGAAAACACAUUUUCAAUUGUUAGAAGUCAUCAUACUAUCACAGUAUAUAAUAUGGCAUGUAUAGCUAAACUCACACCGUUAUAUUAGUCCUAGAAUGAACUAAACCGUAGCUCUGAUACCAAUAAAAUGUAACACCCCUAACCAAUGUCUGUCGCCAGAUUAAGGUUACGAGGCAUUAACGAACAAAAACACAUUUACGAACAAUCACACUCAUCUAUAAGCAUAUCCAUAUACAUAAAUUUAAAAAAAACAUAAAUUCAAUUAAAUAAUAAUCAUGAUUUCAUUAAACAUAAUAUAAUGUACAAAUCAGAUUAAAACCAACUUAAUAAUAUUCGAAUACCUAGAAGAAAUCAAACCAUUUAUAUCUUAUUUUACUCUAGCAUAUCUUUAACACUUUAAAAUGUUUACAUAAUACUUUAUUCAAUAGCGAAAACAUACAGUAUUAUCAAAUUUAUUGAAUGGUCUUAUAAAUAAGUCAUAUAGUUAACUGUAAUUUAAUAAUGAACCUCCAUCCAAAAUACAUCAAACAACUAUGUUUAUUCACUUAAACCAAAUCCGUAUAUUCAACAUCAAUUUUAUAUACUUACACCAUUUUCGUAUACAAAUAACAACUUCUGCACAUACUCUUAAUAAAAUCAAUCAAAAACUUAUUACAUAAUUUAACAAGAAAUUAUUCAAGCAACUUAAUACAUUAUAACAUGAAUAAUCAUGUAAUUAGUGUUUUAGUUACAUAAUAUGAAUUUGCCCUAGUUUCAAAGCCACAUUUAACAAAUAAAUUCAUACCAAAUAAUUGAUUAAAACAAUCAUGGAACAUUUUUCCUAACUCAAUACCUUGCAUAGCCGAAUCACAAAUUGUAAUAUAUUCAAAACAUAAAUCUUGCAUACCAUGUUAUAAACAUAUCAAAACAUAUUUAUAUCAAGUUUGGAUAUAGCUAAACAACUUUAGAUGCCAAUUCACUUAUAACACAUUAACUAACUACAUCAACCUAAUGCACGUAUAUACUUUUAUCUAUGCAUAUCAUAGCCGAACUAGCCACAUAUUCAACCAAAUUCUUUAACCAUUUCUAAAACAUAUAACACCAUUCAUCCAUAGCAUAUCACACUAUAACCAAGAAUGAAUUCAAACACAACCAAGCAUAACCGAAUUUAACAUAUAAAUUAAACCAUUUUCGCAUGGCCUAUAUACAUAACCCAAGGUUCAUUAUUUCAAAAUGUAAUCCAGCCUAUACAUGCCAUAAUUCAAGUUUAACCUUUUAAGUAUCGAAACAGUAGAUAGUGUGAUGAACUUUGCUGACGAUCCUUGAGCUUGUAACAUGAAUCCAAAAUCUAUAAAACAAGGUAAACAUGUGCAACAGAGUAAGCUAACUUAGCUUAGUAAGUCAUAAGCAAAUAAAUAGCACAAUGAUAUAAAUAUCUCAUUUUAAACUAGACCAAAUUGUAUUAACGAUACAUGCUUAACCUUAAAUUACUAAUACAUAAUUAAUACAUUUUCAUAAACAUUCUAUAUCUUGGCCGAAUACUCACAUAAGCAAAAUUAACCAAAUGUCAUUUAACUUUCAAAGCUAUGAAGUCGUUAUUUAAUCAUUUAUACAUAUACUCAUGAAAAUAAGCUCGAAAAUCAUAAUAAAACAUUAUGAACAUGUACUUCUUAUUUGGCCGAAUAUGCAUGUCAUAAUUACAUAUAUAUAUGUAUCAAAGGCCAAAUAUUCAUACUAAAUUCACAUGAAAUCCACAUUUGCAUUAUACAUAAUUUGUAACAUGUUUCAAGUCACAUACCAUAUUUCAAGUAGACAAUAAGCUAACCCAUACCCGUCCAUUUAGCUCAUUUUAUACAUUAUAUCACAAGUUAGCUUUACCCGAUGAACCAUUUGGAAUUGGAUAGGACACUCGGAUAAUCACACAUAUUGUACAAUGUCAACGUCCCAGACGUGGUCUUACAUGUAAUCACAUAUCGAUGCUACUAUCCCUAACAAGGUCUUACUCGCACACAUAUAUCGGGAUCACAUAUUGAUGCCAUGGUCUUACUCGCACACAUAUAUCAGAAUCCUAUGUCAUGACAUAUGUAUCCUAACUGUUCCUAAGGUUCAUACGGGGCUUUCAGACGUUGUAACUCGGUCGAAACGAAUUCGAAAAUAUAGUAACCAAGCUUUUUCAUGUUCGGCCAUAACAUAUAUAAUUUCAUAAAUUUCAUUUCAGCAUGUAUAUUUAGUAUUUAAUUAAGAUUAAGUACGUCUAUUUGCUUAUAAACUUACCUCGGACGACACAAAACGAAACAGGGCAGCUAGUCGACAACUUUCGUUUUCCCUCGAUCCAGAUCCGAUUUCUUUAGUUCCUGAUCUAAACAUAUUCAAACUAAGCUCAUUCAAACAUAUUUUCAUUCAUUUAAGUCCAAAAACACAUAAAUGGGAAAAUUAUCAUUUUACCCCUAACAUUUACACUUUUUACAAUUUAGUCCCUAUUACACUAAACACAAAAUAUGCAAAAUUUCCCUAUACCCAUGUUGGGCUGAAUUUUACCCAUGCUUAUAAAAGUCCAUAUAUAUCAUUUAUUCCACAUUUUAGUCCCUCAAAUUAUUAUUUUUGCAAUUUAGUCCUUGUUGCUCAAAAUCAUCAAAAACUUCAAUACAAAACAUGUUAAUAUAAACAUAUCUUUCAUUUUUCAUCAUCAAACAACAAAAAUCACAAACUCUCAUCAAUGGCAUAACUCAAAAUAUUCAUCAAAAUCAAAAAUUCAAGCACGGGUUUUGUAGUACUCGAAGCAACGAUCUCAAAAACGUAGAAAUUAUCAAAAAUCGAACUGAACUCUUACCUUAAUUGAGCUUGAAUGAAGCCGAACCCUAGUUAUUUUUCUUUUUCUUUCUUAUUUAUUUUUUCGGUGGAUGAUAAUAUAAGAACAUGGCUUUGUUUAUUUUUAUGUUGUAAGAUAUAUAAUAACUUAACAUUUAUUUUACCUUUUUAACCUUAGUUAAUAACAUUAUACUUUCACUUAUAAAUGUCCAUUACCGUCCACCCAUUUUAAUAAUGGCCUAGUUACUUCAUAAAGGCUUCCAUUUAAAAAGCCAAUAGCAUUUUGGCCCUUUAUACAUUAAAAUACCAAAUUUUUUAUUUAAGCGAUUUAGUCCUUUUUAUUUAAUCGGACACUCAAACAAUAAAAUUAAAUCACAAAAAUUUCACACAUGCUAAUUCACACACAAUAAACACAGAAAAUAAUUUUAAAAUAUUUUUCUAACUCGGAUUUGUGGUCCCGAAACUACCGUUCCGAGUAGGGUCUAAAUCGGGCUGUUACAAUUUCUAUUGAUCAAUAAAAUACAUCUCUCUUUUACUCUAUCAUUUUCUUUUUUCUUCGUUAUUUACUCUCUAUCUUUUUAUUUUAUAACAUAUUAUCAGCAUGAUGAUUCUCUAUUUUCUUUUUCACUUUAAAAUCUUUUGAAGUCUUCAUCUCCAAGAUGUUAAAAGAUUCAAUUUCAAAAUAGAUCAUGGUUCUUAUUCCCAAUCUUCGAUUUAUCAUUGUACAAGCAUGAGUAAAGUAUAGAAUUAGUAAGAAACUUUUAUAUUUUGAUAUUAUUUUCUUUUUCAAUUAAGGUAUGACUACUACUAAUUUUUAUUUAACAUAAAUUUCACAUUAUAAUCGUAUUUGAUUUUUGCCUCUCUAGGUUCAUUUUUUUUAUGUAAAAGAUAUAAUUGUUGGUUAGAUAUAUUUGCUAUCAAUAUGGUAUAUAUCACUUUUUGAUAACUUAUUUUUUUAGGAUGAGUCCUCUUUGAUUAGAUUAUUUCAUGAGUUAUUUCAUGAGUUAUUUUUUUGAUAUCUUUUAUCAUGAGUUAUUUCAUUUCUUUCAUAGUUGAGUUAUGAUUAACUUAUAUAUCAAAAUUGUUAAGUGAUUUUUUUUGUGCUCUAUUAAUGAAUAAAUCAAAAUUGUUAAGUGAUUUUUUUUUUGUGCUCUAUUAAUGAAUAAAACAAUUAUAAUCCUCUUUGACUUAUUGAUUUAUUUUUUUUUAUUUUUAAAAUAUAUAUUAUCUUAACAUUAUUUGUAUAUAUGUCAUGUGAGACAUUAUUUUAUCUCAAAAUUGGUUUCCUACUUUUAGCCAAAUUUUGUGAAAUUAUUGAAUUAUAGAUAUUUCAAUCAAUUGAAAUAGUUUGAAGUAGGUGCUUGUCGAUGAAGCAUUAAUAAAUUAUAUAUUUUUGUGAUUUAAAGCAAGUGCUUGUGGAUGAAGCACUAAGAAUUUAUAUAUAUAUAUUUGUGAUAUUAUUUUAAAUUAUGUGAUUUAAUUAUAGGUUAUGAUUAAAUAAAGAAAGAUAUGGCCAAAAGAAUAUGAUAGUUUUAUGAUUAGAUGCAUUUGAAAGAUCUCCUGACGUUACAAGUUUUUAAAAUCAUAAGUAUAACUCUACAAUAUUCAGAACAAGUUCUAAAUUAAAUUCAUGUGGAAAAAAAUUAUUACUGAUGAGAACUUGCAAGAGAAAACUUAUUCAACUUUUCAUGCUUCAAAUGUGCUCUUACAGUAGCAAUAUCAUGAAUAUUUUCUUCAAGAGUUAAUAUCAUGAUUACUUAUUAUUGAACAAAAGUUUUUAAUCACGAAACCUAACCAUUCCUUGAAGAGAAUGUAACAAUAUGUAAUAGUUUCAAAAGGCAUAAUCUUAGACAUGGAUGUUUUAAGUUGGACAGUAAUAAAAUUCAAAGGGGAUGGUCUUAAUAAAAUUUCUCACCACCAAAAGUGGAAAAAUGAAGAAAGUAAGAAAAGAACAAGAAUUCUUAAGAACUCUUUAAGGAGUGGAGAUAACUUAUAUUAUCACUAUGGUAUGGAAAGUCAUUAGUUGCAUACCUGUCGUACACCUAAACAUUUAGUUGAACUCUCAAACGGAAAGGAGACAAUGCGAAAAUGAAUAAUAAGAAUGGUGUUGAAUCAAAUUUGGCAUACCAGAUUGAUCAUUCUGAUGAAUUUAAACAAUAAAAGGAUAUUAACAUUUUCUUUAUUAUGGUGAUCAUUUUAAAUAUUAGUAUGUCAAUUUUAGGAUUUUUUUAUAAUCCAUAUUCAAUUUUAGGAUUUUUAUAUAAUCCAUAUUAAGGAAUUUGUUGCUAGAAUUUAAUGUUAUUGAUAUUCAUUACUAAACUUUAAGUUAAUGACUUGAUUUUGAUAUUUAUAUGCAAUCUUAUAGUCAAUUUUUUUAGGAUUAUAUGUAUUUUGUUAAAGACGAAAUCUUUAGUAUAAGUUGCAUUCUUUUUUUGUGAAUUGUGACGCUCAUUGUUUAAUUCCUGGAUAUCUUACUAGUAAUAUUUCUUUUCGCCAUUAGAAGUGAAACAAGAGAGAUAAAUAAGAGAACAACAAGAGUUCUCGGUAAUAUUAAAUGUAAAAUUAGUACUUGAACUUGUCCACUUCUCCCAUAUUGGUAUCUAUGGUUUUUUUUGUCCCAGAUUGGUACCCGAACUUUUUUUCUGUUCACUAGUUUGGUACUUGAGCCUAACGACGUUAAAAUUUUGUUAACAUAGCAAUGCUGGCCACUUGCGCACUACCACGUGUCACACUCCCAAGAACCUUUUGGCCGGUGUUUUUUUACCGUGCACUAAUUUUGCAUAGAACUUAUCCCGCCUUCUCUCUGUUUGCCGGAAUACGAAACUGUAUCUUCUUCAUCCUCUUGACUUCACCACAUACCUUCUAUUCCCUUAUCCCUUUCCCUUUUGGUUUUUUCUUUCCCUUUCAUCACCAUUACACUGUUAAUCCCUAUCCCAAUAUCUGGGUUUUUGAAGGAAAAUGUAACACCCAGAUUUAUUAAAUCCUGUUUUUACGAAUCAUAUCAUAAAUAAGUAUUUGCUUCAGUGGUUAAUUGGUUGAUAUGUACACCUUAAAUCUUGAGUUCGAGUCUUAGCAUGAGCAAGAUGGUUUUAUUUUUUCUCCUUUAAAGCAUCUUAAUGGUAGAGUUUGGAGUAAAGUUGAAUUCUGAUGAGUGGGUUAGUUGUAGAAGUCUAUUUAGCAGAAUAUUUUAUUUUUAUUUGACUUUAUAUUUUCCUUUUUUCCCCAAAAAUUGCGCCAUUUUACUUCAUGUUUGUUUCCCUAAAAGAACCCACUAUUCACGUUGUUUUUUUUUCAUGUGCUAGUUUCUUUAUUGUUUGAUUUCUUGGUUUUUGUGCCUUCUCUUCAAUUUUUGUUUGUCUUUCUAUUUUGAAUCUUGAUUUUAUUCCUUAGAUUUUUCUAUUACAAUUGUUGGUGGUCGUUGCUGCUAUUCAAUUGUCAAGUAAGUGCUGAUGUUUUCGAAGUUUGGCUUCUUAUUUUUUUUUGGUUAGGAUGUUGUGAUUUUGUUGUGAAAUAGGGGCAUGAUUCAUUUAACCUAAUCAUUUACACACUGUUAGGUGGGGAUCGAGAGCAGUGGUUGUUCUUCCAGCGCUUUAGGAUUGGUGUGGUAGCGGUUCGUUCAACGAUAAAUACGAGGAUGUGUUUUUGUAGGGCCAUUUUAGUUCGAAUGUGGUUGAUUAUUUGUUAAAUUUCAAGAAUUACUACUGAAAUUAGUGGUGUUAAUUGUUGUUUUAGGUGUGGGAUUGUUCGUGUUUGGGAUUGUUUUCUGAAAAUACAAGGUGUGAAAUAAGAAACUCAAAAAAUGGCGGUCGGCAAAAGCUGAAAUUAGGGCCUGUCGACGCCACACGGUUGUGUGGCUGACCAAGUAGUAGGCCAUGUGUAACAAGGUUACACCAUUUUGGGUCGUGUAGGCCACAUGAGUAUGUGGGCACAAAUUUUAGAAUUUUUUCCUAGGGCCAUACAUGUCAUCCUGAUCGACUAUGGGCCUUCUGUGGGGUCAGUAUAUGUUUGGUUAAGCCUUAAAGCAUGAAAUAUGAUAAUCUCAUUGUAUGAAUUUGACGUAAAUAAUGUUUAAAUCCAUGUAAUGUAAUGCAAAAUGUAUUAUCUGUUAUGUAUAUACAUGUUUAUUAUCUGUUAUACGAGCUAGCUUAAUAUAAUAAUUAUGGUAUCUGAUAACUCUGUUAUAUCUGGUUUUUUUUUUGUAUCUGACUAUGGAGCGGGAUAUGUAAUAUGUGGAGGAAGUGUUCUGUGUGGGCGAUAUCUCGUCAUUAUACUAGCAGCAUAACUGCGAUUAUUCUGAAAGGUGUCGUAUAGACACUAUGCGGUGUGUAGGGUUGAGUGGGUGUUUUAUACCCUACGUGGUGUGUUGGGAUGGUCGGAGUUGGUGUGUAGAGGAUGUGGGUAGGACUAUGCAUAUUUGUAUCUAUACGACUCUGUUAUAAAUCUGAUUUUGUAAAAGACUUAUGUUUGCAUCUGUUUUGCUAUGUGAUUCAAUCUGAAUUUAUGUUUAAGUAUGCGUUACACAUUGAGUUAUCAAAACUCACUCUUUGAUUGUCUAUUACUUUCAGGAAACCUUUAGGCUUAGACGGGUUAGUGUGACGGGAGCUCGGUUGUGUCCACAAUGCCGUAAAACUAUUUUUACUUUAAUUUAGCUUACUUAAAUUUCAAUUUUGAGAGUUUUAUAUAAUUUGGACUCUCCAGACUUUUGGGAUUGUUUUUGGUUUCAGAUUUUUUUAUUUUGGUUUUCUAACAUAAUGUUUGAUAAAACAGUUUUUACGAAAAAGAUAAUUUUUCUAAAAAUAAUGAUUUUCAAGGAAAUAACUCGAUUUACCAAAAGAUAACGUUUUAAGAAACUCCACUAUGAAAUAUUUGAUUUACUUGAAAGACGUAAACAAACAACGAUUUUAAAUUAAAUAAGUACAUCCACACAUUUUCCAAACAAAUCAACCUUACUAAGUAACAACGAUUUACGAUGAUUUCAAAUAAAAAAGAAGUUGGAUUUAUAAUGUUUCUUUGUAACACUUCUAGAUUCGGUCGUAACGUCUAAGUCGAGUUUAGUAUAUUAUAGAAAACCAAAAAGAGAAAGGAAUAAUAAUAAUAAUAAUAAGAAACCUCAUUCUUUUUCUUUCUCUAUUUUUAAGUGAUUCAAUUUUAACCUUUCAUCUCUUUUGAUUCAAUUUAUCAUCUCAUUUUUUUUAAAUGAACCUAUUAUUCUUUAUUAACCUAACCCAAGACGGAUUGAAAAAAAUUGCCACUUACAAAGCUGUUGAGUUCGUUGAGAUGAGUUCGGGCACAGGUCCAAUAGCCAAACAUGUCAUGGAUCGAAUCGGGGAGUUGCUCCAACAAGGCAUUGUUCAUCUACCACACCAAAACCCUUUUGAUAAUACUCCGACAAGGAAUUGAAAAAAAUUUCCACUUACAAAGCUAUUGAGUUGGUUGAGUUGAGUCCGGGCAGGGGUUUAAUCGCCAAACAUAUCGUGGAUCGAAUCGGGGAGUUGCUCCGACAAGGCAUUGUUCAUCUACCACACCAAAACCCUUUUGAUAAUACUCUAAAAUGGCAUACUUUUAUGUGUUAAUUACAUAUAUAUUUUUAGUAUGAUCGUACUAAUUUGGGCUGUUUAUGGUUCUUUUUUAUCUUGUAGGGACUAAAUUGAAGGCAAGAGGAAAUUUGGAGACAAAAAGUGUGAAUUUAAAGACAAAAUGGGUCAACAUGUGAAAGAAGAAAGAAGUGGUGCCAAAAAUACAAAGUGUGGAAGGCUUGGGGAAAAAAUUCAAAUAAGAUAUUUAUGAACAUAACACUUUAUUUAAAUUUGAAUUUUAGUUUUAGGAUUAUUGUUAGGAUUAUUAUGAUAUCGUUUAGGUUUAGUUUCAAAUUAUAUCUUUUAAACAUUACCAUCCAGAGUUUAAAUAGGAACAAACUAGGUUUUUUAUGUACUAUAAAUAAUGGAUGGAGUGGCAUAAAUAUUCACUCUUCACUUCUAUAAAAAAACUCCUUCCCCCUAAGGCUCUUAGCUUUUUUGUUUCUUUUUCAAUAAAAUUCCAUUUCAUUAAAACUUGUGUUUUUUCUCGAAAAGCAUGAGUCACUAAACUCAUCUAGCCAAAAGUUAUCAAGACUCCUCCAAAAGAGUUCAUGAGGCUUAGAACCCGCACUUAGCGUUUCUCAAUGAGUAUUCAUCAUUUCUCUGCAUUACGGGAUUGAUGCUUCCUUUCAUGUCCUUCUAACAGUAAUCUUUUCAUCUUGUGCAAAGACGACCGAUUUGUAUGUUUUAUGAAGGUUGCACAGUCGAUUCGCUAACUUAUUGAGUUAGAGGUUGUCGAGCCCAAGAGACAAAAUGACGUGGUAUUCGCCAUUAGGAAAUGAUGAUCUAGUGUAAGACGGUCCCAUAGAAUUGACAGUUGGCUAGAGUUAGGUUCCUCUAGAUCACAAGGCUAUAACCUAAAUGGAGCUGAUGGUCGUAGGCAUCCUCUUCCACUAUAACUAACUUAUUUGGUCAUGAGAAAAAUCACCUAAAAAGCCUAUGAUUGAACCAAAGGAUGAUCGAGAUAACUGGAGGUUGGAAUCCCUCAAGAUUGAAAAACCCCUUUCCUUACUCUAUUUCUUUUUACAAUUAAAAUUUCAAUUUAUUUAAUUUCAACUUAUCCAUAUUUCUAAUUUUGUUUUUUUUUUUAAAUUUUUUCCAGGUCAAACAUUUUUCUUGGGCACAAUUGUGCCCAAUGUGUAGGUUCACUACCAUCACCCACUUAUCACAGAAGCAACUUGAUGAUCGUUUUAUGAAUCACUAAAUUAGACUACGAUCACGACUAAGGAAAGCGCACCUAUCGAAUGGUAGUAUAACUAUGGUGAGUCCAGAAUAUCGUAUCCACAAGGACUAAAAGUACUAGUAUUAACUAUCUUUCUAUCAUUUAGCCUAAAAUAAAAGGGAUUUAUUUUAAUCUAAGAUUAACUAAACUAAUUAACUAAUGAACGCAACAGAGAGUGAAGGAAAUAAUCGAAUAAACCAAUGACAAAGACAAUACCUAAGGAAGAAUCCACCUAGACUUCACUUAUUAUUCUGACUCUGAAUUAAAUGAUUUAUUCACCUGUCUUGAUCCGUAGAAAGCCCUAAAUUAUGUUAAUAUCUCUUUCGAGACUAAGAACAACGGACUCUAGAUUGAUUAAUUGAAAUCUCUUUCUAAUUAAAACCCCUAUUGUCGCAUUAACUCGAUGGAUUCCCUUAUUAGAUUUGACUCUAAUCUGGCAGAUUUAUGUCGUCCUAUUUCUAGGAUUGCAAUCAAGUCCGCUUAAUUAUGCUAGAUCUACUCUUAAACAUGGACUUUUGCUCCACUAAAUAAGCACAUCAAACUUGAAUUAAUAUCUUGAAAAUAUUAAGGCAAGAAUUAAUAACACAUAAUUAAGAAUAAGAACAAGUAUUUAUCAUGUAAUUCAGAAAAUUAAAUAAUAAGAUUCAUCAUAGGUUUCAUCUUCCCUAGGUAUCUAAGGAAUUUAGUUCAUAAUUUUGGGGGAAAACAUCUCAAAAAUAGCAAAACAACAAAACAUAAAGAAACCCAAAAACUUCGAGAGAAAUUGAAGGGAGAUCUUCAGUCUUGAAGGAUAUCCUGCUUUCGAGUUGAAUCCGUUGGCGUUCUUCGCAUAAUUUAUGCUUUCUACUCCGCAUGCCCCCCUUUAGGUCCUCUUCUAGUGUGUAUUUAUAGACUCCAGAAUGCUCAGAAACCCUAAAAUUUGGGUUUUUCCACGAAACAGGGAAGCAGGGUGCGAAAUCGACACGGACUAGCACAUGGGCAUGUGGCCAGCCCGUGUGGCUAGCUCGUGUGGCUUACAUGGGCAUGUGGCCAACCUGUGUGGAAAUGCCCAGGUCGUGUAGAUCCUAGAACAACUCUUUUUGCCCAAUUUUGGCUCGUUUUUUGCUCUUUUCGCUCCCCUAUGCUCACUUAAAUAUAGAAACAUGAAUUUAAAAAAAUACGAGCAUCAAAUUCACUAAUUCAUAUAAUAAAUCAUCGAAAAACACAUCAAGAAUGAGAUUAAAAACAUGUUACUUUUAUGGCUUAUCAAAUAUCCCCACACUUAAGCAUUUGCUUGUCCUCGAGCAAAAUCCUCAACUUACAAUUAAAAUUAAUCUUUCUCAACUUGUAAUUCUCAUCAAUAAUGUUUUGUCAUAAUUCAAAAAUAAUCACACAUUGAUAAUUCAACUAAAAGAGCCCUAAAGAUUCAAACAAUCCAAGUCAUACAUUUUUUUAAGACAUGAAAACAUAAGUAUCUCCCCUUAUCUAAGUAAUUACCUUUAACUUAAAAUCGACAAGGUUUUACAUCUUCACAAAGAUUCACUCAAAGUGUUUAAGGUUCAAAAAUUAAGCACUCAAAAGUCAAUUAUGAAAAGUCAUUACCAUAGGCUUGCAUGAAAAUCAAAUCUCCACCAUUAUAAAAUGAUAUGAUACACAAAUCAAAAGGUUUUUAAAGGGUUGUAACGGGGAUUGGGUUAAAGGUGUGGAUAAAGGCUGAAAAAGAAGGUUAUAAUCGAGAUCGAAUUAAUAAAUUACCUAACUAGAAAAAUAAACUAAUAUUGAUUAAUUAUAUUAAUCAAAAUUAUUUAAGAAUAACACGAGCUUCUUCUUAGAAUAUCUAACUACUAAGCUCAAAAACAUAAAACUAGUAAUAAUCAACAUAAAUGUAUUUUUUCACUUAUUUUUUUUCACUUUUUUUUUUUGAGAACAAUGGAUAAGAAGAGAAAAUUUAACAACUGAAAUAAAAGAAUAUAGUUAAGCAACUAACCAAAUCAAAUCUCGACAAAAAAGGAGUUAAUAAAACGGGAAACAAUUCUCAAUGAAUCAAAAAAAAAGUUAUGGGUUAAUAUUAAAGGGUAAAUCAAGAAACGAUUUACUAGGCUUAAAGGGGGUUCACUAAGGGCAAAUUAUGAAGGUAGGCUUAUGGGAUAAGUGGGUUAAAAACUAGGUGUCUUUAUCAUCUCAGUAUAUCAAAUCAAAUGUGUGGUCUUGACAUGUAUAAUCGAAGCAAGUUCUAGAAUUACCAAUCAGUAUUGACACACUCAUAACCAAUAAUUUAGUGAGCAAGAAAAGUGUAUGCUCUAAAGGCUCAAAAUCUCACAAAAAUUAUGGUUUUUGAUGUUAAUCUUGCAAAUCUCAAACUUCAAGGUAAUACUUCAGUUUAGGGAAACAACCUAAAUUUUUUAAUUCUGAAAAUAGACUUGUACUUAUCUUACUUGAUUCUCUAGUGUCUUAAAGUUUAAACAAUCAAUGCACAAUUACUUAUGAAUUUAAUCUAAAACACAUCAAUGAUAAUCAUAAAUCAAUUAGAAUAUAUUCUAAUAGUAAUGUGAGAAAAUUACUUAAACACAAGAUAUAAUUCAGGGAUUUUCUAAUAAUUCUACAGAUAACCUCCCCACACUUAAUAUGUACAUUGUCCUCAAUGUACAAACAUAUAUAACCACAGUAUAAAUAGAAUAUCAUAAGAGAGGGAGAAAACUGAAACUGCCCUGAAUAUUGGAUGAAAUCUUUAGAAUAGUGAAAAGCGGAAUUGCAGUCAAAUUUAAAUGUAACUCAUGAUUCCAAGCAAACUAACAAGAAAAUAAACACAAAUAAUAAAGAAGAUUAAGGGGUUAUAACUAGAUUAGAAACAACCAUAAAUCUUUCAAAAGAUAAUAAUGAAAAUAAGUUGAAGAGAAAAAAAUAAAAUAAAACAACUAAAAAAAAAUUAAAAAGAAAGAUAAAUAAUAAUAAUAAUAAACUUAAUGAUAUCAAUAAACUUAAAAGGUAAUUGUAAUGAUAAUAGUAAAAAAAUAAGAAAGAAAAAAAUAGAAAUAGCAAAAUAAUAAUAAUAAUUAUAAUAAAUUAAAAAUAUAAGUAUAAGAAUAAUAAAUUAAUUAAUUAAUUAUUAAAAUAAAAAUAAAUAAUAUAACAAUUAAAAAUAAAACAAAAUUAGGGUGAUUAACCCAAUUUUCACAUGGCCAUGGACAUGCCUGUGUGUCCAAGCUGUAUGGGUCACAUAGCUAUGUCGCCAGGCCGUGUGUGUUUCCUUCGCUUCUCCCAAGCCCAUGUGAGAUCCCACACGCCCGUGUGGCCAAGCUGUGUAACUCUCUGACUUUGAAAAAAAUUAGCUCCAGGUUUCACACGGCCUAGGACACGCCCGUGUGUCCAGGCCGUGUGGGUUACAUGGCCAUGUCACCAGGCUGUGUGUGUUUUCCUUAGCUUCUCCCACGUCCAUGUAAGAUCCCACACACCCAUGUGGCCAGGCUAUGUGGGUCAAAAACACACUUUUUUUUAGAUUUUGAAAAUUAAUUAAUUUAAAAAAAUCAUGAAAUAAUGUUAAGAAAAUUAGCAGUGUUACACUCAGGUUGUCUCCCGAGAAGUGCUUAUUUAAAGUCUAAGCUCGACUUACCUUGUAUUCGCACGAUUACGGUGGUUUACGGAGUCGAAACUCCUAUUUCUCAUUGUCAUUCCUAUUAUCAACAAAAGGUUUUAGCCGAGUAAUAUUUACCUUAAAAGUGCCAAAUUUAGAAUGAUUUACCUCAACUGUAUCAUGUGGGAAAAUAUUCAGUACCGUAAAAGGAGUUGCUUCGUUUGCAUUAAGCUCUGAAGUGGCGAUUUGAGGGUCCAUUUUAUCCAACAAUACCUGAUCGCCAAUCUUAAAUUGGUUUUUCCUAUCCUUAAGCUCGCCAUGGAGUCGUUUUGGUUCAUCGUGUAUUCUAGGUUUCUCCUUGAUGUGUGUCCGCCAUUCAUCUAGUUCAUCGAUUUGUAAUAUUCUUUCUUCAUUAUUUGUUCUGUUUUUUUUAUGUAAGCUAGACUGCGGCUUUGUCAUGUUUUUCCGAGGUGUUUCCUGCAAAGAAUGUUGAGCCAAAAGGUUAUUAACAUUAACAGUGCUCGUAAUAUCAUCUCGAUCACUAGAUAUCCUAACAAAAUCACGAGCUUGGAUUUUAAUCGUGUCAUCACCAACACGAAGUAUUAACUCACCUGUACCAACAUCUAUAAUAGUUCUAGCAGUUGCUAAAAAGGGUCGUCCUAAAAUCAAUGGUACGUUACUAUCUUCAUCCAUGUCUAGAACAACAAAAUCAACUAGGAAAAUAAAUUUAUCAAUUUUGACGAGUACGUCUUCAAUAAUACCCCUAGGAAAUUCAAUUGUUCUAUCUGCCAAUUAAAUGUUCAUCCUAGUUUGUUUGGGUUUCCUAAGACCUAGUUGCUUAAAUAUUUUGUAGGGCAUGACAUUAAUACUAGCCCCUAAAUCAGCCAAAGCAUUAUUAACACUUAAACUACCAAUUAAACAAGGAAUAGUAAAACUCCCUGGAUCUUUCAAUUUGUUGGGUAGUUUAUUCUACAAAAUGGCUAAGCACACUGCAUUUAGCUCCACGUGUGACGAAUAAUCUAACUUCCGCUUAUUUGCUAAAAGCUCCUUUGAAAAUUUAACGGAAUUUGGCAUCUGCGAAAGAGCUUUAAUAAACGGUAAGUUAAUAUGUAAUUUUUUCAAUAGUUUAAGGAAUUUAUUGAAUUGUUCGUUUGGGUGGUCUUUCCUUGUCGCAUUUGGAUAUGGCACAUGAAGUUUAUAUUCCUUACCGAACGAAUCUUGAUUAUUUUGGCUUACCUUAACCUUACCAUUGCUUACCACAGUUUCUUGCCUAGAUUCAGAUUCAGAUUCAGUUAACCCUUCUUCAUCUCGAAUAGUGAUCGCAUGAAGCUGCACUCUUGGGUUAGUUUUGGUGUUGCUUGGCAAGCUACCUUGUAGUCGUUCUGAAAUCAUCUUUGCCAAUUGACCGAUUUGAUUCUCAAGCCCUUGAAUCGAUGUUUGUUGAUUUUUGAGUGCUGUUUCGGUGUUUUGGAAAUGAGUUUCUAACACUGAAAUAAACUUUUUCAACAUCUCCUCAAGGUUCGGCUUCUUCUCUUGCUGGUAAGGUGGUUGAAAGCCUGGACCACCCCAAGAGAAGUUGGGAUGGUUCCUCCAACCUGCAUUAUAAGUGUUACUAUACGGAUUAUUCUGAGGUCUAUAAUUAUUACCCAUAUAGUUGACUUGUUCGUCUUCUAUGCUUAGGUUGUAAGAUCGAUUUUCUGGAUGGUUCCCUCCUCCAUUUGCGUCAUAUUGCAUCACUGAAUGUACCUGCGUAGAACCAGAUAAACCAUCAAUUUUUUCAUUCAAAAGUUCUACUUGAUUUGACAACAUGGUGAUAGUAUCAACGUUAAAAACACCAACUUCUUUCAUCGGCUUUGUCCUCAUGACUUGCCACUUAUAAUUAUUCAGUGACAUCUCUUCUAUAAACUCGUAAGCCUCUUCAGGUGUUUUGUUAUUCAAAGUCCCACCGGCAAUUAAGGGGUUCAAACCGUUGUAAAAAGUUUGAACCUGUAGCUAUAGAGGUAAUCAUGGUGAGGGCACCUUCUUAAUAAAUCCUUAUACCUCUCACAUGCAUCAUAUAAAGUCUCUAAAUCCAUUUGUACAAAGGAAGAGAUAUCAUUCCUCAAUUUGGCUGUCUUAGCCGGUGGGAAGUACUUCAGCAAAAACUUCUCGAUCAUCUGAUCCCAAAUAGUGAUAGAACCUCAUGGUAGGGAGUUCAACCACUGCUUAGUCUUAUUUCUCAACGAUAAGGGGAAUAACCGUAGGUGAAUGGCAUCAUCAGAAACGCCAUUUAUCUUAAAAGUAUCGCAGAAUUCUAGGAAAUUAGUCAAAUGAUUAUUUGGGUCUUCGUCCUACAAACCAUUAAACUGAACAAACUGUUGAAUCAUUUGAAUAGUAUUAGGUUUCAGUUCAAAAUUAUUUGUAGCAACAGUAGGUCUAAUAAUACUCGAUUCAGCCCCAGUUAAAUUGGGCUUGGCAUAAUCGUACAUAGUAUGAGGAGCAGGAUUCGGAUUUACAAGAUUUAUAGCAACCACAAGAGAUAACAGAUUAUUAUGAUUUUCUAUCAUCUCCUCAGUAUUAAUAAUAAUAUCCUCUUGCUCUUCUAUUGUACUUUGUUCACUUUGCCUUGCUUUUCUACGGUUUCUGCGAGCUGUACUUUCGAUCUCGCUGUCAAAUACUAGAGGGCCUGACGGGUUUCUUCUAGUCAUAAACUAAAGACACCUGUCAGAAGCAAAUAAAAGAAACGUUAGUAAAUUAAAAGUAAAACAAAAAAUAAAAUAAAAAUAGCUAAAGUAAUAAAAAUCUAGUGUUAGUCAUAAACUAAAGGAACCUGCCAGAAGCAAAUAAAAGAAACGUAAGUAAAUUAAAAGUAAAAAUGAAAUAAAAUAAAAAUAAAAAUAGAUAAAGUAAUAAAAAUCUAGUGUUCCUAAUAUUUUAGUCCCCGGCAACGGUGCCAAAAACUUGAUAAUUGUUUUAUGAAUCACUAAACUAGACUACAAUCACGACUAAGGCAAGCGCACCUAUCGAAUGGUAGUAUAGCUAUGGUGAGUCCAGAAUAUCGGAUCCGCAAUGACUAAAAGUACUAGUAUUAACUAUCUUUCUAUUAUUUAGCCUAAAAUAAAAGGGAUUUGUUUUAAUCUAAGAUUAACUAAACUAAUUAACUAAUGAAUGCAACAAAGAGUGAAGGAAAUAAUCGAAUAAACCAAUGAUAAAGACAAUACCUAAGGAAGAAUCCACCUAGACUUCACUUAUUAUUCUGACUCUGAAUUAAAUUCUUUAUUCACUUGUCUUGAUCCGUAGAAAUCCCUAAAUUAUGUUAAUAUCUCUUUCGAGACUAAGAAUAACUGAAUCUAGGUUGAUUAAUUGAAAUCUCUUUCUAAUUAAAACCCCUAUUGUCGCAUUAACUCGAUCUAUGGAUUCCCUUAUUAGAUUUUACUCUAAUCUGGCAGAUUUACGUCGUCCUAUUUCUAGGAUUGUAAUCAACUGCUUAAUUAUGCUAGAUCUACUCUUAAAUAGGGACUUUUGCUCCACUGAAUAAGCACAUCAAACUUGAAUUAAUAUCCUGAAAAUAUUAAGGCAAGAAUUAAUAACACAUAAUUAAGAACAAGAACAAGUACUUAUCAUGUAAUUCAGAAAAUUAAAUAAUAAGAUCGGUCAUAGGUUUCAUGUUCCCUAGGUAUCUAAGGAAUUUAGUUCAUAAUUUUUGGGAAAAAAUCCCAAAAAUAGGAAAACAACAAAACAUAAAGAAACCCAAAAACUUCGAGAGAAAUUGAAGGGAGAUCUUCAGUCUUGAAGGAUAUCCUGCUUCCGAGUUGAAUCCAUCAGCAUUCUUCGCGUAAUUUUUACUUUUUACUCCGUGUGCCCCCCUUUAGAUUCUCUUCUAGUGUGUAUUUAUAGACUCUAGAAUGCUUAGAAACCUUAAAAAUUGGGUUUUUCUGUGAAACAGGGAAGAAGGGUGCGAAAUCCACACAGACUGGCACAUGGGCGUGUGGCCAGCCAGUGUGGCUCACAUGGGCGUAUGGCCAGCCCGUGUGGAAAUGUCCAGGCCGUGUGGAUCCUGGAAACAGCUCUUUUUGCCCAAUUUUGGCUCGUUUUUCACUUUUUUCGCUCCCCUAUGCUCAACUAAGUAUAGAAACAUGAAUUUAAAAGAUUAGGAGCAUCAAAUUCACUAAUUCAUAUCAUAAAUCAUCCAAAAACGCAUCAAGAAUGGGAUGAAAAACAUGUUACUUUUAUGGCUUAUCAGAACUGUUUGUUUUGAUUAAAGGUGUAAACUUUAUAUUUUGAUUUUUGACUUCUUUUUGGUUUGUGAGAAUGUGAAGGAAAAUGAAAGAAAAUCCUUUAGGUUCUUUGGAAACUUCACCAUUUUAUUUUUUAAAAGAAAAGGAUACCUUUUCACACCAAAUACAUGGGAUCCUAUAUUUGAUUUUUUUUAACAAGACAAAACAUGUCUAAUCUGGUGCAGUAAAUGAGUAUUUCAUUUAAAACUUAUGCAUGGAAGGGUCGGGAGUUUUAUAAUAACAUAGAACUGGAAGUUUGUUCUUCAAGUUUCACCAGGAAGGUAAGAAUCUGUAUGUCAAGAACCCAAAGAAGCAAAGAAAAGAAGUUUCUCUUUUUUAAUGCAAAAAACAAAGAUUUAAAAGAUAAAAUUUUUCAAGAAAGUUACUAGGUUAAAGAAAAACAAAGAGUCGGAAGAAAAAUGACGAGACAAGUAAAGUUAAAAUGGGUGUCUUGGAAAUGCGGCACGUGGUGGUGUGUGAGUGGCCAUCGUUGCCACGUCAACAAAAUGUUAACGGUGUUAGGCUUAGGUACCGAACCGAUAGACAAAAAAGAAGUUUGGGUACCAAUUUGGAACAAAGAAAAUCAUAGGUACCAAUCUGGGAGAAGUGGACAAGUUCAGGUACUAAUUUUAUAUUUAACCCUUCUCGAUAUAAACUUUCAAAGAAGAGAGACAACUUAUAUAUAAAAAGCCAUUGGUUAUAUACCUGUUGUACACCUGGAAAAUAAUAUCCACUCUCAAAGUUUACUAUUAAUAAAUUUUGAUUAGAUUCAAAGUCUACUACUUGAGUUUAAUUUACUUACUACUUAAUAAAAUCGUCAAGACUCAACGUAGAACAAAAAAGGUACAUCUUUAACUAUUAAAUUGACUUGGUAUAUUGUUUAAAUGUUUGAGAUGGUCUUUUUUUUAAGUUUUGAUUACAUAGGUUACAUAUUGUUUUAAGCAUCUUAUUUAUUCAUGAAAAUGAAUAUUAACUGGUUUAUUUAUGUCGCUAUAGUAGGUUUUAUAAUUAAAUAAUAUAUUUGACUAAAACAUAUCUAGUAUGCAAAUUCGUGUUAAUAAACCAAUGAAUUUUUUGAUUAUUCAGAUUUAAUUUAGUUCAAAGAAUUGUUAAAGUUAGUAGUUCAUACAUUUUAUAUUAUUCUAUUUGUUAAUUAUUUAGAGAAAUGACAUGAGCAGUUGUAAAUGAAAAGUUCUACGAGCAUGAAUGAUUGGAUUUUGAAUUAAGUUUCAUGCAUGUUUAUGAUGAUGGCUAUGAAAGAAAAAAAAUGCUAGUUUUUUAUUAUGUCAUAUUUUUAUGUUUGAGAUGUGAGUUUUAUUGAUAUAUUUAAUUUAGGUUUGUUUCUAUAUAUUACCUAACUAGUUAUUCUUGGUAGUUAAUUGAUUAUGCAAAACUCUUAAUCUCAUAUCUCCUUAUGGCUAAACAAAAUAAUGAGUUAUUCGUUUCAUCAGUUAUGCUCCAUUCCCUAAAAUGAGUGUAGCAAUACAUAACAAUUAUGAAAUUUUAACUUUUCGUCAUUAUUGAAAAAUAGAUAAAAAGAAGAUAGACAAUUCAAAAUGUUUUCAAAUGUUUAUUCUUAGUACAGAAUGCUCAAUGAGUUACACUAAUUUAUCAUUCCUUAAAGCAGAUGAUAUCUAUAUAAUCCUAUUGCUAAGAAAUAUGAUAUAUGCGUAUAUUAUUGUCUGAAUUAUUUUUGCUCAUUCCUUGAAGUGAAUGUCUUCAAUAAAUAUAAUAAAUUUUAUAAUCAUUUUUUUAUCAUUAAAGUUAAUUUGGACAUUUGAAGAUUCUUCCAUAUUCCCUAAAGCGAAUAUUGCAUAUAAUUGUUUGGAAAUUAUGUUUAUUUUGUUGACUUAGUGGCAUUAUAGACUUUACAUUGAUUUAGGCAUUUCUAGUAGUAAAUGUCACAAUAGUACUUAUAUGUGGAUACAAAGUAAAAGGAAUGACAGUAAAAUUAUCAAUUUGCCACAAUUUAUAUUGAUAUUAUUAGUACAAUUGAAAUGCAUGUUAAAGUAAACCAAAAGCUUACUGAUACAAAUAUAUUUACUACUUGGCAUGGCUAGUUAGACCAUCCUGGAUCAUAUAUGAUCCGAAAAUUAAUUAAGAAUUCAUAUGGACAUUCAUUAAAGAACCAAAAAAUUCUUUAAUUUAAAGAAUUCUCAUUUGUUGCUUGUUCUGAAUGAAAAUUGAUUAUCAGAAACUCACUAGCUAAAGUUGAGAUUUAAUGUCUUGAAUUUCUGAAAUGAAUAUGGGCCCAUUCAUCCAUCAUGUGGAUGGUUUUGAUAUUAUUUAAUUUUGAUAGAUGCAUCUACAAAAUAAUACAUAUGUGUUAUCAACUUGUAACCUAUCGUUUGCAAGAUUGCUUGUUUAAAUAAUUAAUUUCAUAUUAUACAAUUAAGACAAUUCAUCUUGCUAAUGCUGAUGAGUUUAUAUCUUAGUCUUUUAUUGAUUGUUGUAUAUGAGUUUCAAAAAAAUUUGUAAAAAACUUGUUAUUUAUGUGCAUAAUAGUUUAGAGAAAUUAUUGAUUGAAAAUUUCUGAUUAAUAUCUAAACCAUUACUUAUGAUAACUAAAUUUCCUAUUCUAACGUGAAGUUAUAUUGAUUUAUGUGUUGUGCGCAUCAAACCAAUAAGUUAUAAAUACUCCCCAUUACAAUUGGUUUUUAGUCAAUAGCUAAAUAUUUCUCAUCUUUGCAUUUUUGUAUAUGCAUAUAUGUUCUAAUUGCUCCAUCACAACACAUAAAGAUGAGUGAGUCCUUAAAGAAAGUUGGGAAUAUAUAUUAAUUACAAGUCUUUUUGUAUUAUUAGAUGUUUUUUAUGUAUUGGAGAUUCAAUUAUGACAUGAUUUGUGGUUACUAUUUUGAUUUGAUAAUUUUCUCGACAUUAGGGGGAGAGAAAUAAUAGUUAAAUAAAAUCAACGCUUGUAUUUACAAACUUAAUGAGAAUAACCAAGUGUUAUAUAUCAUCUAAUGUUUUAAUUUGAAUCAAAGUCUUAGUAGGACAAUCAGUUAAAAUAAAUGAUAGAUUGAUCAAUUCCAAAGAUGAAAAUUCUUCUAGAUGGUCAUAUAGUGGAGGCGGGUGAUCUAGAAGAGACCUAAGACAUAACUAAUAACUAAAACUCUAGAAGAGACUUAAGUGCUUGAAAUUGAAAAUAAAAAUAAUGAAAAUAAAAAAAUCUUGAUAAGUUAUGUUAAUUCAAGAAAAUGUGGAACCGAUAAUAAAAGUAGUCGACAAUGAUCAUACAAUAUUAUUGUCGAAAUAAUGAAAUAAAAGGAGGAUCGUGAAUAAAUCUAUUAAGAAAUAUAUAUGUAACAGCCUGUUUUCAAUGAUGUCGAAAACAGUGGUUUCGGGACCAUAAUUUCUACGAUUAAAUUAUUAUUUUAGUAUUUAUUUAAUGUCUAAGGGAUUAUAUUAAGGUCUUACUACAAUUUCGUUAAGAAAUUUUGAUGUUUAAAUGGUUAAUUAGGUGAAAAGGACUAAAUCAUAAAAGUGUAAAAAUUGAGUUCUAUUAGCUAAAGCGGCUAAAUUGCUUUGGAAAUGAAAGUUAAAGGAAUUGAAUGGUAAUUAUUCCAUAUAUGUUGAUAGUUGAUGUACAUGGAUAGGUUUUAAUGAAAUUGUAAUAGUUUUUAAAUGUUAAAAUGGUAAUUAAACAAAUUAAACUUAAACUAAAUGAAACAAAAAUUGCUUCAUCUUCCUCACUUGAUCUCUCCAUCAAAAUUAAGAGAGGAGAUAGUCAUUUUUAUACUUUGAAGGUUCGGUCAAGCUUGCUUCUUGCAUGUAAGUGAUUCCAAGUCUCAUUUUUAAUGAUUUUUAUGUUUUUGAAUUCGUUUUAACUUAAUCUAGCUAGCCCGGGGAUUAAUUUGUAAAAUGUUAAAAGUUUUAGGGACUUUCCAUAGAUUUUUUUGAAUGAGUUUUGAUAUUAGUUGGUAGAUUAUGAAUCCUUGUUGAAAAAUAAACAUGUUUUGUUAAAUGAUUUUUGAUAAAUUUUAGAAUUAGGGAUUUAAUUGUUAAAGGUGUAAAUCUAUAGGCUUUGUUGUGAAAUGUUGGUAUUGAUGAGUUAAUUCAAGGUCUCUUGUAACAUUGGUUAACAUGGAUUUAGGUUAAAAUGGUUAGAUUUUAAGUUAUGAGCUUAAGGACUAAAUUGUGAAAAGUUAAAAUAUUAGGGGAAAUUUUGUAAUUUUUCAUAAAUAUGAAUUAUGGAUUAAAUUGAAUUCUAGAAUUACUUAAUUGAAUGAAAUUAUUUAUUUAGAUAAAGAUAAACCACAAUCGGACUUAGAUCAAAGAAAAGCUAAAGCUUUAGAUUAGUUCGAGUAUACUACACCCUAGUUAUCGAGGUAAGGUCGUAUGAACUGUAAUCAUUUUAAUGUUUACUAAGUUGUUUUAAUGUAAAUGAAUCAAUAUAUGAAUGUAUUCAUACUAUGAUGAAUUGACGGAUAUCGAGUCUUAGUUAAACCUUAAGAAUUCUUGGGAUACAAAUGACAUGUCAUUAAGGAUUUCAUAUUGUGGGUGCUGGUCUUGAAUGUCCUACCGUUGGCUGAGGUCCUGCAUUUGUUGCAGGUUCUCUUCAACUCAUGUGAGCAACAUCGUGUAGCUUACAUUCCAACCCACAACUCGUGUGAGCAUUGAUGUAAAGGAAAGGUUACGAUUAUUUGUAAAGGCACACUAUGUGUCUCCCGAGUAUCCGAUUUAAUUCUAGAUGGUUCAACGGGUAAGAAAAGGAAUAGAUCAAUAAGUAAGUUAAUGGAAAUAUUCAUGAUCUAUGAAAAGGUUGAUGCAUAUGUAAUGUAUCUUGUAAACUCUAUUUAUGGUAUAAAUGAGCUUAUAUGUAAUGUUGAUGAACCUACUAACAUGUGAGAUUGAUGAUGUUUGAAUAGGCUUAUUCUAAGCUGAUGGCAUUGGUAAUGGUUUAUGCUUAUUCUAUGAAUUGUGUAUCGAGGUGGUAAGUUAUGUUUAAGUUUAUACGAGCUUUCUAAGUACUUAUUGCUUACGUAGUUGUUUUCCUUUGUUUUAUAGAUCAUCAGAAACUCGAUUUGGUUAGAAGCUCAUCAGAGACCUAUCAUACUAUCCAACAAUCAUUUUGAUAGUUUUUGAGCAUUUUGGCCAAGGUUAAUAAUAGCAUGUAUAGGUAUUUUAUGUUUAUGGUUUAUAGAUGUAUAAAAUGAUUGAUUUAGUAUACUUAUGUCUUUAAAGUUUAUGUUUAGUUGACGAACUUAUAAAGCUUGUUAAGUAAAGUCUUGUUGACUACUUUAGGAUAAUUGAAAUGUGUGGUGUUUUGGUAUGCUUGAAAUGGCUUGAAAGUGGUAAAUGUGGUAUGAUUUGGUAGGUGUUGAAUUAGGUAUUUAUGUUUGGAAAAAUGGCAAGUUUUGAUAGUUGAUGUUUUAGUACAAUUGUGGUGCCUUUGAAUGGCAUAUUGGUUAGGUGAAUUAGGUUGUUUGAAAUGGCAUAUUUAUGUAUGUUUGGAUGAUAAUUGAACCCUUUGAAUGUAUGCCCAAAUGGUAAGAAUGGUUAGGUAGGAAAUGGUUUUGAAAUGACUUGAUUUUAGGUAAAUUUUGGGUUCACACAGCCUGGUGAGACGGUCAUGCGAGGCAUACGAUUGUGUGUCAUCUGAGGAUUUUUUAGGGUUCAAUACAAUGAGUUACAUAGCCUAGCACACGGGCAUGUGGGGCAACUCAAGAAAAUAUAGCAGCACAAAUCCAACUUGUUCAAGAAACGAAAUAAAACUAAACUAUUAAUGGACUGGCAGCAUAAGUGACCAAAAUAACUUACACUGCAAAUGGAAUAUGACCCCAGCAACAAAAUGCACAAAAUAAACAAUAGUAUUCAAAAAAAUGAAAGAGGAAGAGAAGGAAAAGGAAAAACAACCAAGAGAAUGGAAGAAGAAAACGGCAGGAUAGGGAAACAAAAGAAAACGUGCAGCAAAGGGAUUUGGUCAAAAAUAAAUUAAAAUAAAUUACAUAAGAGAUUUAAUUUGAUCUAAAUCCCACCCAAAUUUUUUUAGAAUUUAAGCUAAAAUCAAUAACUAACAAGUGCAAUCGACAAAAACAUUACACUCACGUGCAACACAAGAUUUGAACACAAGACCAAAGGGUAUACGGAAGCUUAAUCACUAAACCAGUAGUCUCAUUCUGGUUACAACCCAACGAAAAAUAUAAAAUAAGCCGUAAGGCUCAAGCUUAACAUAAAGACCUAAAGAAAACUUACAAGGCACUUAACCAACACACCAAGUCAAAUUAUUUAACAUGCUUGCACAAAAUAAAAUCAAGAGUUUCGGGGCAUUACAAAUUUGACCAACAACUCUUUCUUCUCAAAUGCUUCUAGGAAUUCAAAUUUAUUUGAAAUAUGGCUUUAAAUCCUUCAAAGGAUUAAAGCAAUAGUUAAACUCCUUAAACUUAAUAUCAUAUCCUUCUCUAAUAUUGAAAUGAUUAAAAAAGAAAAUUCUUCUAUAUCAAACAAAAAGUAAACCUGAAGUAGUCUGCUACAUAUGCUUCAAAGUAUGGAUAUCUUUGCUCAAAAAAGAUUGUUGAAUCAGUUUUUUUAAUUAAUAGUCAAUAAAGCAUGAAUAUCUUUUGAUUUGGAAUGGUGGUAAUGGUCAAAGUUCCUCAACUUGCUUGAUAGUCAUUCAGCUAGUUUCAUGAAUUAUGAUUGUGUUGUUUGGAUUAUGGGUUUUGGAACUAUCAUUUGGUUAAUUUGGUUAUGUAGAAAUGAUUAUGUGUUCAAUGUUAAGGAGGUUGAGACUUGCACAUUAGGUGCAAACCAAGAGGUCUACCAAGGUUCUUACAUCUUGGUCUGCUCCUUCCAAAGGAAUGAUUAAGUUUAAAGUUGAUAGCUCCGCUAUCCAUAAUCCUAGUCCAACCAGGAUUGGUAUGGCUAGGAAAGUUCUAUGGUAUACAUGAUGCUUUUUUAGUUGAUUUUUUUGCAAAUAAAGAAGCAAUUGUAACUUAUGUUGAUUCACCAUAAAAAAACUCCUAGAAUCCCAGUGAUUGUGGUUGUAGUGUAGAGUCCAAAGAUUGAGGUUCAUGAUUGAUAAAAUUAAUUCUAUUGAGUUCAGAGUUGGCAAAUGGAAAGGCUCUACUUAAUGAAUUAUUGUCUUAUUUCUUUAUGAAUACUUGUAGGUACAUGCAUGCUUUUACUUCAAAUGAUAUUCGUUAAAUUGGGUAGCUCGAUGAAUAUGUUUGAAAUGAUUGAAUGGAUUUUAACUAUUACAAGUGCUUUUGAGUUGUAUUAUGUAUUUUUAGGAUAGAAAGGUGUUUUGGAAUGGUUUUGGAGUAUUUUUAACUUGUAUUUUGGUUUUGUGCUUAUAGCCGGACGGAGGCCGGCAAGGACCCGACCUACCCCAAAAUGGAAAAUUUUUCAUAUAAGCUCUUUUAUAUUUAUAAGAUUUUAAAUUAGUGAUAGUAAAAUUGCACUUUGACCCCCUCAAAAAUGAUAAAAAAAUUCAUUUAAUCCUUUAAAAAUUUAUAAAGCUAUAGGCUAUUAAAAUGGUGAAAUUACAUUUUUACUAUCGUAAAAAUAUACAAUUUAAUUUCGACACCUAAAAAAAUUUUCUACUUUUGCCCCUACUUAUAAAUAUCGGAACCUAAAAAGUUAAAGACCAAAAUUUUCCUACGAAACUCGAGUUUUAGAACAUAUGUAGUAUGUAUUGGAACAUUGCUUGAUGGUAGCCAAAAAACUACAGUGUCCAGGCUAAGGUACUAAUAUACUGCCAUAGGCAUUGAUACCUUGUGCCCAAUCUAGUCCUAUUACACUGUUGUUGCUAUUUUGGACUCUUCGUGGAUCAUUUUGAUCUCAAACACCUCCAAUCACCCACCCACGUAAAGUUUCUAAAUGAUUUUAAUAUGUUUUAAAGCUUUCAAAAUGAUAUUAUAUUAUUGUUUAAGAUUUUUUAAAAUUGUUAUGCAUGCAUUCUGGUACUACCACCUAUUUGUACCAAACAUCAUAACGGGUAAAAGGUGUUACAAAAUGUGGCGUUCUACGUUUGAUUGUCUUUCAGACCGGGUGUAAGGUAUUACAUGAGCACAAUUAAAAACUUGCAUGCACUAGGGAGUUUAUUGUUGAGGACAAAAAAAUUGUGGCCAGUAAGAUUAAAGUUAAUUGUUGCGACGAGUAUUGCGAGGAAACUAAGAAGGAUUGAUGUUGCAUUGUACAACUGCGAUAAUGAUAUGAGAAGAUAUUUGUUUCUCCUCAUAUGAGAAAAAGAUUUCAUGAUCAACAAGUUUCUAAAAGUGCUUUUCACAUUCAAUUGGUGUUGGACAAGUCUAGAUAAAGGCAGAAACUUCUCGAUAUUUUGGACCAAAACCCCUAAGUAUCUUGAUUGUAAGUUCUUCAAGACUAAUUGGAGAACUAACUCAUAUGUGGUGGCCUUGAUUUGUUUUAGAUGCUCUACAACAUUUUUAGCUUGCAUUGUGACUCUAGUAAGUUGGUCACAGAGGCUGUAGAUUCAUGUGCGACUUUUGUUUGAAUAUAUAGUAUGUAGAAUGAUAAGUGCAUAAUUUCCAAUUUAUAUUUUAUACUUAUCCUCUUGAAUUACUUUAUUUAAGUUCUUAAUUAUAUUCUUUAGAAUUAUAUUCUAUUUAGUAUGUAUUUAGGGAAGUAAUUGGAGAAAAAUGAGCUUUAAGUUUAUUUUGGCAAGUUUUUGUAGACUAGACUUUGAACAAAAUUUCUUCAGUAUUUUAGUCAUAACUUAAGCUAUAGAAAUCCAUUUUGGACUCAUAAUAUAUCAUUUCAAAGGAAUUAAAAGAUCUAGCUGAAGUUAUUUCACGAUUCGAGUACAAAAAAUGUCAAGAAAGUGUCUAAAAAUGACGUGGAAGUUUGAAACGAGAAUCUGCCAAAAUUCUACUUUAUUUAAUUAGGGGAAGUUUUGUAUUUUCUCCAUUAUGUGAUUUUUUUUCAUAUGAAAGGACAUUAUUAGGUUAAUGCCUAGAGAUAGUCACCUUUAGUAGGUUUUUAUUAUUGUAUUUUAUUUUCUCCAUGAAUUUAUAAACUAUUUUUCUAAUAAAAAUGAUUUCAAAGUUUGAUUCUAAAAGUUUGUGAGAUCUAAUUGCUCUCCAUCUUUUUUUAUUCUUUAUUCUUUUAUUUAAAUUACAAAUAUUCAGGUUUGUUGAGUAUUGGUACCAUAUUCAAUUACUUAGAAUAUUUGUCUUAUCAAAUAGAAUAGUUAAAUCUGUAAUUAUUUAAUUGAUUUUAAUACAUGUGACAAAUAGCAUGAUUGGGUAUAAGCUAUGUAUGCAAUCCAUGUUAUGCGAAUAUGUGAUCUAAUUUAAAUGAAUCGCGCUUGUGUGUAUUUAUUGGUUAGAAUUAGGUCUUUUCUCAUUCUUAAUGCUAUUAAUAAGACUCUAGGCGCGAAGUUAAAUGGUUGUUUAUUGAUAAGGAGAAUAAUUUCAACGAGCUUCCUCUUAGUUAUCGACAAGGUAUGAAGAGAUUGGUUGCUAGAUGCGACAUCAACAACUAUAAUUAAUUUAUUAAAGCACGCGAAAAUUAUCUUUGCAUUGAUUAUCAAACUCACUAAUCAAAACUGAAUUUUAUCUUUGAUUAGACUCUCGUUAUAUUGAUUUUAUUAUAUUUUACUUGCCAAUAACAUUUUACAUAGUUUUAAUUUCAAACCCGCUUUUGUUUUUAUUUUGAUUUUUUACUAAAGAAAUAAAAUUAUUACCGUACACAAAAGGCCCCAUGCUUUUUGUGAAGUAUGAGUGGAAACAAUCGUGAAGGCACUUGAGCUAUCAACAUAAACAUCAUGGCUUGUUGAAUGAGUUAAUCUUGGCAAAACCAAAUAUGAUAAGAAGAAAUUGUUUCAGUGUGUUAUUCCCUUCAACAUGUUUUUGUAGAGGGAGUUUGGUGCCAUCAAGAUGAUCUUAAAAUCAUGUCCAUCUAACAGCAUCGUAAAUUCGAAGAGUUAGAACUACCUUGAAGCUUAAAAGGUGAUUCAGAAUUUGAAUUGUUGUAGGAGUAGCAGUGGUGUGGGAGGGGACUGUUGAGGGGUUGGUAACCAUGACUAAAAAGUUUGAUAUGGAAAAGAAAAGUAUACUUUAUUUAUUGAUAAUUGAUUAAAUUUAUACAAAAUAGGAAAACGAUAAUUAUUGAAUAACAAAAGGAAGCAACAAUUAAUUAAAUAACAAAAAAAAUUCAAAUAAUAGCUAUCAAUGAAACUGCAUUCAAAGACGCAUAAAAAUUGAAACAUACAAAGAAAUGUACUCUGUGAAAACUGAAACCAUAUUUCUAAUGUUAGUGGAGGUGUUCCUUCAAUCAUGUUUGAGAUGGGACCGACCAUUCAACCAUAUUCUCUUCAAUUAUGAACUGAGCAAUGCAAAGAUAAGUUAUCUGGAAUUUAUUUAACUCAUGCUAGGAAUUUCCUUUCUUCUUGCUGCUAAUUGAGGUAAAAGAAGUUGGUCGACAGCCGACAGGGAAAAGGAAUGUGUGCUUGUUUGGUUUCUUUAUGGAGCAUGACAACAAAUGAAGAAACGGUAAAAACUGCAACAUCUUGGACAAGGUAGGGUUCUCAAAACUGACUACCCAAUGUGGACUUGCACGUGGUUGCAGAGGCAAUAUCAUCUUCAGUUUUCACAGCAUUUUUCCUGAAUCCAAAUCACUUCUGUCUCUUCAAUAAUGCUCAAACUUUCAAGCAUAACAAAAAUCGUUGAUAACAUUGUUUCUUCUUGGAAUCUUAGCCGCACUUCUUCCUUAUCUUAUUGAACUUUAUGUACAAUGAUUUAACUGACUUUACUGUUUUAUUCUUUGGAUGGGAUCUUCCUCUAUAUAUCCUAUCCGGGGCUAAAAGAUAUGGGGAAUGUCUUUUUACAUGAUAUUCAAAUAAGGAAUCUUUAGUCAAUCUAUGUCAACACAAAGACAAAACACAUAAUAGAGAUAUCGUUCAAAUUUUGCAUUAUAAUUAACCGAUAAAAAUUAAAAAUUAGGUAUGAAAUAUGAAAAUCAAAUUUUUGUCCUGCUGUUCAUAUCUGGCCUUCAUUGAAUCUGAUGGCAACAAAAGAUGAGUCAUUAAUUUAUAUUAACAACUCUUGCUUGGGGUUAAUAUUAAGAAAUUAGAGAAAUAAAAUUUCCUAUGUCCCAAACACUAUGCUCCAAAAUAGUAGGGUAGGGUCCCAUAUAACGUCCAAACCAAUGGAGACAUGGGAAGGAACAAUAUAAGUGAAACAAAACAAAAUCUCUCUCUCUCUUAGCCAACUGUAACGCUAUUAUUCUGUUCAUUUACAUCACCCAAUCCAUUUAGAGGAACUCAAACCCGAACCGAUGAGAGUGCCUUGUUGAAAUGUUUAGCUUUGGUGUGAAGGUACUCGUUCCAAGUAACCGGUCGAUAGAGGGGUGGGUGAGUUGGCCCUACUAAUUUUGGAUGGGGUGAUAUUUCCACAGUAGACGGUGGCCCAAAUAAAUAAGCCGAGGAUAGCCGGUGAUGGCUACGGUUCACCAUGGCCCGGUGAAGAACACUCUGGUAUGACCCGUUGGACAGUAUAUGCAUAAGGUCACCAACGUUGAUCACAAGCCCCCCCGGUACCGGAGGAACCGCGACCCAUCCGGCUCCCUCUUUAAAGACCUGCAACCCACUAGUGCUGUUUUGGUAGAGGAUGGUGAGGAGAGUGGAGUCGGUGUGCGGGGCGAGACCCAUGGCUCGGUCCGGGUCCGGACAAGCCGGGUAGUAAUUCAACUGUAAAGCUGCUAAGGCCUCUUUGAAGUCAGUUUUUGGGCCGGCCCACUUGAUAUCCUCUUUGGCAAUUAUGCCUAGGGAGCCCAGCAUGAGCCACAUCAAUCUCCCGGCUAACUUUUUCAUUUCUUCCUUGUAUUCUUUAAUCACAUCACUGAGGAAGAAACAAAUAAAUGAAACAAUCAAAUUACAAAAGAAUCAGAAUACUGUAUGCAACAGUGAAGCUGCUAUUAUGCUGGUGAUACAACAAGCAAACACUUGACAAGUGGGUUGGUUUUUUUUUUUUUUAACUCCAUUACUACUGCUAAUCUACUUCGUGGGUCCAUAGCUUUCAUUGUAAUCUUUGCUAAUUGCAUUAAGAAAAGCAAAUGGGAGGGGGGGGGGGGUUGGGUUUUGCCACAAAAGAGAAAAAUAUCAGAACAAAGAGAUUCAAUAAUAAUCAGAAUUUGCACGUGCAUUCGCAUGUGUGCAAUGGGUGCUCACCAGUGGUAGCUGAAAUCUUGGGGCCAAAGUUGGCGAAAAUGCUCGUCUGGUGGCCCAACAAUAGUGAACCCCUCAGACCACAUAAGCUUAGAAAAAAAGGAGGAAAUCCUGGCAAAUCCAUAGCCGGAGACGCCAUCAGGAGACCUUGCAGCUUUAAGUUUUUGGUGAACUGGUAAAGAGAAAAGGGAGCGGCAAGUGUGCUCCACCAUAUCAAGGAGACUUGUGGAGAUACCAUGGUUGGUGACUUGGAAAAUUCCCCAAGUUUUGCAUGCAUGGCCAAUACCUUGAAGAGCAUUAGGAUCGUUAAGAUCGACAAGUGGCACUGAUUCAGUGGCGAAGGUUUCUGGGGAAGGGUCAUCGCGUUGAUUCCAUGCGUAAGAGUCGGGCAGUUCGUGGAGUGAGGUGAAGUCGGGGUGUUUGAGUUGUUGUUGGGGGUGGGCUCUAAAGGCGUCUGAGAACCUCGAAGGCAUUGUCGAUAUCAAAGAAAGGAAGAACCCGUACUUGCUAUACAAGGGAGAAACCCUGAAAUAAAUAUGGGUUGGGUGGCUCUUAAUGAGUUAAAAAGGAGUACUUUGCAGUGAGGAAACAGAGAAAAUGAGCGAACACAUAUGAUGGCUUCUAGUGUAUAUAUAGAGAGAGCACGAGACACAACAUCUAAUUCAAAAGUAAUAAUAUAAAACUUAAAAUAAACUCAACUCCUAUUAUAUUAUCCAUAACAAAAUAUUAUCAAAUUCCUCGUCUUCAAAAGUCUUUUUUAACUUUUAAACUUAUCUUUUUUGUCAAAUUAUUAUCAAAAUGUUUGAAAAAAUUAAUAUUUUUUAACUUUACUGAUAUGGCAUAAACAUAGAUGACAAGAUAACAUUUAAUUAAUUUUUUAAAAUUUUAAAAUUUCAAAAAAUUAUAAAAAUUAUUUUAAAAAUUAAAAAUCAUUAAAUUAUUUAAAAAUAUGAAAAUUAUAAAAAAAUAUUUUUUAAUAUUUUAGAAAAUUAAUUAAAUGAUGACAUGUCAUCUAUGUGGCAAUCCAUGUAUAUUCCACAUUAGUAAAGUUAAAACAUGUUAAUUUUUCAUUCAUUUUAGGAUGAUUUGACAAAAAAAUACAAGUUUAAGAGCUAAAAGAGACAAAAAUUAAAUGGAAUGUUAAAAUAACUUUAUUUUUUUGUAAAAUUGGGGAAUUAAAAAAUUAUUAUAACAAGUAAUUAUUAGGUGAUUAAGUCUUACUUUGAUUGACAUUAUUGUAAUUCAAAUACCCUGAAGUGAAUUAUAUUAUCAACUUCCUUUACUUUAAGAAUUGGAAGUUAGAAAGUAGUUUAGAAACUUUUACAUUUUGUAACUAAGAUUAGCAGGGUAAUUAUAUUCUCUUCUUUUCUUUUCUUUUCUUUUCUUUUUUUAUUUUUCAUAUAUGAUUUACAAAACAUGUUCGGGGUUUAUAACUGUUUCUCCCAAUAAUAUUGUUUAUAAUGUUUGAACUAGACCUGUUCAAUAGUUGAAUAGCUCGUCCGGCCCAAUAGGCCUAACCUGACUAGGGUCGAACCUAAACAAGGAAUUUCGCACCUCAGCCAAACAAAUUCAAUUUAAAUAAUAUUUUUUAAAAAAUUUAAAUUUAAUUAUAAAAGUAUGUAAAAGUAUCAAUUAAAAAUAUAAUUUUUAAUAUUUAUUAUUUCUGGAAUAGCGAAAUUGACUUUUUUGGUGAACUAAAUUGACCCGAAAAUGGACUUAGACUUAGAAUUUUUUGAGAAUCAAACCUCGGCCCAAUCCAAACCAACCGAUGGACACUUCUUGUUUAAAAUUAUAUCUCUCAUUAAUAGUACAAUAUAAUUUAUCAUUACACCCAACACUUAUUGAUAAAAUAAAUUAUCUUUAUAAUUUAAUAAAAAAUCUCAAAAUAAAAUAAAAUCUAAUUAAAAUCAUUCACAAUUAAGGGAAUUCAGAUUAUCACAAUAACCUUAAUUUCAAAUCAUUUUAUAUCAAAAUUUUAAACUAAAGAUAUUAAAAUUAAGAUUCAGCGGUCAUAAAUAUUUACUUAAAAUUAUAUAUAUAUGCAACAAACUUUUUUUCCUACAAACACUUAACACACCUUUUUUUAAUUUUUUUUAAAUCACAUAUAACAUUUCAUAAAAAAUCUUUUUAAUUUUUUUUUUAAUUUCGAAAUUGAACAAAUUAAUCUCUUUCAAAAUAACUGAAGCAAUUUAAUCUCUAUAUUGUAAACUGCUUGUUUUAUUUUGUUUUAUUUUGUCGUAAUCAGGGUAUCCACAAUCAAUAAUAAUGAUUAAUCUCCUUAUCGUGGGUACUCUUCGUAGAAGUAAACGGUUGAUCAUAAAAUAUGUUAUAUCCUCAUAAACAAGAAUCAAACCUACAACCACAUGUUUAAAGAAUGAAGUAAACAACUACUACAUACAACUUAUUUUUUCUCUAUGUGUUUAUAACACAAAUAUAGCACAUUUUUCCCAAUAUAGUCAAGUGGAGGCAGUUGCCUAUAAGAGACAAAACGGUGGCUCGGUGUCCAGGACUGCUGUAAUGUUGUGUGCUUACCAUCACUAAGAUUUUACGAUUUUACGAAUAACAUUAACAAAAGGACAUGUACUUUUAAGGCUUAAUUAAGUAAUGUUGGUUAAUUUCUAAGCGGGGAUGAUUGGACUACAUGGAGCAAGAGACCCUUAAGGUAGCAAAAGUUGAGAGCAUUCUACUGUUGAAAGAAUAAAGGGUAGAGCAAUAGAGGCUAUAUACCUUUUUCGGGGGCUUCCCGAUAGGUCAACUUAAGAUACUACCUUUUCUUCUCCUUAUCUAAUGGGUUAGUGGAGCAAGAAGCAGAGAAUCUUCUUGUUUCGUCAACGGACACUCUUUAUAGGCAGCUGCUUCUUUUCUGACCUUAACCUAUUUCCUUAUUGACAUGUAACCAUAUUACAAAUUCUACAAAAAGAAUGAAUCAAAUUAAAAAACUUCAUGAUGGAUCAAACAUAAUUUAUUAUAUAUUUAAAUAAUUAUUCAAAAGAUCAAUAUUUUUAAAAUUUUAUUUGACUAAUCAGUUGAACCAAUUAAAUUAAAAUUAUUUAAUUUAUUGACUUCAAUAUCUCAUAUAAUCGAGAUUGGACAAAACCGUCACUAUUGAAUCAGAAUUUAAAAAAUUGGGUAUAAAAUUGGAUAAAUUAAUUUUGAUAUUAUUAGGAUCAAGAUUGUCCAAAAUUGAUACUUCGAUAUUUAUUUUAAACACCUAUUCAGGCAAACUUUUGAAAUUAUCUAAACAGUAUUAAAUGUUGCCAUUUUUUACUUCAGCCUUCACAUGUAUUUCUCCGUAGCAAAUGGACUCCAAGACAUGUGAUAUUUUGUUUCAAACCAUGACUAUCGAAAGUGAUGGGUUAAAGAAGACUGAAAUCGACAUGCUUUAUAGUAUUUGGUUUUCAAACUUUAUCUAAAGACAAGUUUUGAGAAUUUAAUUACCCAGGAUUAUUAUGCUACUAAUAAUGAUCUUAUCUCUACUUGGACUGAUAGACUAGACUACCAUUUUGAGCCUAUAAAUAGGCAACUAGUUUGCUAUGAAGUUGCAUCUUUUUUUUAGAGUGACAUGCCUAUUUGCUUAGAAAUUUUAUAGUGUUUUACUUUUUUACUUUUGCACUCAUUUUAUAGGUAUUAUUUGUCUAAACUAUUUGUAAUUGAAAGAUUAGAGUGAGUGAUUAUAAUAAGUUGAGGUCAUCUAUUAGGGUUGUAUUUAAUUUUUGUGAAAUGGUAAAUUGGACGUUAGCUAAUGAGAUAUUGAAUUAAUUUUUUAUUAAAUCAAUCACUAAAUAAGGCUCUCUAGAGUAGGAUUGUUUCUAAAUUAUGUUAACAAAAUUAUUUGUUUUGUUUACUAUUCACUUUUGUUUACUAUUCACUCCCUUGUUCAAACUCGUGUCUAAUCAAUUUGUUUAAACAACAAGCUGACUAGUUUAUUUAAUAUAUGUUUUUUUUUCUUUGGUUAAUUUGACUUAUAUUAUUUGGUUUUUUCUGUUAAUUUUUGUUUUAGAUUAAUAUUUGGUAUAUUAGCAGUGUACCUUUUUUUAGUUCCACAAGUAUACUUAAAAAACUAUCACAUGUCUCAUUUCUUUUAUAUAUUUAUUUUUUAAAUAUUUUAUCAUACUCUAUUGGACACUUCUCAACAUUCUAACCUUGCAUGUGACAUUGAUAGCUAAUCUAGUGGUGACAUGUGGUAGCCUUCGUAUACUAUGUGGUGGGCAUAAAUUAAGAAAUUAAAAAAUCUUUAAAAUUAUAUAAAUUAAUAAAAAAAUUUGUUUUUUUCACAUAAAAAAUGAACUUGGACACAUGAUUGUCCAAACACAUUUGAAUCUAGACAAUAAUUGUCCAGAUUCAUUCUAGAUGUAUUUUUUAAUAAGUUCAUACAUAUGUAUAUUUAUAAAAUAUUAAUUUUUAGGUUAUUAUUAUUUUUUUAAAUAUACAAUAUAAAAUUAUAAAUUUAUGAAAAUAUAAAAUUAUGUCCCAUUAAAAAUAUACAAAAGUGUAUAAUAUUUUGAAAUAUAUAUAAAAAUUUAUAAUAUAUAAUAUAAAAAUUAAUAAAAAAUUAUAAAUAUAUAUACUAAAAAGCAUGUCUAUAAUGAAUACAGAAAAAUAGUUGUCCAGAUGAAUUUAAAUCUAGUUAACUAGUUGUCUAAAUUCAUUCUUAAUGUAAAUUUUUUAUAUUUUUAAUAAUUUAUAUAAUUUAAAAUUUUUAUAUAUUUUAAUUUUCAAUUGAUAAUAAUAAUAUAAACAACAUGAUAUUUUAUUUAAAAAAAUAUAAACUUAUUAAAAAAUACAUCUGGAUUGGACAACCACUUAUCUAUGUUCAUUCUUGAUGUGAAAAAGAAAUUAUAUUUUUUUAUUAACUUAUAUGUUUUUAAAUAUUUUUUAAUUUAUGACCGUGACAUGGUAUACUGAGAAGCUAUCACAUAUCACUAUGAAAUUGACUAUCAAUGCUACAUCAGCAUAAAUUAACUGUGUUAGUACAAAAAUAUCAACUUAAAUAACAAAAUAUAAAUUUAAGUACCACCUAAAUAUUUUUAAACAAGUUCGAAAUACAAAUUACAUAUUAACUUUUUUGACAAUGAAAACUAAAAAGUAACUUUAGAGAAAAGGUCGGACCUCUUCCGUCACCACUUAAUCCACCCGUGGGGUAGAGUUGUGAAUAGAGGUAGGAGGGGACAAGGAAUGAUAGGAGAGUGAAAGUUUUGUACUAAACAAAAGGAAGGACAAAAACGGAAAAGACCAUCUUGUCCUCUACAAUGCCCGUAUUGAAGAGCAUCUCAAUCCUCAAAAGAGGGUAAAAAUGAAUUGAACAAAAAAAAGGGAAAAUGAGAAAAUGGGGGCCUUCCUCUCCAUGUGCCUUUGUCUUGUCCUCAAGUAGAAAAACAUCUAUAUCAACCACCCCCUAACUCAUCUCUCUCCAUUAUCCACCUUUACUUGCCUAAUAUCAUCCAAUUGCCCUCCUCUUUGUCCUUUGUGGAGUAAUCCGAUUAUCCCAUUAGCAUUUAUUUACUAAGUAAAUUUUAUUAUUUUUUCUUUUUCUUUUUCUAUUUUAAUUACAUUGCUGUAAAAUAAAUUAUUUAUCUUUUUUCAUACAAAUUAUAUUUAGCUUCACUUGGAAUUCGUAAUGCCCUGGCUUUUUUAUUUCUGUUUUGUUAGUUUUUGACACAAAUAUCUGUCUGCUUUAGUGGUUUAGUGACUGGGUGUUUGUGUGAGGUCUUAGGUUAAGUAUCACCCUUGGUAAUUUUUGGUUAUUUUUUAUCCAAGCCUUAUCUUUGUUCAAUGGGCUUAUAUUAAAUUUCCUGUAAAAUCAUAUCAGAAUGAACCUGCUGGUUCAAGUGGUAAGGGGGUGGUAUGUUGGAGGUCAUAUAUUCAAAUCUGUGCGCGAGCGUGGGUAUUAUUUUUGCUCAGUUGCAUGUGAGAGUUUCGGUGGAGUUGGGUUUCUGAGAAGGUUGAUUGUUAAUAGGUUAGUGGGGAGAGAUUUGAGGGAUUUUGGGGAGUUAAUAUGGUAUUAUCUUAUUUUUAUUCUUUUUUUCAAAAAAAUUCCCUCUCUUUCCAGGAAAGAUUGACGUCCACUUUUCUUUUGUCUUUGCUCUACUCUUUUGCUUC